CAAACCCACAGCUCUUGUGUGUGGCUGCUUUCCUCGCUCUCUCGAGGUCGUUCGAGCUUCGCCUCCUCUUUUUUGAUCCGUUUCUACCACCUUCGAUUCCAAAGAUGGCGAGAGUUCCAGGCUUCCGAUUUGCCACCGAGGUCGCUCCGCCGCAGCUGGUCGCUGUUGUGAAGCCAAGGGCGUCGAAGAUCUUGGACACGAUUCCUGAGGAGGAGAUGGAUUCCAUCGAAGACCAGUCAUGCUCUUCCGAGAGCAUCCCUUUGUGUGACUGGUUGGAGGAAGACCGUGAUUGGUUGGAGGAAGACGGUGGAGAGAGGAGAAUUUUGGCCUGAAAUUUGGAUCUUCUUGUCCAUGUACAGUUCCUGACUCUGUGACGUUAUUAGCUGUGGGAUUUCGAGGGAAGGAGAGCUCUUCUUUCUUUGGGUGUUUGUUAUUGGAAUUUGUUAACCAUCUUUGUAGCACUUGAGCUUUCUUUCACGAGAGAGAGAGAGCAAGGUGUCGAUGGAGAUGUUUAGGAACAUUAGACUAGGAAAAAGUCUGUUCCCCUGAAGGUUUAACUUUCAAUUAAGGCCUAUUGGAUUGUGCCAUUCCAGUGUUUCUUUCUUUCUUUAAGGUGUAUGCGAGCAGAGCUUUAUUGAAUCCUGUGGUGUCACAAUUACCUGCUCUGAAGCUGCUGAUUGUUUCUUUUUCCAACCAUAGCAUCGAUUUGCCCUUCUGUUCCCCCUUGAAAUUAUAUGAUUAUUGGCAUGUCAAACAAUUAAGAGACCAUUGCUUAGACUACCCAAACAUAAGGCCUAUCAGAUACUAUGUGAACUUUUAUCAAAUGUCGAUCUGAUGAUGUUUUGAGAAAACAAGAGAAAAGAAAAGGUGGAGCAUCAAUUUGAAUAUCGUAUAAGAAAAUUUUCCCUUCACCAUUAAUAUUAAAAGGCUGAAGGCAAGUGGGGAGAUACUCCAUCUUCACCAGACCACCCCCUAGACGGGAUCCAAGCAUACUAUGCACGGGCACAGCCAAUCACCACAGACCAAGACAGACUGCACCCGCUAACAAUCCAAAGGUUCCCUUUAGUGCUAAAUAUCUAUAUAACCUCACGGUAUAAAAGCAUCCAAACACUUGACACUGAUAUGAUAAAAAAUCUAAUAGUAUCAACAAAACAAUCAUCUUCCUAAAAUGCAGCUCUCAUUUCAACCAAAAUUUGAACUCUUUUGUUUAAAGAAAAAUCUCUCCUCCAUAUGCUACUUUCUUUAUACCCAAUUCUGGCAUUCUUGUUACUUUUUGUUUUUUGAAACUGUAGCAGUGCAGAAGACGUGACCAGAUUUUCUGUUGAACAAUCUGAAAAAGGACAUGAAACUUAUUUUAAUUCAAGCAAGAAUGUGUGUGUGUGUAUUCCAAAAUAAGAUGCAUCAAGAAACUGUUUCUAAUGACCAUAGGUUACAACUUGCAGCUGUCAACAGAUACACCAUUUGAAUCCUACAAAAGGAUUCUGUACAGUCUCUCCUUUGCCUCAGAUUCCUCCCAAGGUAUCAGGAAAUUUUGGAGUUAGUUUGCAGCAUAAGAACAGUAAUUCAUGAAGCAAACUUGGGUAAACCAUUGAGAUUAGCCCAGAAGGAACAAAGAAUGGGUCAGAUCAAGAGAACGGUCAGUCCACCAAUAAAUACAAUGACUGAGCGAAAGAAAUAACACGCCGUGGUCACGGUUUUUACAUACCGCUAUCCACAGAACCGAAAGGAUUCACGGUUACUUAAGAUUCGCUGAUAGAUCACACACUUCAUCAUCUUGAGAAGCCACACCAACAGCUUCAAAACCAUUAAAUGUUGCAGCUGCUUCAUUUCACCAUAUCAGCAACUUCUUAAACAUUAAAUAACAAAGCUAGUUGAUCAGCAAAGACUAAUUGUAGACCUGACAUCACCAGGAAAACACUACGCCACAAGUUCAAUUCUUUAGUCUUUUUCAGACAGCAGAAAAACAGAACACAUUCUUCAUUUAUUAUCCUGAAUCCAAUCAAAAGAGAGAUUUUUUUGGCGGAUGGAAACAUGUAACCCACUAAUUCUUAACGAGGAAAUCAUACUUGAUUUUGGAUGCUGCCUCGACAGAAUCUCCAUGAACCAUCAUCUUGCCUUUUCAAAAUAUAUUUAACUUUGUAUGUACUGCAAGAAGACAAUCCCAAAUAAAAAAAAAUGAAAACCCAAAUUUUAGACCAAGCAUGACACUGACAAAUAUACUGAAAGGAAUAACCUGUAAUAACUUGGUUUAUUCAGCUGAGACUCAUCAACAAGCUCAGCAGCUUCUUCUAGUACACCCUCAAUUUCAGCAAUCUCACUACCAACUCCAUCUGAUAUUAUAUCAGCCCGCUGAAUAGACAGAUGCAGUAAAACAAAUCUCCAAAAACAUGACCUAGCUUUUGCUGAAUGUGCUAAAUCUUGCCACUGUCCAUCAAAAAAGGAACAAUGAAGAAUACCCAAAAAAAAAAAAACAAAGUUACAACAAACCAAACAAAAAACAAAUACAAACAUGCAUUCACCUUUGAAAGCAUAGACUCAGCAAGAAUCUCUGAGAGUGCUUGUAUUUUAUAGCUUGGACCCAGUGCCACAGCUUUGAUGUCUUGCCAUUGCUUCACCAGGGCUUCUGCUUCUUCCACAGCCAUUUGUUCCAUUUGUAGCAAAUUACCAGCAACAGCAGGUAGAAGUGAGAGAUCAUCAGUGGGCCAUGAAUUCUGCAAAGUUUCAGCAUCUUUUUGAUGCUUAAGGUGUCUCCUGAAUGGAAUCAACAGGUUCCUAAGCUGGGCCCAAAUGUUUCUAUCAAUAAAGCCAGAAGCACUUUUUAAGCCUGAAUGUUGACUCAUGGUCCAGGCGAGGGCUUCUUGGCUCAUUGGGUGACCAGAGUGCCAUUUAUGUGAAAACUUAGUGUGAAUAAAUUGCAUAUUGAAGAGCUUAAAGGCACCGAGUAGAAAGCAUCCCGCAAGAGUAGUACUUACAGCUUUCCCUGCUAUGUCUCCUACCAAAUACCAGCCUUUCAAACUUUCUGUGUGAUUUAUUCCAAGGUUUCUCUUUAGCUGAAAACAUGCGCCACUAGGGCUACCAGGACCCUUAACUAAAGCUGGUUGACUCUGAAGGUCAGCUGGUGCAAGUUGCUUGACAGCUUCACCCAGAUGUCUAGUUGAAUUAAUAUGUGCCUUCUGCUCUGCAGACGCUCCAUGGACAGGAAAAAGAACAAAGGAUGGUGGUCGAUAACUAGUAGAAGGGACCCUUUUCAUGUUUCCUAUUUUUUGCUUGCCAACACUUAGAAUCUGCUUUGGGCCCCCAAAAACAUUGGCCUAAAAUCAAUAAAUAAGAUUUAGAACAUUCCUAAUCCAAAGAGCCAUGCUUUGUCACAUAUCCAUCCGGUACAGUACUAACCAAUGAUGGAGAGCAAUCUCGUGUAUCGGGAAACAGACAUAGAACAGCAUCCUUCAGCCAUGUUUCCUGAUAAAUUUCAGCAGGUCGUCUGGCAUAAGACAAUUUCAAUCUUAAGGGAAGUUCUCUGAUCAGUAAUAGCUAUGUUUGCAACAAGAAUCUAGGUCAUCUACCUUCCCAAAUUGCCCCUUUUGUCUUGGACAGCAAUAAGGGUAAAGUUAGGUUUUCCAUAACUUCCCAGUGUCAAGAGUUCAUAGUCAAAAGAAACUGUGCACCAAUUGCUGAAUUGCAACAAGGAAGUCACAAUUUGUGAUGAAAUGAGAUAGUUUUUAUUUUAUUUUUUUAAAUUAUAUUUGAAGGUAUUGCUGCAACCACUAAAUUUUGGAAUUGACAUCAGACAAUUUGUUUAUCCUCUAUUAAAAUGGAAACGUAACAACAUGACAUCAGAUAAUUUGUUUACCCUCCAUUAAAAAGGAAACGUAACAACAAGCAGACUUACAUAAAACAUAACAAGAGUUCUCAACAUCUUAUGACAAUUUACAACCAGUAAGAAAACAACAAAAGAACAGCUUUGCAAAAACAACUUUACAAAACAUAUUAUGAAGUAGCACAAAGAAAGAAGAAUAGCUACACAAGAACAACUUUGCAAAACAGACUUGUAAAGCAAGACAUGGUUCAUUAAUUAAAAUAUGAUAACUUUUUUUGGUAUACAAUAAAGGGCAUCUAGAGGGAUAAAUUUCUUGAACAACACAAAGACAACAGUGAAUCUGUAUUUCCUAACAACAUCGCCUACAAGUUUAUCAGCAAAAGUGAAUGGAGGUAGGUGAGCGAGAAAUAGCAGGGGUGCAACAAAGGAGAAUGCAUUUAUGACAUGUGACUGAGCACCUAAGAAGUUAUAGUACCAUGUAUAUCGUUUUAUAAUUGCAUAUAUGCAAGUUUGUCUGUCUGUCCAUCCAGUAAGCAUUCAAUUCAUUGCAUGUAUGUACAUAUCUGCAUACGUAUAUAUGUAUAGCAGCUCCAGUCAUAAAAUAAUACAUUAAUGAAACGCAUGUAACAUUCAAUUUAUUGUUGCUUAAGUCAUAUUAUAUGGCUCGUGGAUCUUUGCAUACAAAAUGAACAUCGUAUUAUGCCCUAUGUUAUUAAUCUUAGGAGUAAAAUAUAGUUUUGUGGUACCAGAAGUUAUUGUCUUCUAAAAGUGUAGACUUGUGUAUGAGUGUUCUCGCAGCAUAUUUGCAUACACAUUCUACCCAAUCUUCAAAACUAAACAGCAGGUAUACGUUUGUAAGCAUUCAAAACAUUGGGAACUCAGAGGGUUGUCGCUGUAGUGUCGAAUGAGCAUCCCAAGACAAGGGAUGAGGGUCAUUUCACCACUUGAGCCACUACCAAAACUCCAAAAGCAUUUGGAAUAAUCAGUUGGUAUACAAAUAAUUGGUAGGCAUACAUAUCUGAGCAUUCAAAGUAUUGGGCAUGGAAAGAGAGAUUGCAACUGAAAGCAUUGAAUUAGCAUCUCAAGCUGAGGGAUAAGGUUGUCAUUUCACCGUUCCAGGCUUUGAGCCAUUAGUGAAAGCCCUUACAGUUGUUGACAGUUCUAAUAGAACUCAAGAAAUUGAAACGUUCCAACUGAAAGCAACAAUAUGGAACAUGUAGCAUGAGUUGUAACCAGAGAAAUUUUUUGAAGCAUUAGAUCAGACAUCUGACAGAGGCAUGUGAAAAACUUUUUGAAGCAUUAGAUCUUUGGAACAAAAGUGUGGCAUUUGCAACUAUGGGUACCUAUAAGUGAAUAAAAGCUCAGGCACAGAGUGCUCUUCUUAGCUUGUUUAUUAUUAACUUUUUUAAUGACCGAAUGCUGGAUAUGUCUUUUAUUCCCAAAUUGAGAGGUGAAAACCACAAUUUAUCUUGAAGGAUGUCCACUCCCUCCUUUACUUCCCAUAUCACAAAAACAUUACGCCAAUGUCCAUUUCAUGUCAAUACCAUGCCCCCCUUAGUCCGGUCAAUUUACCAAACCUACUUAGCAGCUUUCUUUUCUUUUCUUUUCUUCUCUUUAUUGAUAGGAACUCAACAGUUCUUUUGAUGGCAGGCUUCUUUUGACGUCAAAUUCCAGUAGACCACUACAAUCUCCUCAAUCAUCUCUGAAGGUAUCUUAUGCUGACAUGAAAUACCUAUACAGAUUGGAGAAGGCAGAAUUGAUAAGGAUUAGCAUUACUUCAAUAUUUUUUCCUUGCAUCUCUCUCUCUCUCUCUCUCUCUCUCUCUCUAUGUGUGUGUGUGUGCGUGUGUGUGUGUGCUCUUGCGCGUGUGUGAAAUAGGAUCUCAAAUUGACUGAGAAGACAAAGACCCAAGCGAUCUAUAAAUACAUCACCAAAAUCAGUAAAUCAGUUUCCAAAAGAAAAGGAAGUAUAUGAAUUUUAGCAAUCUCAGUGGAACAGAUAUAAAUAAUGCAAUAUAUGGGUUUACAGAGGCCACGUACCAGAAGCAGCACCACCUAAAUAAGUUGAUAUCUCACUUGAAGGGAAAAAAGGGCUAAGAUCACCAGCAUUGGAAGCUGUCUAAAUGAAUGUAAUGUAGUGAAUGCAAGGUUUUUGAGUGAACUUCUACUAUAUUUAUAUUGACAUGAGAAAACAAGCAGAAAAACUAUAUAUAUCUGUAUUUCUUUAUUAGUUACUCCCAUUAUCUCUUCUGUUUUUCAAUGCCCGCGAUCAGCUAUUUUCACAUUCAGCAUUCAUUCCUAUGAAGACAUGAGACCUUAGUCAUUGUAAUUCUUCUACCCUUUCCCUUGUAAUCAAAAGGAAAAUAGCUAUGUACUGCAUAAAUUUCAAUAUCACUUGAAAGAAAAGUGUCCACAAUGAAUACUGAAGUAAACAUUGAAGUUUCCUCAAUUGAUUGACACUUGAGUCCAAUAAAUCAACACCUUCAGGAUUUGUUCAUAUUUUUAGACAAAAAGAGAAGAGAAAGCCCGCAAGGGGGGGGGGGUGUUGUUGGGUGGUGGCAGGGGGCACAGAUCUUCAAUGGCUAACACUUUCAAGAAAAAUAUAUGAAGAAAACAUAAUAAAUUGUCAGGAUAAACCGGCUGCAAGACUAAUCUAAAAGCUUCCUAAUCUGUUCCUACCAAAAAGAAAUAAUGUGCAGCAUAUGACGUACCAACAACUGAUUAACAGUGCCCUUGACUUUGUUGUCUCUUACUGUAGUUGGAUCAAAAGUCCGUAAAGUUGAAUUUCCAUUGACUUCAAGUUGGUGAAGUUUUCCAAUAGCUGCUGUCCCAUCACCCUGAGCACCAACAGUUAGUUUUUGUAUAUCUAAAUGCAAAACAAUACAAAUGUCCCUUAAAAAUUUACCUGCCCAAGAAGAAAAGAGCAGAAGGCUUCCUCAAAUUUUAAAUCCACACCAUCUGAUGCAAGCAAACACUCACAGAUGGUUUUUGCUCUAGCGAUCUGCAUCACAGAUUACCAAGAGUUAGACCAUUGCAUUGAGACAAUAAAAUUAUCGUCUUUAGCUAAGAAAAGGAUACCUUAUCAAUUUGUCUUUUUGAAAAUCCAAGAGCAAUAUGAGCUAUCAUCCCCAUAUAAAAACAAUUAUAAUCAAUUACAGCUCUCUGAUUCUGUGAUUCUAGAGAUUUCUUGUUCUUGCGACUAACAGCCAAGCUGUCCCAAGAAAGAAGAUCUACUAUUUCAGUAGCCAUUAGCUUAUUCAUUGCCUGGCUCAAGAAACAAGACCAGUCUUGAACUCUACAUGAAGAUUCAACAUCAAGACCCUGUCUAAGCAAUUCACGCAAGGCUGAAAUUGCUCCUCUCCUACGUUCAGCAUUAUCAGGAGUGCGAGGCAUGUCUAAUAUCUCCAAUGUGCAAGCAGGUGCAAGCUCCUCUAAGGAUUCUUCUAUCUAGAAGCAUACCAAACAAAUCCAGUUAUUUGAAGGAAUGCGUGAUGAAUGGAAAUGGACAUGUAAGGUGUUUGCCUGUGAUAGCAAUGGCAUUUUUCCUAGAGAAAUUUUGCUCCUCAAUAGGUAUUGAGCACGAGCUAGAGCUUCAAAUCCUUCAGAUACUUUGCUUUUUUCAAAACCAGUCUUCGCAAUUGAGCACUUCAUCAAAAAAAAAAAGUGAGAAGAUAAUUGACAGAGUGAUAAAUACUGACACAAUUAAAAAGCAAUGCGUAAAAUGAUUUAUUUAAAAAAAAAAAAAAACUUGUCAAUACUUCAGAUAGUGCCAUGGAGACAAGCAAAUCAUGAACAUAUGGUUUAGCAUCAGGAAGUUGCACAGCUGCUCGACCAAUAUCCAAUACCAGUUUUUCCUGUCCCACCUGUAUGAAAUAAUUAGUCUUCUGUCACCUCUAAUUGGGUUAAAUUAUAACACAUAAAUACCUUAGUGUAGCAAAUUAGUAUCAGAUUUUGGAAACUGAAUUUUGACGUAGUAUAAUAGACAUAUUCCAUGCAUAUCAAUCAGUAUACAUAUCCCACCUCACAGGGUGCCUUUCUUGAAUAAGAAUCAAUGCAUAUAGCAACAUCCAUAUAGGACCUUUCUACAUUCCAAUAUUCCAAGCAAAAUUGGCAUAUAAUUAAAUGAAUUAUCAUUACGAUGCAGAAAUGCUUCAAGUGCACAAACCUUCUUAGAGGUUCUAAACAUAUAUAUUCAAGCUCUGAAUCAUAUAACAGUGCAGACAUCACUAUACAUAGGUGCAAUUGUGUUGAUAACCAUGUUAGUACAUCUUGAAUUGCCUUUUUUAAGAAUUGGAGGUCCCAAGUGAGAAUAACUUUGAGGAAGUAUUUGUUACUGCUUGAUCUGUUUCAGCUGACCAAAAGCAUGUGAAAACUCUAUGCAUUCCUAUGGAAUACCAUAAAAUGGAUUCGGAAACCAAGCGUAUAUCUAAAUUAGGAGGGCAGGUAAAUUCAAAUAAGCGCAUCACUAAUUAGAUGUCUUAAGAAUAUUAACCCUAUAAUCAUGACAGCUCUCUCAAUUCAGAUGACAGAUUUCCUUCCUCACUGCUAAGUUGGAGUUCACAACAUUGGCAAAGUCGUAGCAAAUUUGACCAACCAAGGUAGAAGCUCAACCUAAAUUUUCCUAAAGCUUAAAGCAGAAAGUUGGUGCUAAUUAAUAAUUCAACUUUCUGACUAAAUGGAGAGGAAUUAUUGAGGAUAUGCGAUCAGCAUUUCUAUUAGAGCUCUAAGAUGGCUUUUCAAUCAUAUAUUUCUCUUGUACCAAAUUCUCGAAAUCAAAGUUUGACCAAACCAAGCAAUAAACAAUGUUACGAAACUAUAGCAAGCAAAUGGGAACCAGGGGGCCACCUAGUGCCUAUGCAUCAAGCAGUUGCAUAGGCACGUGUUUAAACCUAAAAAGACAGAUAUGGCACAACUUACCAUAUACAGCACAUCAUUGGGAACUACUAACUUGCAACAGCAAUACUAAUUUAUAAAUCAAUCUAAAUCUCCAUACUCAAAAUGAUGCAAAAUGUUAAGGGGUGAACCGAGGCAGCUCCGUCUAGGAAGACCAUCUCGGCAGCCAUCAGUGUUUUAAGAAGCAGAUUUGGUAUUCAAGCUGCAUAUGUGAGUGCAUAUAUGGCUGCUCUUUAUUAACAAUUUAAAUGAAAUAUAAUAUUAAUUAUUAAAACAACAACAACAAUAAUAAUAAUCAUAUAAUAACAACAAUUUUAAAUGGAUGGAUAAUAGCAAUAUUAAUAACAAAAAUAACUAACAAUUAGUGCUGAUUACCUAGUAUCUUACGACCAAUAGCAAUAACUAUAACAGAAUCAACAUUUUACCACCAUUACUACUCAUAUCAGGCCUACCUAAAAUCCACAUCAAACCUAAUCAUGAGCUUGAACCUGCUUCACCUACAUGGGUCCACAAAAGAGUAGGUUGUAUACAUAGUCCGAAAAUGCUAUGUUGGCUCACAUAUGCAGUCAUAUGAUAAUAAGCAUGCCACAUAUACAGCCGUUCAAUCAUAAGUUGGCCAACUUUUUGAUCCAUGGGUGGUAUGAUGGCAUACGCUACUGCAUAUAGACAAUGUGGUGUGGUCAAAGGACAGUGUUGAUGCAAAAAUCCGCCGACGUCGGAGAAGUUGGAGUCGAGGGAGUCGCGGUCGCCGCUGGGACCUGCAAAAAAAGUCUAAACCGGAGUUGGGGGUGCUCCGGCAAGACCUUUCGACGCUCAAGUCAGUUCUCUGCCUCAACAAGAAUGGAGUGCUCGAACGAAAAUUUUUNNNNNNNNNNNNNNNNNNNNNNNNNNNNNNNNNNNNNNNNNNNNNNNNNNNNNNNNNNNNNNNNNNNNNNNNNNNNNGUAGCAGAAGCUCGGAGUAUAUCGCUUGUAGCAGAAGCUCGAUGUAGAUCGCUUGUGGUGGGGGCUCGGAGUCCGGCCCUUGUAAGAAUUCAGAUGAGGUCUACCUGCAAUGGGAGCUCAGGGCUGAAGUCCGACUCCCGUAGGAGCUCAGACGAAGUCUCCCUGUAGUAGGAGUCCGGAGAAGAAGUCCGGCUCGGAUGAAACCCAGAAGGCGGUCGACCGCCGUAGAAACUUGGAUGGAGCCCGUCCGUCGUGGAGAUCUGUUGUUGGGAAAGUUCGGCCACUGACGAACUGACGUAGUUCUGGAAGAAAUUCGGAUUGGAGUCGAUCGAAUCCUGUCGGAAAAGAUCCGGAAGGGGUCCGGAGAACGGUUGACCCUUGUAGGAGAUCGGCCGAUGGUAGAAUCCAGAGAGCACUUGGAACAGCCUGAUGGACAACCGAAGAAGCUUAUCGCUGGAGAAGCCCGGGAGAUGCAGCAGGAGUUCGUCCGUCGGGAGAACCCGGUCGACACUCGUGGAAGAAGCUGUGGGAGUUUAUCCGUCGGCAGAACUUGGAAAUAUUGCGGAAGCUCGACCGCCGGAGAGGUUCGAAAAGAUGUCGCCCAAGGUUGGACGUCGGCAGAGUCCCGGGAGGAUCACUCCUGGUAUGAACUUCGGCUGGGGGGGUAUUUUAUACCCAACAGACAGCAUAAACACGUGCAGGCCUAUAUGCUGCAGUAUGCAAUCCAUUUCAUAACACUGACAGCUAUGUUUUGAAACAUUGCCGAUACAGUGGAUCUGAGCUCAGCUAUUAUUUUUAACACAAGUUUAACAGUGUUGUUUAGCUGAUCAACUUAUUAAAUGAUUGUGAGAAAAGUUAAACCCCUUUUCCAGAUGAAUGCAUCAGCAUGUUAGCAUGAAAAAGGAGCACUGAGAUCAUUACAUCAGCUUCAUAAGGAAAAUAAAAGUUCAUAACUACUCAGAUUGACAGAUGUUUGCCUUCUUCUUUAGCCAUAUUGCACGAUGAUUUAAAUAAAAAAGUCUAUAUACCACAAAUUUUGGCAAGAAUACCUCCUGUAGAAGGCAAAGGGCACCAGGCAGCCAAUUCCAAGGAAUAUGAAGAAUAGAUUUUGGUGGAAUAUUUUCCUUUAUAUUGCCAGCAUAGUCCAGCUCAAAAAGAAGUUUAUCCCUCACAUCCAUCAAAAGAUCCUGUGAAUCAGCAACAGAAACAACCAGAUCUGAAACUUUUGGAAUUUUCCUAGAAAAGACAACGUAUAACAUAGAAAUAUUAAUACCAAACCAAAUACCUGCCGGGAAAUAAUGACAUCUGCUGUGUAUCCAUCUUCAAUCUGUGAAUUCUUCAGCUCCAUUGCUGCUUUCACAAUCUCAUCCUUUUCAGCUUGCUCAGGUAAGCCAAGAAUCUGCAAAAUCAUUCAGAAGGCUGCCAUCAUGAUAAUGAAGAUAAUGAGUUAAAGAUAUGACAAUUCAGUAUAAAUCAUAGCACGGGUUACUGUGCACCACCUUCUUGGGAUGUGACCUGUAAAAGGACCAGCAAAAAUAGUAUAUUAAAUAAGUACAUGGGUAUAGUUGCUUAUGUUAAAGAAGAAUAUUAGGGUUCUAGGGCUGUAAAAGGACCAUUUGUAAGUCUCUCCUGUAACCAAUCUCACAGCAUCUUAACAUCACGAAGGCAACACUCAUCUCUUUGAUACAUACCUCAUCUUGAUUUGUCUAAAACACAUCAGUUCACUUCUCAAACAGCUUUUCCGUUUUAGAACUAAUAGCAUAAUUGUUUCCCAAAUUCUAAUUUUAUCACCUCCCUUAUUCUUCCUAAUAUUGUACAGUUUCUUAGUCAAUUGUUGUUUUAUUGCAUGGUUAUAUUUGCAGAAAUGAGACUAAAAAAGCAGAAGGCAAGAAAUCAAAAUAAUCUCAAGAACUGUGGUAUCAGAAUUCCAGGGUCCACUGAUUGGUAUUUAUCAUUUAAUUGAGUCUCUCAGGAGAUGCAACUCUAUUAGGAUUUCUUUCUAAGAUAUUACAAAUCAAAUUAAGAGCGCAAGGAAAUACAUCAGAAAGUAUGCAUGGCCUUAAAAGGUAACUUAUAAUGCCUCCCCUUGGCAAUGAAGCACCCAUAAGGAGGUUCAUGGGGAAUCAUAGCACAAGAUUUCGACCCACUAGUAAAUCAUAGAGUGGAAUGAUGAUUACGGGACCUGAGAUUGCUUUUGGAUGCAAAUAUUCGGAUCAAGCAAAUCAAAAGGCAUUCAAAAACUCAUUUUACUUCGAAAUCAAAUACACAAUACCAUAAUUCUUCACACCCCCACCAAAACAAAACAAAAAAAAAAAAACAAAGAAAUCAAUACAUGCAAUGGGAUAAUAUUCCAAGUAAAUAUGUCGCCAUCCUCACCUGAUAACAAGUGACGGGAACCUCAACGCCCGAUCGAACCUGGCCAUUUGCCACGGCCGGCCCCUUCAUCACCCUCACCCUCGCCUGCCCGGAGAUCUCCCUCCGGAAGGAACGGGAUCUAGUCUCCAGAGAAACCUCGUUUUGAACUCCGCCGUUCCCCUUACAACCAAGCGAGGCCACGCCGCCCGAAGCCAAGGCCUUGCGCCUCUCACUCAGACCGCAAUUCCCGAAGCCAGGGCCCGGCCGGGGCAAGCCGAGCACCAGAUGAGCAAACGUCAUGCCCAAAACGAAAGCCCAAUCACCUCUCCUUCUCCCGCUCCUCCCCCAUUUCCAUGGAAAAUAACGAUCGAGUGGAGGGGAGUUGUUACAAAUCCUUGGCGACGGUUAGGGCUUUUUUUUCUUGCAUUGUCGGACAAAAUUUUGGAGAUAGAGAUGACACAAGGGGGUAGAAGAAAAAGGCCACGGCGGAGCGAGAGAAGAGAAAAAGAAGAGGACGGGAAGCCUUGACGCCCAAGCUUCGGUGCGUUUGAAGAGAGGGAGGAGCGGAGCGAGGAGUGAAACGGGAAAAGGGACAGCUGGGGAGACUAAAAGCGGAUUGCUUUCUUUUUUUUUUUUAUUUAUUAAUUUGUUUUUAUUUUUAUUUUCCUUGAGCACAUACGGACUAACGGUCCAGAAUCCUAUGAUCGGGGAAAGUUCGAAACAAAUAGAGUUCCUUUUGUAAAGAGUCCCCUUGUGCCAUCCAGCCACUGGUCCUGUUGACUUUCCAGUACAUACGAUGAAUACCAAUAAAAUGAUAGUUCCUCGUCACACACCAAAUAUCAUGAAUAAAAAGAUACAGCAUCAAACGAUUGUCCUUACAAUCAUAAUGGUCGAGACUCCCUCGAUCAUCAACCUUUCAAAUCAUCUAUAGCUCCACCAUCUGAGCCAUGCUGUCAAUGAGAUGACACCCACCAGCAGUCAAAAAUUUAAACUCAAAUUUGCAAAUUACGAAUCAUAUAUCCUCUUUACUGCUUCUCAUAUUGCCAUCAAAAUUGCUCUUGAAAUAUUUGAACAUAGAAACUCCUAAGUGAUAAAUACUGAAUCAGAGUGUUGUUGCUUUAAGAAGCAAACAAAUGGGCAUCAUAUUAAAUUUUUUUAAUAGAUAAAAUAAUAUUUUUUUGAUAAAAUACAUAUAUAAUUUUAAUACUUCCUGUAAAGCAAUAUGAGAUAUCUACGUCAGUAUAUUGCCACCCAAAUAAGAACGGGAAGGGAACCAGCAAUUUCAAAAUAAAAAUACCAGGAGGCCCACCCCUUGCUACCUUAUAUGAUGGAAUUGCUGGCUUACAACAUGAUAAAUCCACCAAUCUUCUCAUGCCAGUGGCAUGCCAAAGUACCAAGACAUCUUUUUGCCAACAGGACUUAGCUGUGCAGUCUUUCUCAUUUUGAAAUGUUAGGCUUUUUCCUGAUGUUAUAGCUGAUGAAGGCUAAAGUAUCAAAAUGCCAGAUUAUGCAAUAAAUUGAGACUAUUUAUUUCUUCAAAGGUUGGUUUUAAUAGAACUUGAGUAAGAAAGCCAAAAAAUGAUAUUAUUGAUUUUAGGCUGAUAAUCUAAAUUUAUAUCAGCCCAGACACAAUUGUUUUCCCGGUUCUGAUAAACUGCUAAUAUUUGGCACCCUCCCUACUUAGAAGAGAACAAUUUAAACACGAAUCAAUAUCUGAGCCAAACAAUUGAAAACAAAUCUCUCACAGCACUGCAAAUUUGCUAAGAUGUAGAAGAGUUUCUGAAGGUCCCACAUGUCAACCGUCGGGCUCAAGGUUUGGUAGGGGCUGCCUUGGAACCCUCCAGCCCGAGUUCAACCAUACCUGACAGCUAGACAAGGAGAAUGAAUGGAUAACAAACAGAAGAACACAUCCUUUCAUGUCUUCGAGGUCAACCUCGAUCAAAACCACACUCACAAGGAGAUUAACACCGAACUACUCACAAUAGAAAACCCUCAGGCACCUCCAGGAGAGCAACACUGAAGCACAUUCACACAAUACGUACAUCAGUAAAAGCAAAAUAUGUUUUUUCUAACCCUUCGAACAGUCAGUAUCUGAUUAGUCCGGCACUACCAAAAAACCGAGACGGCCACCUUCCAUCACCCCCCCUUGCAGAGACCAAGGGCAUUACAGUUUUUGUACUACAUUGAAUAUCACCAAAUCAAAAGAUUGAUCCUUCACAAAAAAAAAAAAGGAUAAAAGUUAGAAGAAUAGAACUUCAAAAUAAACUUAAAGCCAAUUUUCCAUUUGAGAACGGUCCAGAACGAUGUAUUCCAAUAAACACAUCCACAUAAGAAAAUGGCUGGCCGCCCAGUGGAUCCAAAAUUUACAAAGAUACUGUCAUAUAAGGAGCUCUACAAAAAGCCUCAACAUCUGUCAUACCACAGCAAAAUGCCGCACCGGCCAAAACAACAACAGACUGAGAUUACAAACUGCAAAAGAAGAGGAACCAAUUGAGGGGAUAUGACAGAUUACUUAGCAACAAAACAUCAGGAUAUUGCUGUGCCGUCUAUCAUAAAUGCCCAUUCCAGAAUGAUAAAUCAAAAUCAGGUCAACAACUGUCCUACAGUUAGUCAUCAGCAUCAGCAGAUGAAGUUGAUAAUGGCUGAGAUGACUUUAACUCCUACGAUGCUGAUGCAGUUGGGUCUCCAAUUUCCUGUGGCAGAUCUGUUUCCAUCAUGUGUUUCUCUUCAUCUUCAGAUUCUACUAUAGGUUCUUCAGAUUCAGCCUUUGACCUGACACAGUACAGCGAAUUAUAAGAUUUGAGAUUCCAUAACUGUUUCCAGUGGAAUGACCCGGUAUCCUACAAGUGAAGGUGCUCAUAAAAAGCCAUAUCUGUUCAAGAUUUUCUAAAAGCAACACAUUUGAUUGAUCAAAGCAUCAAACCAUCGUGUCAAUCAUGUUCAAGAUCCAAAAGAACCACUAGUCAUGAUUGGAGGUCCAUGAAAGGCACAGGAUCGAAUUUAUAGAAGUCUAGUUAUAUCUCAGAUCAAGGUUUUAAAUCCCACAAAAUGGGGCUAUCUCGGUUUUUCCAUGAAACGAGACGCGUUGUCGUCCCGACAUUUGGGACAAAGAAUAUCCCAAGACGUCUCAAUCGGGACGUCCUUGUCUCGAUACAUAGGAUGGUACCCCAUCCCCGUGUCUUGUGGGACGUCCUGUUGGGACUUGAAUCCUCAUCUUAGAUAUGAAGGAUAGUAGGAAUUCUUUAUAAAUCAAAGGUGCAUUUAAUCAAACCCAUACCAAGGAUCCCCUACAAGGAUAACCGUGUAAGAGAAGAUAAGGGGCAAGAAAAGCUCAAGAGCCACGAAGACUAAAAGCACAACAAACUAUUCACAGGAGUUGAACUAAAGCAGGAAAACGAUAAGAUGGCUUUAAAUUCACCUUGGUUAAAAGCAAAAAUGCAGUGAUAUGAAACACUCACCUUGGUUUAAAAUUACGGACUUUUAAAUCCUGUAUAACACGGAUGAAUGCAUGAAGAGCCAUUUUCUUAACCUGGAUCAUGUUCAAUAAAGUUAGAAACCAUAACAGGAAUUGGAACAAAAUCUUCAAGAUGCAUAACAACAAACAAAUUUAAUAGAAGCAUGAAAAAGCACAAUUAUGGAUUUAUAGGGAAGAAGCAUAGGACCAAAUUAGUAAACCUCUAGCUUAUCUUCCUUAGCCCUGUGCUCUUCUGGAAGUACACGAAAUUCUUCUGUUAAUCGAAUGCAUUGACGGACAUUCUCAGGAGACACAAAGUCUAGAGCAACCUUUAUGCAUGACUGUUCAUGAGGGAAAAAAAUGUCAAAUUGCAGUUACCAAUGAAUCAAGCAUAAACCCUUGGAUUAAGUCAGAAUAAUAGUUCAUAAAUAACAAAUAAUCCACUUAUCAUGUAAAUAAAAGAGAAGCACACCUUCAAAUUUCUAACUUGAUGGGGACAUCCUGCUGGGAUAAAGACAGCCUCGCCAAGCUUUUGCUCAAAAGUCCAGGGCUCAAUUCCUAAAUGAAUCCAAGAUUAUUAGAUCUAGAUGCCUUCAAUCUUAGCAAUACGAAUGCAUAACAGAUAACCAACAAGGCCAUCAUUGUGUCCAUAAUUAGUGUAAGAUUAACUGACCAUAUUCAUCCUUAAGCUUCCUUUUAUGCUCCAAGGUUAAAUAGAAAGACUGGUCAUGAAUAGGGUGAAGCACCUAUAACAGACGAUUGAAGUUAUUUACAAUGCAAAAAGGAAGAUGAAGUGCAAUACAACAUAAUACUGUGCAUAAUGACUUGUUACCUGUUCAACUGGAGAACAGUGGACAUGCCUGAACUCUCUAGCAUGUUUUUUAAGAUAUUCCUGUAGCUUCGUAACAUCUUCUCUUCUAAAAAUAUCCCACAAAGCACCACCUUCUGGCUGCUUCUGCUCUUUUUCCUCUAUGCUGUCACCAGACACAGCAGAUCGUUGCUCUCUUACGUUAGCUGAACCUCCGGCUUCCUUCACCUCUGCACCAUUUUCAGAAUCUGAAAGUUCCUCCACUUGACCACCAUCAGCAUUUUCAGUGGUUUCAGUGUUGACAGUAACAGGAUCAAGUUCUCUUUUCAUUCGUUGACCAGAAACUGCAGGCUUUCUCCCCCUCCUUUUCUUCCUACUUCUAUUUUUUGUUCUCUCAUCUGGCCCUUCAGAAACUUUAUGAUUGUUACCCUCAGCUUGGAUCUCCACAUCAUUACCAGAUUUGUCUUCUGGUUCGAGAUGAGGAGAUAGCAUCACAGUUUCACCCUCGCUCUGAAUUUCCCCUGAAGUUUGCCCAGGCACUACCUUGCUCGGCUUCUUCCCAAAAUCAGCAGGCUGGCCCCUCUUCUUUUGACCUCGUUUCGUCUUAACCACAAGCAUUUCAUCAUCAUCCUUAACAUUUGCAUUACGCACUUCAUCAUUUUCAGUUUUACUGGAAAACUGACUAGCAUUAUCUCCUUGAUCGACUCCUCUAGAGCAAGAGACUCCAUUGCUUUCAGUUUUAACAGGACACAGAGGGAAAUUGUCAUUACCAUACAGCCCAGUUUGGCAAGCAUCAUUACCUGCUUCAGCUUUGACACCAGUAUCCUGAUCAGAUCCUUCCUCCCAAGCUCCAUUUCUGGCAUUUACCACUGCCAAUAUCUGCAACUGACCAGUUCCUUUCAAGGAGGAUUCAGAUAUAGGAAAAUCUCCAUCAGCAGCGGCACAAGACUGAAUAUCAACCAAAUCAGAUGUGGAUUUAAUCACUGAUGGAUCUUCAGUAUGAACUUCCACAGUCUCUUUUAAAUCAUCACAGACUUUGCCAGAAUGCCGGAUUUCAUUCUGGCAUAUAUUCACUUGACCCAUCUCUGGACUUCUAAGAGCUCCUUCACCAUUCAAAUUACAAGAAGCCAUUUGACCAACUUUCUUCUCUUCCAAUUCACUAGCUGAUGCAUGCAACUUAAUGGUUUUCAGAACAGGCUUGUCGACAGAAAGCUUCAGACAAAUUCCAUCACCUGCUUGACUAUCAUCUUCAGUUGUUUGAUGUCCUUUCAAAUCUUCAUUCUGAGAAAGCUUUUGGUUAUUUGAUAAACAACCAUUUUGUCCCUCUUGUUCAUCAUGCAUUACACCUCUUUCAGCUUCAAUGUCAGAAAAGCUUGCAUCAGCAUCUUUCUGAACAUCCAUUGCAUCCCCAAUCUUAAUAUCUGAAUCGUUCACAUGAGAUUCAGCUAUAGAGAGAGAAUUUAUUUUUUGCUGACCAAAAGAAUCAUCACAUAUCAUAUUGUUGGCUUGAACAGGAUGAUGAAGGUCAUUUUCUAAACUAGGUGCUUGAAUGGAGUGUUUUCCCCCAGCAGUAAAGGUGACAUAUGACUUAUCAUCAGGAGGCUCCAUUACAGAUUUCCCUGGAGAUGGCGAUGAGUUCUCUUCUGGAUCUUUUCGUGUGGUACAAUUCUGUUCUCUUAAAUCUUGAUCCCUGUGUUUCUUUUUCAACUUCUCUAUCCUAGAAAGCUGAUAAUCAGUAAGGGUUAUCUCUGCUGUGUGUGUUAAGACAUUCACCUGGGUAAGCAAUUACAUAUCAGGCAUUAAAAAAUUUCCCUGAUUAAAAUGGAGUAAUGUGCGAAACACAAACUACUGAAAUGAUCUAAAACACAGGCUCAACAACAAAUGCUAAUGAAAAAAGGUUUAAUCUAAUGUACUAAUACUAUUAAAAAACGGCAAACAGAAAAUCUAACCAUUAAAUUCAAUAAUUACAGCCCAUGAUUUUAUAGGUGUUUCCAGAGAUCAAGAGAUGAUAGCCAAAAACAACAAACACCAAAAAAUGAUGGUCACAACAAACACCAAAAAAUGAUGGUAACAACAAACAGACGUUUCUGCUUUAGCUUUUCAACACUUUCCCAAUAAAAAACAGAAAACUUAAAAUGGUUAAUACUGCAGAAGGAUAACCUUUCGGGAGAUAUCAAAUCAUUAAAGCCAGGGGCACUAAUGUAUCCUCAAAAGCUCUGAAAUCAGAUUCUGAGACUAUUGCACAAACAUGUGGAUGAGUUAGGCUAUAUAUGUAUUGACUCACCUCAUACAGAAAACCAAAUGUCAAUUAUCAACAUGGGGUAACUUAUACCAACUUACCAAAAAUUGAGCCACAGAUGAACAUGAUAUUUAUUUUUUUACGGUACACGAACAUGAUAUUAAUAAUUGAAGAAAAAUACAUACUGCAUCAGACAUAUCACAAUGAAGCUUCGUCACGGAAUCACCCCUGCCCAACUCUUGGGGAAGACCAUAAGCAAUAUAUGUUUUGGGUCCCAGGUCUGGCUUUAGAACAUCCUUCGGCAGCUUCACUGCAAGAUUCAGAGGACCAUACCUAGGAUCUGUAUAUUCCGGGAAUGGCAAAGCAGUUAUAAACUCGGCACCAUGGCGAGGUAACCGAUCCUCAAAGGAACUGGCUGGAGGCCAAUCCUUCAGUUUUAGCAUCUCAGGCCAUUGAUUUCUGUGAGUUCGCCCCUCAGUAUAUCCUCUGAAAAAUUGGUGAAUAUUUAUCUCAACCUACAACAUACAACAUAUGCAUCAGGGAGUCUCAAGUUAGAUAGAUAGCACAAAACACCACCAUGCAGUUGGCCAGUCUGCCAACACAUUUCCUAGCAUUAGACUGUGAAAAUUAUACAGGAUGGUAAAAACACAUCAAACAAGGAACACACAGCUUUCAAAAAUAGACAUAGGCAACUGCCUACUUGCAUGACAUUCAUCAGAUAGUCCAUUUUAUCCAAUGUAAAAAAUGAACAACCAAGGAACACACAUUCCCCAACUGCAGAGACGGUUGCAACUACAUAUCCACAAAAGUUUCUUCAAAGAUUCUUUGCUUCAAUAGGUACAUGUAGUGUGUACAUUUCCAUCUGAAUAGAGCAUUACCAAAUUACAUUCCUUCAGAAAUCUAUUCAAAUGUUUACUAGGAUUUAAAUUAAUUGACAAACUUCAUACAUUGGUCAAAAUGUACUUCACUGUGAGUAGAUUUUACAACCGCAGCAGUUUUUGUUCAUGCUUAACACAAUGGAACAAAUUGUCAUCCAACUAAGGAUGCAUCAGUUGCAUAUACAUGAUUAAGAAGUUUGGAAAGCUCUGUCAGUCAUGAUGCAAAGAAAAUAAAUAAAGGAAAAUAUAGACCGUUCUACAACUUUUUCAACAGAACAAGGACAAUACCAAAGAUGUGUGUGUAUUCAAUGAAACUACUUUAGAAACAUCUCCUAACAUCAAAAACAUCAAUGAGAUACCAAAACUAACCUCACACCAAUCCAAACAAUCAAUAGCCUUUACUGCAAGCUGCUCAGAUGAAGCCUUAGACUUUGUCUUCUCUCGCAAUGCACGCCACAUAACCAUUGGCUCCCAGCUCAGGCCAGAAGUAAGCUCAAGUACAUCACGAACAAUCACCGGCUCUCCCUUUAACCAGUGGUUUUGGAAGUGCUUCAGUUCUCCCUGUUGAAUAUCUCUAGCAGUAGGACAGUAUAAAUAAUUAUCAUCAGAAUUCUCCCUAUAGGCUGCUUUCCGCAACAUUUCACUCCCAGCAUUAAUAUUACCAGAUGCAGUGAAACAGGCACAUGAACUGGACAUGUCCCCAAAUUUUGCAAACCUAUUGCUCCUAGCAAUUGCAUCAGCUUUCUCCUCUAACUGGAAAAGCAACUUUUCAGGAAACAUGCACUUCAGCUCCAAGAGGGAGCUGCCACAGCCCCCAAUCUCCUUUGGCGGGCAAGGAAUGCUGCCAUCACUAUUUGCUUUCCAUCUUGUCAUAUGAGUCAUUCGAUCUGUAGAGAUAGCAAUCCGGUUGUCUAUAGAACUCUCUUGACUUUUUUUCCUCUUCUCUUGACCUUUAUUCAUGCGACGAGGACAUCCCCCAUGCACAUAAUCCUUACCCCUGUCCUGAUAUGGCAAAAUUACUGUCCCAUCACCACCAGCUAUGUGACCUUCACGUAGUUCCCGGCAGCAACUAAGGCAUAAGUCAUAUGAACAGCGACGGCAGCUUCUAUGGAAAUCAACAAUAGAGGUUCUGCAAUUGUCACUGCUCCAGAACAAUUUCAGAGAUCAGGUUUUUGAAAGGCUUAACUUAACCACAUGCGGAGCCUAUUACUUAUGAAGAGCAAAGUUUCCAUCAGUUGAGAUAUCAGUCAGUAAGUAUCAAAGGCUCAAUGAUACUAUAUAACUAAUAUCUCAGAUGAAAUUUCCUAAUCAAUCUUUACAAUCUUAAAUGAACAUUUAACAUAAAUGCUUUUGUGGAAAUUGUUAGAAUACACGGAAAGUUCUUCAGGCCCACCUACUGCUAGCUUGGCAACUUAAAAUUUAAUCCACCAUCCAUAUUGUGCAAAUUCCUGAGAAUCAUGCAAGUCCCCUCAAGCCAUGUGGCAGGAGGAACUUUUCAUGUCCAUCAGACAAGGGCCCCCCAGCAUUACUCAUUUUUAAAUAUUAGAUAUUUAAGUUUAUGCAAUAAGAAUAGUAUGUAAUCAUGGAUUUACCAAUAUUGGCCAAUAUUUAGAUAUCUAAGUUCCAUGGUAUCAGCCAACAUAUGGAAAAUAUCCAGUCCUCAUAUAUUUUUUCCAAGUGUUCCAUUUUGGCCAAGAGAAAACCCAAUUUAGGUCUAGAUCGGCAUAGGCCAUCAAACAAGAUGACCGAGAUCUAUGGUUUUAAAAAAUCUUGAUGAGGGAAAGAGUUUUACCAGUAGACACGUUCAUCCUUUUGACAGUUAGCUCUUUUUAACUUUAUUUCAGUCAAUGCACAACCUGGUCAGGAGAAAAAUGCAGCAGCAGGGGAGAAAGAUCAGAUGGAAAAGAAUGGAUGGAAAAGGUAUACAACUUUAAGUCCAAUUUAUGCCAAUGAUACCUCGGAUCUUGGCCUCGAUUUCCUUUUCUGCCAUCUGUUCUUGUUGUAGUUCUUUCAACCAUGGCAGCAAUAAGCGUACAAUAUAACAGUUGUAUUGGACUCGGUCAGCAUUCUUAAUCUUUUUUUCAGGAGGCUAGAGUCAAGAUAGAGAGUGUGUCAUCAGAUAUGAUUACAUAAGUAGAGAACCAAAUGCAACAAUGAUCAAGAAUUCCAAAUACCAAAAUCAGACCUCAGAAACUCCUUUCAUUCGCAAGCAUGCCUUGCAAUUGCAAUUGUUGCAGCAAACUGGGCAUUCUUUUGCAAAUUCAGCCUCCGAUAAGUGAGGAUACCUGAUAAAAAUCACAAAGGAAAAAGCAUAUACAUAAUAGAACAUCUAUAUUUUCAAGCUUGCAAUUUUCACUAUUACACUAUGAAACACUGAAUACCUUACCACUGCAGCCACUGACCUCAAAAGAAUACCUAUCAGCUAACUCCAUACAACCUUCUAAACAGUCAAAAGAACAGUAAAAUUUGGAAGCAUAGAACAUAUUCCUUAACGAUGUCAAUGAUAACAGCAUAAAAUUUACACAUUUCUACAAUUCAGCCCUGGCAGAAAGAAGGUAGAAGAAACUUUUUUUUCUUAGAAAAAAGAAACGGAUGAGACAUGGAAUAGUAAACGAGCAAAAAGGGAAAUAUGGAAUUUAUCAUAAAAUUGCGAUGAAGAGCUUUUAAAGGUUAAAACCUACAAAUGAGAACAUACAUUUACAAGAAGAAUGAAUAGAUAAAGAAGAAAGGUGCAAGGAUCAUCACUCACCAGCGAGUCAUGCACGGUACACAAAAGCGCUUCCUUUUGCACAUCAAACACCAUACUACCCUUCCCUUAUCAUUCCUCUGGCAUUGGUGGCACAUUAGGGCAUCCUCCCCUGUCAGUACCCUCCUCUUAGAACCCUAAAAAAGAAGAUACAUGCUAUAAAUUAACUGCAUUCGACCAAACCAAAGAGAUAAAGUCGUGCGUCCAACCCAUAGUGGAGAGAAUUUAUUACCUCAGGUUUUUUCUCAGGGCCUAAAACCUUGUUGGAGUUCCUCGUAACCCUAGCAACAGAAGAGGGCCCAGCUUCCAAAUCCUCCUUCUUGGCCUUUCUCCCCUUCCCACCCUCCUUCUUCCAAUGCUUCCUCUUUCGCUUCUUCCCCACCUUCGAAACUUCCUCUUCUUCCACUUCUUCGUCGCCCUAAUCCUCAUCACAUCACCGUAUGUUAAAAUAAAAAAAUAAAAAAAAAAAGGAAGAAGAAGAAGAUAAAUUUUUGUCAUACAAAACAGUAGAUAAAUUUCUAAAGCCCACACAAAAUCGUUCCCUGCCUUCUCCAGGCCGAAAACAGCAAGAAACGAAAACGGAAAGGAUCAAAUCUUUCUCCAAGAAAGAAGGAGAAAAACUUAAGCAUUGCAAGAAAUCGCCCCUCAAGCUCGCCAGAACCGAAAAAGAUAAAGAACGCAAAGGAAAACAAAAAAAGAUCGAAUUUUGCGCCAAAAAACAAAGAAAAGACCGCAAAUUAACUUGAAGAAAUCGCUCUCUGACCUUCACGAGUCCGUCUUCCUCGUUCUCCUCAUCGCUUCCGAAAACGUCCACCACUAUCGGCUUCACCGGCUUCCUUUCCCUCAUCUGGAUAUCCCUUCCGGCGAACAUUCCACCAACGCUAGCCGCCGGCGGCCGGAACGUCCUAUCAUCACUCUUCUUCCUCCGCCGGCUGCUCCGCCCGCCCCCGCUCUCCCCAUCCCUCGACGAAACCCUAACCCUACUUUUAUUCACCUGCUGCUCGUGAUGAACCUCGCAGAGGGUGAUUCCUUCCUUCCUCCAGUUCUUGCACCGCCACGACUUGCCGUCGCUCCGCUUGCACCGCCGAUCCGUCGGCGGCGUCCCCGGCCGCUGCCCGCCGGCCAUCCUCUCCCCAGAAAACCCGGUUCUCUCGCCCCGAAACCUCCGGUUUUUGAAACCCACUCGUCCCGCCACAGAGAAAAAGACCGGUAGCAGUGAAAAGGGAAACGAAAAGACCAGUCUUUGCUUGAUGGCGUAAAGAAAGAAGCGGGGUAGAUGAUGAGAGUAUAUAUAUAUACAUCCAUAAAAGAGAGAAUGGAACAAUUAAGAGCUGGUGCAAAAUAGACUCUCUCGCUUCCUAGCUUGAAUCGCUGUCCGGGAAAUGCAAAUUUAAUGCAUGGGAAACGGGUUCGAGAAACGGCACGAGGCCAACGCGUGGCUGGGGCGGAGGAGAAGCGGGAUGGGGCGGGGGUAGCGGACGGCGCCCUCGGAUUUUUGGGAGGAGAGCCAAAACCAGCGGCGGGGCUGCCGGUUUCGGGGGAGCGCCCGCCCGUUGCGCGAUCGAUUGGGGUUUGGUGUUCCGGAGGUACGAGUUAUCGUCCCCUGUCGCGCGCGUGGGCGUAUGGCGCGGUUUGCGAAUUUUGGCCCGUGUGUCGGAUGAGUGCGUCCCGCUGGACCCAACCUGCGAGCUCUCGGAUUGGAAGGAAGCCAAUCUGGGCCAAGAAUACCAUCUUUAUACUCUCUUGCCGGAUUAUAAACUAUGGAAAUGGUUUGGAGCUGGAUGCUCGGGCGGGGAAAUGUACGGACUGACGUUCCACGUCUCCACCAACUUUCUCAUGCUUCAUCUUACCAUAAACUGUUUUCUCUAUUUUAAAAUCAGAAGCAGGAGUAGAUCUGAAGAAGAUUUUUUUUUUUUUCAAGAAAUAUACGAAGCAAGUAAUCGGAUGAAGUAAAUAUAGAAUAAAUUAAAAAAUUAUUCAUCCAAAUAUAAUUUAUUUAUUAAAUAAAUUAAAAAUUUAUAUUUAAAUCUAAUUUAUUUAUUAAAUAGAUAAUUCGUUCCGAUAUGUCUAAUCCAUUUAUCAAAUAGAUCAAAUUAGGUUAAAUAUAUUAGGCCCAUGAUUCAAUGGAUUAAAUAGAUUAUCUAACUUAAUUUAAUUUAAAUAUUAAAUAGAUUAGACGAAUUAAAUGAGUUAAAUAUCUAAAACUCAAAUUCGAUUCAAAUAUUAAACAGAUUAAAUGGAGUAAUCUAUUUAUAAUCUAAAUCUAUUUAUGAUAGAUCAUAUUUUAUUUUUUUUAAUUUUAAUCAUAUAUUAUAUAAAUAGGCUCACGUUAGACAGAUGUGGUAAGAAAAAUAUAGAUAGUUGCGCAUGAUUGUUGAAGAGAAGACGUAUGAAAAGAAAAUAGAAAGGGUAUUGGUGGUUGGAAGGUUUGAUACAUGGCAGAGACGCUAGCAAUUGUUUUACCGCGAAACUUGAUACGAGGAGUUAGUGAAACACCAUUGCUGUGUCGUAGGCGUGAGCAAAUUGUGUGAUUGGAUGUAUCCACCACAUCGCUAUCUUGGAAAUGGAGGCUCUCAUUCGUCAUGAGAACAGUGUUGCGUUUGAAUGCUAAAUACGUGAGGUAGCUGUCGAACAUUAGGUGCAAAAAUAUUAUGCGAAAGAGAGAGCUCUUCAAGAUAGAUAUAAGCAUGUACGGCUCUCAAUGGUGUAAAUGAUGCAUGGCAAAGGAUGCUGAAUCAUUUAGAAAAGAUUAUUGGACAUCAUUAAGAUACCAGCUCUGAAGUUUAAGAUGUGGGAGGAGGCCAAGCCCCCGAUUUAAGGUUCGUAAAUAGGUUAAUAACUAUAUGCAAGGAUAUAUUAGUUUGGAUCCCUCAAGUUCUAAUGUGAAAAAUAAUCAUAGAACCAUUUUAUUAAGAUUGCAACUUAAUUGAUAAAGUGGCAAAUUCUAACAGGCAUUUGAAGUAUUCUGAAAGAUCCCUAAAUAAUGUCUAUAAAAGCCAGGAAGGACAAAUUAGCAAAGAAUUAUUUAUCUUUUUUUGAUAAAUAAGAAUUGUGUAUCUUUCAAGAUUAUGAAAAGUCAGAUCAUUUAUCUUUUGGACAUCGUCACUUUUUAGAGUACCUAGUCCAAACCCUAAAUUUCUAAACGCUGAAGUUUUCAUUUGUUUUGAUUUACCCACAUUAGUGAAAGCUCUCGUUCCUUUGUUUCCAUUAGUUGGGUAUUCUUUUUCAAUUUUGAAAGGUCAAUUUAUUUUAAUAUAUAAUUUAUUAUAUUGUCAAUGUUUUCUCUCAACAUAGCUUACGCUCCUUUGUUUCUUUAAAAAAACAAAAUAAAAUCUCUCUUGAAAAUGAAGGUUCAGCUUGCUCCAAGCUAUUGCCGUUAUGCUUGGGCUACAACUAAUCGUGGAAGUCAAAUAUUGCCAAGAGGUUCUACCAGAAUAUCUAUCUUUUCUUUUCUUUCUAUAGAAUUUGCCAUGUUAUCAUAACUUUUUUCUUUUGAUAUAAAAAUCUAAAACCAUAAACAUACAAAACCUAUGAAGAUUAAAAUGCAUGAUAAAUUCCAUCCUUUCUUCCUUCUUUUAACACUCUAUUUCCAUUAAAAAUUGAUAAAAUUCUUUUAUAUCAAGGCAUCAAACUCAUGAAACCCAACCUAUCAACUUUUGCGUCGCAUGAUGGCACCAUUUAAUAGAUACCGAUCGACCCAUCAUACCAUGCAGCUGUAAUAUUCGACAUUGGACAAAACAGCAAUGAAAGCAAGUUAUCUAGACAUCUAAAUCUAGACAAAAUAGCAGAGAGCCCUCAGCUCAGAUUAUUUAUGCAAUCUUUUUCAAUUUUGAUACAAUCCAUAUAUUCCUAAAACAAAUAUUAACUUUCCGUGUUUAUAAAUUUUUAUCAUGCAUAAGAAUCCAUGUCUCACUUUCACCGCACUCUAAUUAAAUACAGCAAACAUCAUCUGCAAAUCAACCAAAACCUAAAUUAGUAAGAACUUUAGUUUUUAUCAUACAUCACGUUUCUAUCCUCUUGAUUCCCAAUGCCCUUCACUUCAUGUAGAACCACCUAGGCUAGUAUUACCACCUCACUUGCCACCUUUGUUGGCUCUUGCUCUUCUGGCUUCCGCUAGCCUCUAGCAUAUAAUAUCGUAUGAAAUGGAUGCCUCUUAGUACUUUCAGCAACUUCUAAUUAAUAGCUUAAUCGAACCCACUUUAGUUGUCUCCAUAUUGAACGUGCCCGUUUGCUUUAUUGGAAUUGUAAGCAAUUGCCCAGCAAUGACAUUACGAACUUCAUCCAAUAUUGAUAAAAUAAAAAUAAAAAUUGAGUUUUAAUUGAGAUCGGUAACAACAUCCAAUAUUACCCCUCUCCAUACAAAAAAAAUGACAAAAUAGGAACAUCGCCCCUAUUUCAAUCGGAGGCCUUUAGAGGCUCUCCUGUCUCCUUCCCUCCUCCUCUCUAUCUUUUUCUCUCUUUUCUUCUCCCUUUCCUCUUCUUGUCAGCCCUUCAUCGAGCGUAAUAGGCCUUCAGUAACCUUCAGAGGCUCUCUCUCUCCUUCCCUUUCCCCUCUCAUUUUUUUUCUUUCAUCCUUCCUUUAUCCUGCUGCAUCGAUUCAAAUCUGACAUAGAACGAUAUGGAGGCUUACUAAACCAUUUAAUUGGCUGAUCAGUUCGGACUUCGAUACUAGUACAACGAAUCUUAAUUAAAAAAAUAUGACUUAAAGCAUGCAUAAUAUAUCAGAGUUAACCUCACGCCAACCCAUAUAACUAAUUUCUUUAAAUUUAAAAGCACUCAUAGAUAUUGACUUGUCUCACAAUGCAUGCUAUAUAACCAUUGGCUCCCAGCUUAGGUUAUAAGUAAGCGCAAGCACAUCAUGAACAAUUACCCAAUGAUUUUGGAGGUAUUCUAGAGAAGGUAGAUGGAUUGAUGUAUCUCUUUUACCAAUAUUCAUUGCGGGACAUCUUCUUUCUGAUUUUUUGAAUUGUAUUCUUAUUUGUUGUGUAUACGAAUUCUUCCAAUUUAUCAAAAAAAAUACAUAUCUUUAGUGGUCGGAUGGCAUAAAUAGUUAUCGUCAGAAUUCUUCUUACAAGUUGCUUUCUGAAACAGUUCGCUCCCAGCAUUUAGAUGGCAAACAGGAGCAUCACUGAACAUGUCCCCAAAUCUCCCAAGCACAUCGCUUCCAGCAAUUGUAUCCACUUUCUCCUCUAUCCAACAAAGCAACUUUUCAGGGAAGUCAUGCGCUUCAGCUCCGCAAGGGGACUUACUGUUGGGAGAUACGGACCGACCUACGGACCGACCUACGGACCAACCGACCGACCGAUCGUCGGAUGCCAUUACUGACUGAGGGUAUGUCGGUCGGGCGGACCUUUUUUACUCUCCCGACCGACUGCACCAGGGAGUCCGAUGGCCGACUCUAGCAACAUGUCCGACUGACUGUCGGAGGGGCCUGGAUCUCCACCCGACGCCAUACAGCUGGCGACCGGUCUAGGAUCGGUCGACUCCUCCGAUCGCCGUACAGCUGCUAGAGACUGUCAGCCCUGACAGCAACAUGCGGCACUGCCACCUAAAGGCAUUAUCCCACCUAGGGCAUUGUCAACCCUAGUGAUUUGACAGCCCCACGGCGAUGUGACACUUUCACGGUGACUCUGACAGUCUACAGUGAGUUGACAAUUCCUCAAUUGUCCGUGCCAUUAAUGACGGCGCCAUACCAUGCUCCACCAUAUAUAUAUAUCGGGGAAGGCAACAGUGCAAGAGGCCCUUCGAAGCGACAGGCUUGCUCCCUCUCUCUUUCUCUCUCUCUCUCUCGAUUGAGCUCCCUGUCUUCAUUUCACUGUUGCCCAUUCACCUCUCUGACUUGACCGUCGGAGGGUCCCCGUCGGAGCCGCCUCCGGUCAGUGUGGACUUCCUUUUUUGCAGACGCUCGUUCCCGGCGACCAGACGACGAGGGGAUUGGCCGCAACACUUACCAUCAAUAUUUGCUUUCUAUUCUUGCAUAGGAAUCAGAUAAUCUGUUGAGAUAGCAAGCUGCCUGUCUAAAGAACUCUCUGUUAACUUUUUUCCUGACCUAUUGACCUUUCUUUGCCUGAUGAGGAGAUUCCGCAUGCACAUGAUCUUUACCUCUAUCUUGAUAUGGCAAAACUACCAUCCCAAAGACCACCAUGUAUGCAACCUUCUUUAAGAUCCCAGAAGUGAUUUAUUUAAUUUUGAUCUGCAUCUGGACCCAAACAUGCAUGCAGUCAUCCCGGUCACAUUCACAUGAAACAACACCACUUCCUCGGUAGCAACAGGAAGCUUCAUGUCCACCUCCGACUCCACCUCUCCUCGACCUACUUCUUCUGCCAACCUUUCGCUAAGCCGGCAUUCUCAUAGUAGUAGGUGUUCUUGGCUCGGAGGGUGAAACUGAACUCUGGGUCUGGCUCGAACUGCACGACGGAGAAGGUUGUGGACGUAAAACUUGGGUGGAGCGAAAUAGCAGUGCAGCACAACGAUAACGAUGGCGGCAGCGGGGAGGAUGCAUUGGGUACAGCGGUUGGUCUUCGAUGCAGCGACGUGAUGACAUCGACGGCGAUGGUUUCCGGUGGCGGAAAGGAGUGGGCCUCCACCGUCAUGGCGCCGCUUCUUGGAGGAUGAUAAGGGGGCUGUUGGCAAGCUUUUGGACAGAGAUUUUGGAUGGUUUAAGCAGCUCGCAAACGUACGAGAACGAAGCCAUGUCAAUCGUUACAUUUUUUUUUUUUAAUAAAACAAUUAUAAUUCCGUUCUGGAUGCUAAUAAUUAAAGGAAACCAGAAAAUGUAGAUACAUAUAACAAUAUGUUAUAAAUGUCGUGGUGGGAUUUAUUUCCUCACAUAUUUCUUAUAAAUGCCGUGGUGGGAUUUAUAACAAUUACAUUUUUUUUUUUGAUAAAACAAUUAUAAUACCGUUCUGGAUGCUAAUAAUUAAAGGAAACCAGAAAAUGUAGAUACAUAUAACAAUAUGUUAUAAAUGUCGUGGUGGGAUUUAUUUCCUCACUUAUUUCCGUCCAGAAUUUAGAUGAAUUCAAACACACGUAGUAUACAAGGCAAAUAUAAAAAAAAAGGAUUGAAUUAGAGGUCCUAUGAAUUGAUGGCAUUCCCCAAUCUUUUUGGUAAAUGAGCUUCCCUUUUUAAAUAUUUAACAACUAAAAUACUUGAAUUCGAAAUUCAACCGUCUGCUUAUCUUUUUGGUAUGUAUCACUGAAUAUGAAUGAAUUCAAGAAUGAACCUAUGCACUACUGUUUAAGGCUAUCUAAACGUAUCUACUCAAUGUCGUUAAAUUUAAGAAUUCACCACUCUUAAUUCAACAAAAAGCUCUGCUUCCACUCUACCUAAUUAAAUAAUCUAAAUCAUUAAAGACCAGAACAAGAAGAUCAGUGUUACAAGAUAGUUUAUCGAAAACUAGCAUUCGUGCUUUCCUUUCUGAUCGAACCAAACCAUCACGAGCUCGCUCUCCUCAAAACUCGCGAGUACGGUGGUGAACGACCUCUCCUUGCCUCCGCGCUUUCGCCAGAUUUUCGAAACUGGGAAGCUGUCAUUGUUUCAACAUGGCCGAGGUUCGGUUCUCAUUUCUCUUGUACUACCAGGUUUUUGGGAUUCAAUAAUCUCAGGUUCCCCCAAACAGAAGAUUUCUUCACUCCCAUUGUUUACUCAUAGGCGACCACGCACGAAAAAAUAUAUUCAUGGAUAGGUUAUAUACCGAUUACCGAUGUUGCAUUCUUUCACAUUUGGGUACAUAGAAUAUGAGCAACACAGAGAUCACACGCAAAUGCAGCGAUGAUUCAUUGUCAAGCAUUUAAAACAUGACCAUUUUGCAAAUCAAUUAAGAAACUACAUACGGGCAUUUAUAGCAUGAGAGUACCAGAUUUUCAUAUAGUUCACCAGGGCUCCUGUAAGCAGCCGUAAUGAGUAAUGUAAGAGGCUCUAAUCACCUUCCUUGACAAGGUUCAUGCUAGAAGGAUAUAGCGAAUAUAUGUCGCAUAUUCAAGACCCCAAAGGCAAAGUACUUUUUAGCGACAACAGAUUCAGAAGGAGACAAAACGUGUUGCUAUAAACUGUUUAACUGUUGCAGCAGAAGAAAAUUGCAUACUUCUCCUACGUUCAAGAAAAAAUAAUGGUCCUGGAUGAUGACAGAUUAAUCAGAAAAUAUUGAUAGUAACAGUACAGUGCUUCAAUCGUCAGUAGAAAUUGUCAUCAGAGAACAAGAAGUACCACCCCAGGUUGGGCACUGAAAGAGCAGUAGAUAGAGAAAUUAUUGCAUGCACUAGGUGCAAGUGAACAAAGGCAAAUCCCCAAGCAUAUGCACGGUGGAUAGCGUGCAAUCUGGAAUUGGUGAAAUACAAAGGGUAGCAUGGCGUGUUAUCCACCGUAGGAUUUGAUGCGGUCCAAUUGCACCUGGUGCAUGCAAUACGGAGGCCAGUAGAUACAAAGAUGGUACCAUUCUUCUCUUUACAGCCCAUCAGAACUACGAUAUGAGAAUGUUGUCAACAUGCCAUGAUGCUUGCCUGGAAUUGUACCUCUUAAGGGCACUUGCUCUGAAUAUAUGAAAUCCCAUGCUCUUCAUAACUGUCAAACCACUUAUAUACAAGAAUUACCUCCGUAUGAUAGGUAGACAAGCUUCUCUGAAAAUAUGAUGGUUCCAAAAACCAUUUGGUGCUUGCAAGUAAUAACAGAAUGGAAGGUGAUACUUUUCUUUUAAAACAAAAAGAACAAAAAUAAAAACUCACUCUGAUUUGGAGAACCACAUUUGCUGAAAUGACCGAAGAGAUGCCAGAAUACUUCCUCCUACCCAAACGCUGUAAUGAUUAUUCAUACACACACAUUAUAUGAUGCAAACCAUAAUAACAGUGACAAACAACUAUUGGAUAAAGACCAUCACGUUUCUGAUGAGAAUCGCUAAACAUAUCUCCUGGAUGAACUUGUAUAUAAAUUAUCGGAUAAAUGCAGAUGCAUGACCUCCACUUGCCCCAAAAAAAUUCAUACAUCCUGCAUGCCUUUUCACACACACACACACAAAAAAAAAAAAAAAAACAAAAUGUAACCACAAACCACCAUGAAGUGAAGCAAGGUACAUUUGGGAUAUUCCUCAUCUCAACUAUGAAGCAUCAGAUACUGAGCCUACGGUUGGUGUGCGUUGAUGAUUGCUAGCUCUGGAUAAUGACUCUGAGAAAGUACCUUCUCCAAGAGUCGCAAGAAGUAAAAUUUAGUGGAGCUUAUAAAAGGUGCCAAUGUACAGUGGUGAUUCAUCACGCAUGUGUUGCACACAAACAAGACUUACAAUUAUUUAGAUUUGUUGAGCAUAUCAAAUGUCAGAUGACAUGUGCAAGUCAAACUAGUUAAACAUAAAUGUACUAAGCCAUGCAAAGCAUUCACCAACUAUCUAAUAAAACCAUUAAGAAAUAAUAUCAGACUACCAGUUCUUCGAAACAAAGUAAGAAGCAGGAGGGUUAAUGUUGUAGAAAAAGAAAAACCAGACAUUGUUUAGGUUUUUUAGAAUUGAACAUAAAGGUCUAUUUUAAGAUUUAAAAUGAAACUGAAGAGCAGGUUCAAUUCCUUGAUUUCAAUAAACUAAUGUGCUGAACAAGCAGGUCUUCUGCGCUAGUGGAUGGUGAACUUAUAAACCAGGACAAUACAGCAUGCGGCUUAAAAUACCGGAAGAUCAACAUGAUGGUCAAUGCACAAGAUAAAUAAAGGGUUUACCUUAAGUCAUGGUAGCAAUAAGUAGUUGUGGGAACUAAAAAUCAUAGGAGCAUUCAAAAGAUAGAGCAUCAUGGAGGAUAAGUGUUUAGAGCAAGUGCAGCAACUAUGGUUGAUGUCCAGAGGGAUUCCCCUCUCAUUCUUUGAUAAGUAUCUCUGGUUGAGAAGAUAGCAUAUUUUCCCCUUAGCAAAAUUCAAUUAUAGAGGUUCUUACAAUGCUCUAAGGGACAUUAACUUUUUCACAAAGUGUCUUGCACAAAUAGGUUGCUAUUUGCUACAAACAAAUGGAGGAUAUUGACAUUAACCAUCACAUCACCAUAAAAAUUCACUCUCUGAAACCCCACAUCCAAUCCAAUGCAAACUUUUUUGGGAAAUCUAUAUUUCAUAGCAACAUUUGCUUCAAUUAUCAGUUAGGCAAACUCUCAAACUAUGACCUGUAUUAGAUCUGGGAAAGUUAUGCACCAAUAUAAGUCGAUGCAGCUUCAAAACUCUAUAAUGCCAUCUACAAUAUUAGAAGCUUAAUUGUGCUUGAGGAAUUUAUACAAGCUGUUCCAACUUCCGAGCCCAUCCAACUCCAAAAUAGAUAUAUAGAUACAUGAGAUACACGCAUAUAAAGAACAGAUAAGCUCGAAAAAAAUAGAAGUAAAAUAGGCUGCAGCAGUUGUUAACUGUAUAUGCGACACUUUCACAGAAAAUGCGACACAAGUAAAUAAAUCAAAUGAUAUAUGAACUCAUGGUUUUCAACAGUAAACAAUAAAAUAUGACCUGAAUCGUCUUUCUAUUGCAUUCCCACUUGCCAAUACCUUAAUGCAUGCAGCUUGAGGAGCCUCCUGAAGGACAUAAUGCAAUGAAAAUCAGAAUGGUAAAUCCAAAUUGAAAUAAAAAGUCACCACCGCACACUAGAAGAUCCAAUUGUUCAUGAAAUCAGUUCUUUUUUCCUCCACUACCUCUACAAAUAUUGACCUUUGAAAGCUUAGCACACAAUCAAGAAAAGAAAAUGGCAGAAUACACAACAUAUGCAAAUAAUAAAAGCCAAAGACAAUUUAAGGUUCAGUCAACUUGAGUUAACUCAUCACAGAAGUAAUAAAUGUUUUUCAGAUUUGAGGAUAAAGAGAAAAUAGAAUAUUGUUAAACAAAAUAAAGAAAAUAUAUCAGAUUUUAAAAAGUUUUGCUCAUAUUUUUGCUAAUAUUUUUGAAGGCCAAGACAGAGCAAUUCUAAAAGGUGACUACAAGUUAAUUCCUUUGACAAUUGCAUGUUUUGUUAGUAACAAGAACAUAAAAUUCAAGAGAUGUGAUCGCUGGUGAAAUUCUACCUCCAUCAACUCUUUCUCAAGCCUCCUGAGUUGUUAGCUAUCAAGCUUCAGAGAUGGCUGAGACGUGGUUGAAUUGCGCACAUCAUGACAAGUAUUUGAGCUACUUUGUCGCAGGCAGCAGUGGAAGACCUUUUGAAGAACAUAACCAUCAUGUACAGCAGCAACAGUUGUGGAUCCGCGCCCACUGCAUUAGAAAACUGUUUCUUAGAGCUAGUCUUGUAUUUAAGCAAUAAAGAAAAUUCCAAUAGCAAAGAUAGGCAUCCACAAAACAACCACACCAGCUCAAAAAUAUUAUUCGAAACAUAAGUAGCAUAUCGACAACAUGUACAAGUUGCCAACAAUAGAAAGCCAGAAAUGAUAACCAUGAAGUACAAUUUGGAUGUUUUUCAUAACCGUGUUUUAUUAAGAACUAGAAGAUAUGACAGUUAGGCAGCAAAAAAAAAAGUUUAAUUUUUCUUAAUAAUGGUUAUAAAUCCAGAAAAUAGCAUAAGAAUUUUAAGAGGAUAGGAUGCAUUGGCCAAAAUCAGUUCAUGUCACUUCUCAUCAAUUAAGACAAGGCUUCAGUUAUCCAUUGAGAUUUCGAAGAUCAAACAUUAUAUCCAACAAUUUCAAUAAACUGGAAAUAAGCUUCUAUAAUUUUGAUCAGAAUGCCACCACUGCUCUAAUGACCAAGUAGCAGCAGAUUACUUGAUUUGAUGCUUAUCCCACAGCAACAUCCAGGAAGGGUCAAGCAUAGAGAAUAUACUACUGUUCAUUGGUGAAUAUAUGCUAUGGAUGAGUCAGUGUCACAUGAUUCAACACCAACAUUUACCAAAAUAUGCAACCAAAUUAUUUACCAAGAAUGCUGCAUAAAACACUUAAGCUGCAGCCAAGACAUGGAUUUAGAAUGAAUGGUAUGUGUCUCAUUAUACAGCUGCUUUUACAUGGCAUAAUUUUUCAAUUACCUAUUAGGAGACCUUUGUAGAUAAGGAGAGCAAGCAUUUUAAAACAAGAAAAGCCAAAGUGAAAGUUUUAUAUAAUGAAAGAACAGAAACUUGUGAUAAGAAAUAAAAUUACAAGACUUGGGGAAAAUAAUAGCUGACUACAUUAAAUCUAAAAUUGCACUCAAGUGUCGAUGCAUGUGAAUAUGGCUCCUGACAUAGAAAAUGUUGAUGAAAGGAGAGCAUGAAAGAAUUUCAGCAAGCAUGGAGAUCAAACCUAUCAACAACCAGAGAUGUAGCUUGCCCAGAUGCAAAAGAUGUGAGAACUUGGGAGUCAAAGAUAGUAUAGUCCAACAACCAUUGUUAAUAUAGUCAAACAACCAUGGUCAUAUGCUAACCAGUAGGAGAAAACUUGAAGCCUACAAAAUGCUUUAAUAAACAUGUCAAGUGUCUAAAUGAAGAAUGGACUGAUAGCAUACAGCAUUUGUUGCUAAAAAUAAAGCUGGAACUUCGUAAUCCUCAAACAUGAGCUCUGCUGCCCUGUUAUACAUUAAAUGAAAAGGUUUCAGUCAUGCAUAUCCAGCACCUUGACAAAAAUACAGAAAUAACAAAUCUCAGUCCCAUGUGAAUUAUAGAUCAUAAGGAACCAGAUCACCUUUCUCUUUGUUGUGGAGUAUUACAAGAUGGCUCUGCAAGCAGCAUUGGAUGUUCUUUGGGAUCAAUUAAUAACUGCUCCCUGUGAAACACAAUGCAGUCAUCAUAAUCAUUUUUCACAUAGUUAUCUCAAACCAAAUUGCUUCUCUAGUCGGUGUGUUUGGGAAGAUCCUUCACAGAACUGACAUGGUGGUUAAUUAGUUGUGAUAUGAUCCAUGCUUAAGGCAUAAGCUCCAUUUCAGAUACUAUUGGGUGUAACAAUGAGUCUGAAACCAGCAAACACAUCUGAGCUAUCCACCAAUAAGUAAAUUGGAUGCUCGGUUCCUUUCCACUAAAUCUAAACAAUAAGAUCACAGGGGGGAAAGCUUUUCUUACUAAAACUGGGAGGAGGAAGGUGCAGGGGAUGGGGAUUAGGUCCUUUGCAUACUAAUAUACAUAAAGGUAAGCAAACUCAGUCAGCAGUACAUGCCUAAGCUAGUGUAUUGGACAUCAUGCUGGGGAGGGGGAUUAGGUUCUUUGCAUACUAAUAUGCAUAAAGGUAAACAAACUCAGUCAGCAGCAUGUGCCUACUAUAGUGUAUUGGACAUCAUGUAUCUGUGUAGGGUACUGAUAAGACUGGCCAACAGCAGUUACAAAUUCCAGAUAACAGCAGUUACAAAUUGCAAACAGCAAACAUCACUACUUGCAACCAUUUGACCAAGAGAGUAAAUAAAUCUAAUAUAUCAGAUAAUAGGUUUCAAAGAUAAUAAUUAUAAAGCAUGGAUUACAAUAUAACGACAACAAUAAGAGGCCACUAAACCAUAUAGAUGUGCAAAAUUCUCCACCCUUUUGACUUACUGUAAAACAUUCAGCAGCUUACCUUGAUGCGUGCACAGCAGAAUGAAUAAAGUGAGACAAAAUCUGCAUGGUAAUAAUGCUGAUAGGUGGCGCCAUGAAUGAUAAAGAUAUUGUUGUAUAUAAAAGAUGGCAUAUAGCAAUAUGCAUUUAAAUGCUAAAAUGCAGCCGCUUGCAGUGGCUGUUCUUCACAACAUGGAACGAUCGGGUAUUUAACACCAAGGUAAGGACACAAUCAUCCAUGAAGGACAUCUAUCACACUUUGUUAUUGUACAAUACCCUAAUGAAAAUUAUUCCAGUGCAUUGUAUGAUGCACCAAACUUAUAAAAAGUGUGGGCUAAUGUAAAAAGUUAUGGAUUGCAAGCUCAUAACAUCUGUUUCUGAUGUAAGAUGAAGCACAGAAAAUGAAAGACAAAAGAGAGAAAAAAAAAAUAGCUCUCAUCUUUGACAUCAUAGACGCUAGCUAGACCAGCACGAGACACAGCUCAUACCUAAAAGCAUGAUUCCAUAUAUUGUCAACAAUAUCCCAAUCAACAACAACUCCAUCUUUUAUAGGUGAUUCCACCUAAUCAAUGUUAAUAAACAUUACUGUCAUAGGAAAACUAACAAAAUUUUGCAAAUAAAUCAAAUUUCAUCAAUCUUUGGAAGGUACAGAAGUGCAAGCAUAAGCCUCUUAGCUGGCUGACCUCCAUACGGUCACAUCUAUAUCCCAAGGCUUGAGAACCAACAUACAACUUCCGUUUUGCCUUGGGUUUAUCUGAAUCAGGUGGCUCGACACCAUUUUUUGAAUCUGAUGUAGGUUCAGAAUCCUUCUCAGACUUGACACCAUUGUUAUCUUCUACUUGAUCAAUUGAGCCAACUACCUAACAGUGCAGAGCAUUUAUCAAAACAAAGCAUGGGCCAGAUUUCCAAACAUCAAAUCAGACACAAUUAUAUUAUCAUAUUCUUUGUCAUAAGUAAAAAUAUUUAUUUAUCCAGAUUGAAUUGUUAUCCUAAAAAAAAUAUUUUUUAAAAAAUGUAAAACAGGUUAAUAUCGUUGUACUGCAGAAAUUAUGUUUCUUUCUUCUUCUUCUUCUUCUUGAGGAAAACCAAAUAAUUCAUCAUCAUUGAUGCCAAAAAUACAUUAAUCCAAGUAAGGUAGCAAAGCAAUGAAGAUCAGGAAAAUAAUAUUGAGUUGCCAAAGUAUAACUUGUGAAUGUGAAUUGAAUGUAAUCUGAAGGAUAUAAUGAUGCAUAACAAUUAUCUCUUUUGCAUCAAAUGGAUAGUCCCAAGGAAUAGUAAUCUUAAUCAAUAUUAGUUUUGUAGACCUUUUCAAAACAACUAACCUUGCAUGAGAUUUAUCUCUAGACACCACAGUUUCCAGAGUACAUUAAUAAUUAAUUUUGAAGACCCAAAGGAAGAGAUAAAUAGGAACUUGAACUUCACCGUUUUCUCAACUGACACAUCACCAAACUAUGCCAACGAACAAAAAAUGAUCGCAAGUGGCCUUCCAAAGAGCAAAAAGUAUAAAACGUGACAACAUUGUACCAGAAUUUAAAAUUGCGGCAAAAAUAUACACAAUGUAUCGCACUUCAAGAAAUACUUCCUGAGGGAAACACUGCCCUGGGAACAUCUUCGCCGGCAUAACCAGCUUUGCAAGUGUGAGAACCCAAAUCGAUAACUACGGCCGAGACUUCAUCUGAGCAUGUACAUCAGACAAAAUCACUACCAACUGGUUGCCAUCUUUCUAGGGUUAGCCAAGAGAUAAACGGAAAAGAAGCUGGUGAGAGAUCGAAGUAGCUGAAAUAGAACUCACCGCCACCGUCCAUGAUGACGAACUCGAGGGAGAUCUCGGAACGUAAAACCAGCUCAGAGAAGGGUUCGCCGUGGGUGGUGGAGAAAGCGGGGCUCGAAUAGACCGUGGAUGCGGGGGAGGGUCGAGGGGGAGGAAGGAGAGACUCGCCAGAGAACGGGGAUGGGUUUGAUGUCGAGGACGGGAGGGAACCGGGAACAAGGCUUCAGAAGCGUUUGUACGUAUUUUCUCGUAAACACAAAAAGAGGGUUUACACACGCUUGGGCGAACUUUCGAGUCGUAGCCCACCAAGCGGAGGAAGUCAAGGGUGACAAAAUAUCAUCUCAUCCGCCAAUUUGAUUCGUGAUCCAUCAAUCAUAAAUAAAUUUAAAUUUAAACUAAAUAAAAUUUGAUCAAUAAUCCAUUCAAUUUAUUUAAUAAAUAAAUUAAAUUUAAAUUUUAAAUAAUUAUUUAAUUUAUUUAAUUUAUUUAAUUUUUGAAUCAAAUUAGUUGGUAUAUUAUCGAUAGGACCGUCUAAAUAGAUCGGAUGAUGGGCUAAUGGGAACCUUAAAAAAAAAAAAAAAAGCAUGAUUUUUUUUUUGUUGCUUUGAUCCCACGAUCAAAUCCAAUGGUAGAAGACACUCCACGCUACUUGUUGUAUUUCAUCGAUUUCCUACUAUUAUUCAAAAUUUCAAACCCCACUAGGGCUCUUCCCCUCCCUUUCUUCUUUUGCACCGCUGCUAUUUCGAAGACAAUGUCAAUUGAUGGCCGAUGGUUGCUAAUCGUGACAUAGAUGAUCGGAUGGAGAUUGAGGGAGGUGUGGGAGCGUUGAUAUGUAAGCUCGAGAUGAUCGAGCGCAGGGAGGUGGAGACGUCCGACAAGUGAGACAACGACGACAUGGGCAAAAGCACUGAUGCCACCAGUGAGUCACCAGAUCUUUUGACUGAAUCCAUGGUAAGAAACGUUGUCGGUGAAUUUUCUAGAUGGAAAAGGAGCACAGAAAACUACGACAACUGUGAUCACCAUAUCUCCUUCGACCGGAGCCACGGUGAGGAGCACUGUCAGAAGAUUUUCUAUACAUAAGAGGAGAGGAGAUGCAGAUAAGUAUGGUCGAAUGAAGUAGAUGAGGCCUGUGAGGGUGAAGAUGUGGAGGGACGGUCGGGUGGAGUAGCAGUUUUUCUUUUCUUUUUUUAUGGUUAGAUAGAGUAGGUUUUUUUUCUUUAUUUUUUUUUUAAACAGAUUGUAAACAAGUCGGAUCGUAUAAUCUUUUUAUUAAAUAGGUCGAGUUCGGAUUUUAAAAUCUGACAUGUUUAAUAAAUAAAUCGGAUCUCCGUUCAGAGUUUUUUAAUUCAAUCCGUAUAUGAUCCGAUUUGUUUAUAUUCGAUCUGAUCUGAUUGCCACCUCUAGAAAAAAUAUUGUGUGAACCGAUGAAACCCUGGGAGCAUAUGCACGGUGGAUCACGCGCAAUCGAGAAUUGGGGAAAUUCAACGGGUAAUGUGGCGUGUUAUGCACCAUGGGAUUCAGCGCGGUCCACUAGAUCAGAUCCAAGUAAUAUCCACAUUUAUUAAACUUCUAUUUUUUGUUCACGGUAAAUUAUUUUCUGCGUAUUAUAUAACGUGGAUGAGAGAGAUUAUGUAAAUAGAGACAUGGUCGGGCCCUUGACGAAGAGGACCAGGAUUUCUGUAAUAAAAUAUAACAAAAUUAUAUAGCGUUAUCCAAGCAUCAUCCACUUGUUGAGAGCCAAACACCAUGGGCCAAAGGUGCGUUUGGAUAACUGCAACUAGUUUAAAUGAAUGACCCAUUUCUGGUAUUACUGCUAUAACUUCACCAAAAUUAUGUUAGGCAAACAACAUUUGGAGUCUAUUUUGAUACAACUAAAAGACUUUUAAAGAUAUCUUUGUGAUGACUUUAAGUCCACCAAUUGAUAAAGAUAUAAUUAAUAUUAUUUUAAUAGUACAAUAAAUUGUAUUUAUAAUCACUUGGACAAAUAAAUAUGAAAUUUUAUUUUAUUGCAGCUCUAAAUCUGCAGCACUAAAAACCGAAAAUGUAAUUGCAAAAAGAAUGACCACGGCCACCACAACUUCAAAUGCAUGCAUCUUUCACUAGCUCGUUGUUGUCACGUCUCUUUUGUAUUAUUUUAAUGAGACUGCAAUCUAAACUAACUGGCACUGUCCCAUGGCUUUGCUUGUCAUUAUUAUUCAUAAACCUAAGUUAUGGCUAUGAUUGGUUUCAUCCAAUUAAAAACAAUCAUAGUAAACCAUUAUCCAGCAUAUUAAUCAUUGUUGCCCCUGUGCUAUAGCUAUAAAGCAAAUUAAUCCAUGUAUUUUCAUUAUAUUUCAAUCUAUUCAACAUGAUCGAGUGGUCAAAUAAAUGUAGCUAGAUAUUACAAGAUGUCUCGAUUAGAUUAACAAAUUAGUCAAUUUAUCAAACUACCUUAACUAAGUCAGGAAGUUUCUCAAGGCCACCGCUGUUAUCCCUAUAAUUUGCGAUAAUUGGCUUAUCAGAAUAUAUCUUGAAAAAUUAAAGAAUUCAAAAAAAUUAUUUUUUAUAUAGUAAGAAUACUAAUAUAUUAUUAAAAAAAUCCAAAUAAAUUUAACUUAUUUUUUAUAAUUAAUAAAUAUUUAUUUUUAAAAAUUUUAUAGAUAGCAAUUAUACCAACCUAUCAAUCCAAUUCAUGACUGAUCCACUUUAAAUAGGUUAAAAUCUGACGUAAAUAGAUUUAGAUUAUAAACGGCCAAUACAUCUAUUUGUUAAAUACAACAGAUUCUGAUUUAGGUAUUUUAAUCAUUAAAUUUGUUUCAUAUAUAAUAAUUGGGUUGGAUCAUGAUUUAACUCAUUUAACCAUUCCCAUCCGUACAUGUGGGGCUCCAAACUAUCUCGAGGUUGCAUCAAUUGUUUCUUGUCAUCUGUCGUCAAAAAGUUUCUGUGGUGCGUAAAAAGGUUUUCUAGUCUCUCAGCACUAUUUUUCAAUAAAAAAUAAAAAUAAAAACAUAAGCUCCUCAGGAUCAGGGUUUAUUUUCUAAAACUCGAUCUAUUUUAAAUAACAUUGAUCAAAAGAAUCUCUGCCAUCCAUCAAACCAUCUCCUGUCGAGUCUCGCCAAUAAACCCACGUGGCAUCAAAGACCAUUACGUGCGCCAUCGCCUUUGGCGGAAUAGCAAACAAAAACCCCAUCCUGCUGCCCGUUCGGGUUUUCUUGCGCAAGGGUUCUCUUCUCCUCUCGCAGGUAGCCCGGUCUCCUCCCCUCGGCAGCAGUUCUUUCUCGUCGAUCGCUCCACUCACAGAGUCGAUCAUUGAGCGAUGGGAGACUCUCAAUACUCCUUCUCGCUAACCACCUUCAGGUACUCACCGUUCCUUCCACUUCCUUCCUACCUUCUCCCAAACCCUCGAAUCCCCAGAUCCUAACUCCUGUUUCUUGAUUCAGCCCUUCGGGGAAGCUGGUGCAGAUCGAGCACGCUCUGACGGCCGUCGGAUCCGGCCAAACAUCUCUUGGAAUCAAGGGUAAUCUUUUCCUCUUUGGAUGAAUUCACCCCCUUUCUUUUGAUCACACCAGCUGGGGUAGAUCGGUGUUUGCGCUGCUGUUCUUCUUGAACAAACGAUUUUUAUGGACUAUUGGAUAUAAAAUAGCCUUGGCCAACGAUUUUUUUUGGCCUAUGAUAGUUUAGUCUCCAAGCAUUGGGUUAAAGUGAAUGUGAGUUGUUUGGUUUUGGCCGUCUAGGUUUGGUAAGUUUUGCACCCAAGCAAACUGUCAAGAAAGAGCCUUAGUUUGCGUUACAUGGAGCGUGCCAACUACUGGACUAGGGUUCUUUCUGACUUGAUUUUUUCUAUUCUGGGCAUAAGGAAAAUCUCUCUCUCUCUCNNNNNNNNNNNNNNNNNNNNCGAUAAGGAAAAGUACUACUCUCUCUCUCUCUCUCUCUCUCUCUCUCUCUCACACACACACACACACACACACACACACACAGAAUGCUGACCUGAAUUUUCAUAGCUAAGAAUUAUCGCAAUUUUGGCUUGCUCAGAUAUUUCAAAUUUUGACGAGGAUUUAUCUUAUUCUCGUUUAUUUUAUUGCUAUCUAGAUUGUAGCCUCCUAAUUUCUUCUUUGCAGACUUUUCUUCUUGGGGAUAUAUGCCAUAACAGAACAUGUAAAUUUUGAUAGCAGAUAUCGUCACUUAUCCACAUUUGUUUCUUGUUUUCCUAAAUCAAUCUUUAAAAAAAAAAAAAUCUGUUUCUUUAAUUACCAGAUAAGUUCAUAACCCUUUAUAUAGACCCAAUAAACCUGACGCUUGUCCAGAACCAAACAACAUCUGAGAUAGUUUGACAGUUAGACUGAAGGGUCAUGUUAUUUCCUCUUGAUUGUUUUCUGAACACGCCAUGUCAUGCCAUUGACAUUAAUUAUUCUUCUUAUGUCGUUGUUUGAGGGGCUUAGGUAUUGGCGCAGGAAUACUAUCAAUUGUUCUAGUUGGACGUUUCCUUCCCAAAAAUGGGUGAACAGUUCUGAGUUUUUGAUGUGAAGGAAUUUUGAGUUUCAUUAGUUCACAAGAAGCAGGUUUAGAUUCUUUAGUUAUACUUGAUGGAAGUGAUGUUGCUUAUAUAAUUAGAUGUUAAAUUGAUUGAGGUGAUGCAGUGUUGGAAUCCUAGUGACUGGUCAAAACUAAAAGUUAACUAGUUGUUAAGCAUGAUUUAUGCAAUUCCUCAUAUUUUCCUCACAUGUCUGUUAUCUUAGAUUUUCUUAUACACAAAAUCUAAAGUUAUCAUAUUUGUAUUGGUGGUGAUUGCAGCUGCCAAUGGAGUUGUUAUUGCAACUGAGAAGAAAUUGCCUUCCAUCUUGGUGGAUGAGACAUCUGUAAGCACACAUCACUUCCACCUCUGGAAAUACUUUUGUUGUCCUCAUGUGAUUGUAGCAAAGUUCACUUCAUUUGAUAUUUUCUCCAUCCCAAGCUGUUUUACCCUAGAUGGUUUUAACCUUUCUUUAUUGGGAAGACAGUAAUUUUCAUGUUUCAACAUGUUUAACUUUUUUAUGCAUCCUUUUGGUUUGUAUAUUUGCUAACUUGCUUUCUAGUGAAAGUAAAAAGUAAAAACUGAAAAGCAAUGGAUUCACUUUGGUUGAUUGUUUGUUGCGUGGUGGACUUGCAUCAUGAUUUUAAAUUUUGGACCUCAUCAUGAAGAGUCAUUUUAUGACUGCCUGCAAACUUAAGUUCCUAUAACUGGGGAACCACCUUCAGACUCAUGCAUGACUUAUUAAUGAGCCUUAGGGCAUUUGAGUAGGCCAGCCCGAAGAUGUGCAGGUCUCCCUGGAGCAUCUCUUAGAGGUCUGUGUUAGUGAGACUAAGAUACCUCGGUAUCCUUAGUCUUUUGCCAUUGCUUUCUGUUUUAUGCCACCUUGCUCUCCAAUGACACCCUUAUUUUCUUAACACCCUCUUCUAUGACAUCUAUAAGGGUCAAAUGCUCACCAGCUGGUGAAGGUAAUGCUUGCUGGCUGUACUUUUGGCCAAGCUCAAGAGCUGUUUGGGCAGUUUGAAAGUUUAAGGACUCUAAUUAGUCUGAGAAUGUUUAGUUUCCCAUUGAAAUGGUUGGUUGGCUCUAGGACCUUUGGUUUUGGGGGCAUGCAAGUCAACACAUGCUUUUCUGUAGAUGCAAGAGGUACAUGAUUUGGAUGCUUCUCUACGUUCAAUUUCGUUUCUAAAAUUUUCUUGUCUAAGUGAUAAUGACUGGAAGUAGUAAUACAGAUAUCAACAUAUUUUUUCCUUUGAGUCUGUCAAGUAAUGCUUGACGAAUUAAUAUGGGUAGUCUAGUUAUAUGGGAUCUACUAUGUUUGGUUGAAGCCUUGUUUUUACACUUCCUUUCAGAAUUAAAUAUUUUGUUGACUAAUGAAGGAUGUGCUUCGAAGCUUUUUGUUUUUGUUGAGACAAGUCUCCUCACAUCUGCUUAAAUUGGUAUAUUUUUUUAUUAGCUUCUGAUUACAACAUCUGGCGAUUUUCCUUCUUUUUAUUUUCUUUCUAUCAUUCACGUUUCCUUGCAGAGUUGCAGUUAAACCUUCAGCUUUAUCAAUAAGCUCUUUAUGUUUGCUUUUUCUUUGGAACAUGGAAGCUUGAUUUAAACUUGUUUGACUGUAGGUGCAAAAGAUUCAGCUGAUGACAACGAACAUUGGUGUUGUUUACAGGUAUUAUGUGCCACUUAUGAUGUUCAUUCCUUUGUUUAUUUAAGUUGCUUAUCUUUUGUUUAGGAUAUUAAAUAUUAUGUAACGUCCAAACUGAUUCUGAACUUUGAUUCUAUACAUGAUGUUAUCAUGGAAUUUCUUGUAUGAUAACUGUUUAUAGACUCCUUUAGCAUGCUUCCAGAUAUAUAGUCAUCAUGUCCCAUGGUGAUAGUUGUAGUAAUUGUUAAUUUUAUAAAUAAUAAAAGCCGUUGAAUCAAUAAAUGUUUUUGAAAAAGGUGCAUGUCAGAAACUUUGUUAGUGGUUUUUCCUUCUAAAUUGCGCAUCAGUGACAUUACACGAGCCUAGUAAAGCGAAUGCAAACUAGUCCAUUGGUGCGAUGCCGUGAUGAAAUUCACAUGAUUUGUUAAUUUGACACCUGCAGAAUGCUGACAUCUCUUCCCUUGAGAUUUGAAACGGGGGAUUCCUUGAUCACCUUUAUAUAUGCUAUUGCUCAUAACAUUCUAUUGCUAAGUAUUUGUGAGCUUUUUUUCAGAAUCACCUUGUCUAUUAGAUGCCAUCAUUAAUUUUAUUUUCUUCUCUCAAUUGUUUGUCUAUUUCUAUGCAGUGGAAUGGGCCCAGAUUCCCGUGUUCUUGUGAGAAAAAGCAGAAAGCAAGCACAACAGUAUUACCGACUCUAUAAGGUCUGGUCAGCUAAAAGUUAUUCUAUUUACGUAGCACCAAGAUUUGUCCAACUACUUCCAUUAUGGUUUUUCCUCCCUCCGAUUCAUGAACAUUCUGCAUUUUAUUUAUUUAUUUAUUUAUUUGCACUACACAUAGUAGUAGCAUAUUUAUCACUAAACCCCUCAAAAGCAUAUUUUAUAUGCUGCUUACCAGAAAACAAAAAAAAGCGUAUAUUAUAUGUUUUAUACUACUCAUUUGAGAAAUAGUUUCCCUGAACACAGACGUUGUUUCAAUUUACACUUCGGCAAACAAAUAGAUUGAAAGGCAAUCAGUCAACGGAGACUCGUGCUUCAUUUUGCUUGCUGUCUGAUGGGAAAAAAAUUACUAUUUUUUAAUGGAUGCAUGACAGGGAGGACCUGUCUGUACGAAGCUUCUUUGUUAUUUAUUGUCCUUUCCGGACUUUUGUUGAAUGCCAAUAAUUCUGCAUUUGUCCUUGCUUUAUAUUGUUAUUUCAUGCUUUCUGAUAGUUGCUGUGAAUUCAUGAUCUCAGGAGCCUAUACCAGUUACCCAACUUGUUAGGGAAACUGCAGCUGUUAUGCAGGAGUUCACUCAAUCUGGGUAUGUUAUUUUUUGAGUUGCUUAGCCAAAGGAUACAUAUCAGAAUUUCCAAUUCUUAGCAAAUGAUAACAAGCCUAUUUGUUUGUCAAAGAUGAUUUUUUUCCAUAGAUGUAUAUUUGCAACUAAAUUAUGGACCUUAUCUCCUCCUUUGUUGACAAUGACAUAUGAAUCAACUAUUAACCCAAUAUUUCACAUUUUAAAGCUGCACCGGAACUGGCUAUUGGCCUUUCCUUUAUCACCUUAAUUUUUAAUUAUAGUCUAUACCUAUCAGUCCUCUGUGGCAAAGUCUUUUUUUUGUUUUGUUUUGUUUUGGUUGGGGGGGGGGGGUCAUAUUACCUCUAUCAAAAACACUAUGAGAUUCACUGUAUGUGGUAAUUGAAUGAUUCCUCUUUAUUCUGAUUCACCAAUGUCGUAUGUCAAAUCUUCUACCAGGUCAAUUAAACUUGUUGACUUGUUCUUUGAAAAUGCAUGAAACUUCAGUUAAUUUUUGCUUUUAGAUGUUGACUUAUUCGUUGCAAAUGCGUGAAAGCAAAGUUGAACUUUAGUUAACUUUUUGUUUUAGAUGUAGUUUCCUUUUUCCAUCUUGAUUAGAUUCCCUCCAAGACUUUGGUAACCUUCUUCAGCUUCCUCAUAAUUCUGAAGCUUAUUUUGCAUGUUAGUAUCCAUACUUGUUGACUGCCUUCUAUGUGUCAUGGCUGGUCCCUCUUUUAUUUAUAAUUUGCCAUAACCGGUGUUGCAUGAACAUGGGCACGAGAAUCGGAUUUGAGCGCAUGUCCAGAUGUUGUACUUGGCAAGAGGAGAAAAAAGAGAUACAAUGAUAUGUAGAAAAGUAAUUUUAACUAGCAUAUAUAUACAUAAAAUUAUGUACAUACAUAUGUGUACAUACAGACGCACAUGCAUACAUACAUAUAUAGAGUAUCAUGUAAAAGAAAUAUCAAAAAACAUUAGUUGUUAAAAAUUCCAAUCAGCUUAAGGAUCUUAGACCAGUUACAGUUUACAAAAUUAUUUUAACAACUGCAUCCUUAACCAAUCUUUGAAAUGCUCAUUUUGAACAUCAUUAUAGCGGAUUGAACUGAUUGUUGGAGGAAUUAACUCCACCAAUUUUCACAAACUGUAAUUAGUAAAUAUUAACAAGUAUCCAAGUAUUUGACACAUAUCCAACUUGGGUAUGUAUCUGGCAUGGAUUCUAGGAGCUGGAUGUUGGUGUCCAGGUAACACAGGAUAUAAUCAGGAUUCUAUAAAUGGCUGCUGUCAGGUUGAGAGCCAAUGGUCUAUGCUCUCAAACUCGGAUAAAUCACAGAAAAUUCAUAUAGCCAAUGCCACCUGUAUGGAUAGGUAUUACAUGUAUGUAACAAAAACCAAGCUUUCCUUGCCAUAAGUUCCAAAUGGGCAUGUUUAAGUCUCACACUCCAACUUUAGGUGCACAAUCAGAUAUGCCAGCUUGAAACUCUGAUUGUCUGGUUAUUGCAAAGAAGGCCAUAUGAUAAUUCUUAUAAUUCAUGCUUUCUUUUCUUUUCCCUUUCUUUAACCCCUGCAGUGGUGUAAGGCCAUUUGGAGUUUCGUUGCUUGUUGCUGGAUAUGAUGACAAUGGUCCACAGCUGUAUCAGGUAUUUUGGCAUUUUACCCUUCCUUUUUUUUAACUUGUUUCACCAUCAGUAGGGGGUUCUGAGAUUAGUGCAUGAUAUUUCUAAUAAUUUCUUUCAGGUGCAUUGCCUGUUGUUAGGAUCCAUCAAUGUAACAUAUUUUUUUUCCUAUAGUAAUAUGUAUGUACAUCUUAAAUUGACGAUUUGUCGCAUGAAUUGAUCUUAAUCUGCAUCUGGUUCUUUUUUAAUAGGUACAUGCAAGUCAUGUAGCUUCUCGCAUUCAUUUGUUUUUUCUCACCUUUUUAUGUGUACUGUUAUUAACAUGAUGUGACAAUUCAAAUCUUAUUUUUUCUUAUUUCUUUGAACCUUGUUUUCUAGGUUGACCCAUCAGGUUCUUACUUUGCUUGGAAAGCAUCUGCGAUGGGGAAAAACGUUUCCAAUGCAAAGACAUUUCUUGAAAAGAGGUACCUAGUGCUGGCUGAUUCAUCCAUAAUCCCCUUUAGAGCUAUAGACAACCUCCAUCACCACUUUCUUAGAAAACCUUAAUUCAUCUCUGAAAUUCUUUGUUUGUUGUCAUGCUUUCUCCUUGCUUGAGGAAUACCUGGCCGUUGCAAGCAUCUGCUUUUAUUCCUUGAUCACAAGUUGAAACCUUUCUUCUUAUUAUAGGUAUACUGAUGAUAUGGAGCUUGAUGAUGCUGUCCAUACUGCCAUUUUGACUCUUAAAGAAGGGUAUUUUCAUAUGCUUCAUUGGAAACAUUUUUCAUUCAUUAAAUACCUUGUUCUUCUGUGAUGCUAAUGAAUUAUAUUGCAAAAUGUGUAGGUUUGAAGGUCAAAUUUCAGGAAAGAACAUUGAAAUUGGAAUUAUUGGUGCUGACCGUAAAUUCAGGUAUGCUUAUUCAACUUCUGUUUGACAAAUGGUUGUUCAAGUGUUUCAAUGUUUUAAGUGAUGUUAUCGGUUUAUCAUGUCUAAUGCAUAGAAUUGCAGUGUUCGUAUUGUUUAACCAAGUAAAAUGUGUUCAUCUUAUUUUUGUGCAUCUUUUGGUAUGGAUGUACUGGUUAGGCUACAUCAAUCUAAUUUAGUGCCAGUAGAGUUACAGAAAAGUUAGGCGGUGCCAUGAGGCGCUUGCUUGUAUGAUAUUACCUCUUGCCCGUUGGAUAAGAGGAUGGGGGUUUGAUACUAAUUCAUGUCGAGUGCUCGCUUCUGCCCUGUGGGAUGGGGUUCGUUUAAAAAGUGGGGAUUUAGCUCCUCCAGGUCUCUAAAAAGAAGAAGAAGAAGAAAAUGGAGAAGUUUUGGCAUUUAUGAUGCCUAUUAGAAAUGCCUCCAUACCCUCUUUUACUGUCAGAAUUUACGUGUAAAAGUACUGUUAUAAACAUAGCACUUGUGCAUUUGAAGUUCAUCAAGCCUUGGCCAAAGCUAUGUUUGGAUGCUGGAAGAGCAAGGAAAAGCUAUAAAUUGGGUGGAGUGUGCCCAGAUCGGCUGAUUCUCACUCAGUUGCUUUUUCGGUUCAUCAGUUAGUGACAAACAUAGCAUAAAUAAAUUUUGUAAGAGAAAUGCAUCUUGACGGUAAUAUUAUGCAUAGCUACUAAUCAACAAAAGUUGUGAUUGAUGUAUGGGGAGGCAGUAAGCAUCUGGACCAAAGGGUGGUCAUACCUUGCUGCAUGCAAAAAGGAAUGAACGUGCUGCAGGGUGGUAGUGUUUCUAUGUUCUUAUAAUUGAUGUCUUACUCAUUAUAUUUCAUUUUAUGCUGCAGAGUACUUACUCCAGCUGAGAUUGAUGAUUACCUGGCGGAAGUGGAGUGAUUUUGUCAAAUCCUGUAUCCAGCUGAGGAUAUUGAAUUGUUUUGAUGUGUACAAUUUUUUUAAACAUUCAAGUUUGUGACUUCGGGUUUCAUCCAUUGCGCUCCAAAUUUCUCUAAGUUGUAAUGGUUUCGUUACUUGAUACUGCACAACUGAAGUUAUAACCUGCAGAAGGACUUGCCUAAAAUAUCUUACCAUGCUGGGUAUGUGUUCGAUUGAAGAAGGGUUAUCGGUAUCAUAAGUUUUAUAUCUGUUGUGCCAUAUGACAAGUGGGGCAUAUGUGAAAGGACGUGCAAAGCAUGUCAUACUCUCAGACAAGGUCGUCUAGUGAGGGUUAGAUAUGCGCAGCUUUAUUCUACGCGAAAAGAAUGUUUUCAUGCUUCAAAUCUAUGACCCCCAGGAUAUAACGGAGUAAUCUUAUAAUCAAGGUUUAUUCUUGAAGUAUGUGACAUUCUAGUCUUCUAUAAUCCCUUGUUGUGUUGGGGAUUUAUUUUAACGUCUUGAUGACAGGUGUAAUGGGAUGCUGAUAUGUGAGAGGAGUGUUUUUUUUAAUUAUUUUAGUAUCAGGAAGGAAGCUAAGUUGGCCUCUCAUCUCAAAUUUAUAAAAUACAGGGUAGAAAUGGGUUAUACCAGAGAAGCAGAAAUUGGGAAGAGUUAAUAGGAGGCAGAUGCUAUUCGUUGCAAAAAGAAUAAUUCCAUCAACCUUUGAUGGAGGUUGGUGGUGGGGCAUCUUCUUCCAGGUGGAUAGGCGGUCCUGGAAUGAUCCAAAGAAAGUCUGAGCAAGACAGCAUGGUAGUUGGAGGAGCAGGACCCACAGCAUGGUACUUGGAGGAGCAGGACCCACGGAAAAGACGGAAAAUAUCAUAUAGCAUCAGGGCUAGUUUCAGUUCGGGGUGGGCUAUUGGCUUUCUUAGCAUUCCGGUCCCUACAAAAUGGAGGCAAAAAGUGUUAUAUAGAAAAUUUGCAUUGUGUUUGCAUUUGAUCUGAUAUCUAGCAUAUAUUGAUUAUAAGCGCACUACAUGUGAAUCAUGAGGAGUGGAUUUUGAUUAACAUGCAAUCUGAAUCUGAAACCCAACAAAGUUAUUCCAGGUUCGGUGUUCCUAUAAAUUUAAUUAGGUCCUCUCCAUUGUAGCCAUGGUCGCACCUGUUCUGGCUAUUUGGUUUGACAAAAGACAGGAAAUAAAAAGUGACAACUCUUUCUGAGGGAAUCAUAUAUCUCAUAUCCUUACUUUCACAGGACAGCAUGGCAGGCAGUCUUGCACUGCUUUUAUCAUGCAUCACAAGCUAUCAAUAAUUAUGAGCACUAAAACAUGAUGUCCUCCUGACCAUUCAUAAUGUUGUUAUAACGAAUUCUAUGCAUAAAUCAAGUGUUACAAAGAAGCUUGCGUGAAUACCGACACCACCGGUCGAAUGACCUCGAGAGGUUGGGCCAAUCAGAGUCGGAUGCAGAAAAGUCCUCAAGCCAGUUGCGGAGGAUGAUCUCCUGGUCGUCCCACGGCAGGCCGGCGAUGAGGUCUUCGAUCACCCUCUCCAUCUCCCACUUUUCCAUCCCCGAUAGCACCGGGCUUGUCACCCCGUGGCUAGCGUAGCAUAGCAGGGGUAGCCACAACGCCAGUAUCCCAAACGUCACCUCCCUCGCUGCCUCCCACUCCCCACGUGCCAGCUCUCGGAGUAACAAAACUGCAAUCAUGGACCCACCCAAUCUUGUGUAAGCAGCUCAAAAUUGGAGGGUUCUUGCAUUUUAUAACCCCCGUGUGAAACGUCAUUAUGGUACAAGAUAAUAUCUGAGACAAAUCUGAGCAUCAUCAAAGAUUAUAAUUAUGCCUUUGCCGUUCAAACAAUAGCAUGGAAUAAUAAUCUUUCUGGAUAAUUAUGUACAGUUACUCAAACAUUUUAUUAUUUUGUUGUUGAUUUCUACAUUCUUACACGUGAAAUCAAUCUAUCUACCCAACUUCUGCCAAAAGAUGCUAUCAAUAUAUCAAUGACACUUGCUUUUCCUCCUAUUUAUUCUCUAUUAGUGGAACCAAGCAAAUUUUAUUAUGGGGGAUUAGUGGAACAAUAUCACCCAAUGACUUUCUAAACACACACAAAAUAUUAGCAUGCAUCCUGUUUAAAGACAAAUUAAGGGGAAUAAUGAUCAUUUUUCAUCUUAAUAGAUGAUUUUUACUAAAAGAAAAAUUGACGUAGGCGAAUGAUUUUUGAACUUUUUAUUUCCAAAGGUUCAUGAUAUGUCUUGUUUGAUAAUCAUAGUCUGCUAUUUUAGAAGUGAAAAACUACUGGGUACUAUUGUUAAUCUUGAAAUCCAAGAAACAUAUAUCAACAGUGGAAACAAAUACAAAGACGCUUCCUAUAAUUCAUGUUUUUUUCUAAUGAGUUUUGUAUUAUGAAUUUAUUUAUUAAUAGAAAAGUCAGGACGUUAAGUUGAAUAUUCUUCAACUUCCAAGUAGGUUUUGUAGAUACACAAAUCAAACGGUCAGGAAAUGGUGGUGUUUUUGAUCAUCUCGUUCUCACCUGUGAUCUUGACGAUCGGACAGUGAACCCUGGGAUGAGCAGCGAGCGACAGCGAGGCCAGCCCGGAUGCGAACGCCCACCGCACGAUCGCCUCACCGAGGGCCGAGGACGUCCUCAGCUUGUUGGUGAUCCAAAGCAGCUCGUGCGCCAGCUUCUCCGCCUCCAGCCACUCGUCCGCAUUAGCCGUCACCUGCUGGUGGGACUUGUAGGGGCGGAGGGCGCCGGCGGCGGCGGCGGCGGGGGGGAGGAGGCCGCCGAGGCAGAGGCGGAGGCCGUCGUAGAAGGCGGCGAGGCGGGGGCCGAGGGGGAGGAGGCUGAGGACGCGAGACGGCCAGGUGGCGGUGAUGGAGGAGGAGCGCUGGAGGGCGCGGCAGAGGAGCUCGCUGGUGCGGGAAAAGCCGGAGGCGAGGACGGCCCGGUUGACCUCCAGCAGCUCCCCGUGCCCCAGCUGGACAUUCUCCGUCACUAUUCUGUCCGCCAUCGCCAGUACAAACUCGUACUUUGUCGACGUCGACGGGAGUUCGUUCAGGAUCACCAAGAUCUGCCAACAAAACCAGAGAAGGAUUUUUUUUUUUUAGUUAGUGGUAAAGAUAAUCUUGGUAAAAAGUUAUGGAGAGUUUCAUCGUAAGUUUGGAUAACAAAUAUUACUAUACAUACAUGGUUACAAGAAAGCAAACAUGGGAGCAGAAUCGAACAUUUUUUAGACCUGGAACUAAAUAAAAAAACAUCUUCUCUAUUAAAAAUUACUAUAUUUUAAAUAUUAAUUAUUAUUAAAAAUUAAUUUUUUAUAAAUAUAUUUGUUAAGCAACGUAUAAAACUCAUCAUUAAUUUAUUUAAUUAUUUUUUUUAUUAUAAUAAUGUAGAAAGUCAUCUUUGCAUCCUAUUGGAACAUCAAUAUAGAACCUGAGGCUUGGGAGGGUCACUCAAUUCGACCUGCCCCAGGGUCGGUCCUGCAUAGGAGAUGGAAGAACAAUGAUAUGGAGGAACUAUCAAGAAGAACAAAAGUUAUAACACCAACAACAAUAACAUGUUGUAUCACAGUUAUAACUUUCUUGAAUUAGUACUGAGUAAUUUGUGAGUAAAAAUUCAAGAUGAUUUGUAAAUAAUAGGAUAAUAAUUGCUUAAUUCUUGCAGCACAAAUUAUUUCAAAGAUUACUUGACAAUGUAAAAAAAUAAAUAAUAAUUUUAUAAUUUUUAAACAUUGAGAAUAAUGUUAGGAUGGUAGAAAUAGGUGUCAUAUGUAUUUACUAUCCAUACUCAUUCAUGAUAAAAUUCUAUUAGAUUGCAAUUUGUAUCUGUUCUCGUAUACAAUACAAAAAAAAGAAAGAAAGCACCAAAGAAGGCUACAUAGAAACAUAUCAAAUCUAAGAUGUUAUUAGUAAACUCUCUCUCCAUAGCCCAAGAACAAUUUCCUAAUGGUAAACUAUAAGUUUUUUGUCAGAAGUUUUCCAUAAAUUAUUAUUUAAUAAUUUGCAAACGGUCUAGACUUACAUGCGAGAGAGCUCUCCCUAUGGCUGUAGUGCAUGCGCGGAGCCCACCUCCACUUCCUCCAUGCAAAACAAUGGCCGUAGAGGAGGACUGCUGCUUCUUGUCAAUCAAUCCUUCAACACCAAAAUCUAGCAGGGAAAGAACAGCAGGAGGAGGAGGGAAGACAUCCGUUACGAUGCGGAGCACCCAGACGUUAGCCCAAAUGGUCAGCAUCACCAGGUACCGCACCGUGUUCAUCGGCUGCCACCUCUCCCCUUCUCCGGUGGCCACCGCCGCCGACGCGGCGGCCACGAGCAUCUUCGAUGCUUUCGUUGCCGCGGAAACAAAUAUGGAGUUCAUGACGCCGCUGACACCAGAAGGCCUCACCCUGAGGCCUUUGUCCAUGGCCGCGCCCGUCACCAAGGCCAUCUCUCUCUCUCUCUGAAGAGAAGGAGAACAAGAGAGCGACGGCUGGUUUUAGAGCUCGAGGGUUUGCCACUUCUGUUUGUUCUACUUGCAGGCUUAUGACGCUAAUAGGGGGGAAUGGAAGACACCUAUAAAGUUUGCUGUCCGGUUCCUCUUUGCUCAGAUUCAUUUCAGGCGGUGCGGUGACGGAUUUUUGUGAUCCAACAAAUUAUUCGUGGUACUGCUGCUCAAAAAAAUACAAGGUAGUUAGCUGCAGCUAACAGCUAGCUAGGGAGCAUAUGGAAAUAACGAUUGUGAAGUGUGGCAGUAUUUGGAAAAAGUUGCCGCGAAGCUAAGAGGGCAAUAUGAAGUUGCUGUAGGUACAUCUGCUCUUCAGUGAUAUCUGGAUUAUUUUUUAUCAUUCUGCUACAGUAUUGAUCCGGUAUAUUUAUUAGAAGGCGAACAGUGUGAUAUAUUAGAUGGUAUUUUUUGUGGUAGAGCAUUCUAGAGAUUGAAUUGGAGAUAAGAGAACACUUGUUCGUCGGUCUUUGUAUAUUUAUUUUAUAGACUACUCAACCUGCUCUCAUACUAGAAUGGUAUAACCGCAUGCAUGUACCAAAAAAUAAAAAAAACAGGAAACUAAAGAAGGAGGAGCUAAAGAAGGAGUAUUCACUCGUAACUAGGAAUUAGAUGUGAAAUGAAUCAAUGAUUUCGUUAAUUUUAUGUGGAUGUAGGUUUCAGCACUAUCUUUAAUACCAAGGAAUUCAAAGAUACAAAAGACAAGGUAAGGGUAAAAUGAGGUGAUCAAAUGGAUGACGCAAGUUAUGUUGGCUAGUUGCUUGAAACUUUACUUUCCACUACAGGACUGUUAUGGGCAAGAGUCAUUUAGUGGAACAACUUUUCUGGGGCUUUCCGUGAUUUAGGCUGAAUUGAUGCUAAGGUUUGUUAUUAUUAGAAUAAAGUUGGCUAAGGAAUUUUUGCCCUUUUAUCUCAAAAUUUAUUGUAAGAGAAUUGACAUGAUGGCCUCUCUCUUUGAAGGAAGGGGAUCAAGUGGUCUAAAUCUGAUUAUUUUCCCGUCUCUUCUUUUCUUGGACUAAGAAAGAGGGGCUGGGAGCCUUAAGCAAGAUGAAUAAUCGGUUGAGACAGUGAUAUUUAACGAAUGAAGCCUUGGACCGAGGUGGCCAAAUUGUAAAGGUCCACGCUGCGAGAUCCAAGAAUGUGAGAUGAUUUGUUCGAGCAGUGUUAAGAUGGGACAGAAUGGGCCAAUCAUGAGACGGUAUAACAAUCUGGAACCUUGCACAAAAAAGACUAAUUAUAGAGUAUUAUUUAAAUUACACAAAAAAGACUAACUAUAGAGUAUUAUUUAAUAAUUUUUUAUGAGCAUGAAGGGCUAUUCAUAAGAUAGUUUAGAAAGCAUUAUUUAGAUUUUAUAUAUUUAUAUAAAUAUUUAAGAUUUAUUUAAUACAUAAUCGAUAUGGGACUAAAUAUAUAUUUACAUGAUCUUCAUAAAAAACUGUGUCGAAGGCCGAAAGGGAGGUAGAAUGGUGUUUAAGCAUGUUGCAACAUUUUUUGAUUAGAACUGAUAUCAUUUUUGAGGAAGGAAGAGGGUUUGGAAUAUUGAAUGGAUGGAUGGAGGUCUUCAUCUUCUUAGAAGAAGGAGACACACAUGAUCAGGAUAUGAGAGGAUAAGAUUUGGACAUAUGAUUGACCAAUGACCCCCAAAUCUUUGGUUCAAUCCAAUUCACAAGUUCAAAAUAUGAGCAAGAAUUAAUUUGAAGGUGUAAUUAUCACAAAUGGUUUGUGAAUAUGAAAAUUCACUUGAUGUUGGUAUCUUCUUAUGGACACAAAUAUUGAUUGCAUUUGAGCUUAGAAUUUUCAGCUAAUAUUUACCGGUAAACUUUUGAGGUUUUGCAUGUAUACAUGCAUACAUACGUACCCCUACAAAUAUGGUUAUUGUAUAUUUGCCCUCUAAAAUAUCUACUUAUAUAUCUCUUAUAUUGUCUUUUUUUGUAAUGAUAUCCCAGUAGUUAGAUUUUGACCGCCGACAAUACAAAUUUACCAUUUUAAAUACAAAAGAAACACUAAUAUAUUUUUGCACUAAUAUCUUUAAAACAAUUUAAAUUUAGUCUGCACCGUAGAGAGCUACAUUUUUAUUUAAAUUUUCCACAAGUAUUAAUGAAAAGGAUAAAAAAGUUAUUUUUACCUCUUCAAGCAAUGCAACUUAUGGAGGCCAUAGGUGAUGGUGAUAAGGGACUUGUUGAUCAUGUGGAUGAUAUUGAGGCUGGCCAUGGUGCAGCUGUCCUUGGCAUUCUUACUUUGAGAGUUAUUGAAGUAGACCAUGAUGUUGAUGAUGGCAUCGAUCAUCAAUGGACAGAUGGAGUAAGCAAGGAGGGCCUUGGUGACCUUAUCUGAGGAUCAUGGAUGAGAUUUCUUCAAAUGCAAAAUGCUUCUCAUCAGUUGUAAGUGGUGAUAACGAACGAUUAAUCAUCUAAGAAUAGAUAAAUUCUAAAGAUAUUUGAACAGUUUAGAUAAAUAUCAUAUAAUUAUUUAUUUUUGAUUGAUAUUUUAAAAUAUAUUUAAUAUAUUUUUUAAAUAAGCCAUUUAAAUUGGUGUUGACUGGAAGGAGGUGACGGUGACGAGGUGCUUGGUAACGAAAAUGGUGUUAUUAGGAUUCAUGGGUACCUAAUUCUCGACUACAUCACCAAUGAGCCACUUUCUUGUGGGCGAAGGUAAUGUACCGUAGGGCAGUGCAAUGCCAUGGUCAUUGGUGAUGAUCCCAACCUGGUUGUUGAGACGAUAGGUCACGUCAAUUGCUAAGGUUGAUGCCAGUAGCCUCCCCUCCUUUACUCAUAGCCAUAGUUGACUUCUUCUGUUUGACACUACCAUCGCUCUCUUAGCAUUGGGAUCUUUUUUUUUUUUGUUUGAAUAACCUUCGGAAAGAGAUGGUAGGAAUCAUUUCUUAUGGUGAUCCUUUUAUGUAGAUGGUGUGUAGACGGUAUUUUUAAGAUGAUAGAAUUUAGAGGUGGCUGGCAGAGACAAGAAGGAAAGGUUUGUAGAUUGCUGUGGAGAACACGGUUGAAGGAAUACCAUUGCAGUUGACACACGAACACUCAAGUAAUCCAGGAGUUAUUCCAAAGAAAUAAGAUUUCAACGGCAUGGUUCUUUGUUAAAUAUUUUAUUUGUUGAUUUUUUACGGUUGUAUUUAUAUUUAUUUGAUUUAUGAAAAAAAUAAAUAAAGGCACUUUGGGGGUUCUUGUUUAGAUUUUGAGUUGGUGACUGGUGCUCCAGAGGUCAUGAAUGGUUGGUUAUUUUGGUUAUUUGUGGAUAGUCGUCAAUAUAUUACUGAAAAAAAUAGAUGAAAUAUAUUAAAAAGUUUUGAUUUAGGAUCCAAAUGGUAAUUUUACCAACACUAUAAUACCUCUUUUCCUCCGCAUUUUCUCCCGCCGACUCCACUCGACUGAGAGGGCGCCGACAUGGGGAAGAAGAGCGAGAAGGAGGAGAGCUUCCGGCCGGCGGACCCUGAAACGGAGGAGAAGAAGAGGCUCAGAUCCCUCGCGUUCUCUAAGAAGCUCCUCCGCCGCGCUCCCUCGAAGCCCUCCGCCCCUCUGGAGCCCUCCAAGUCCGUCCUCAAGCUCCAGGGCCGCGACGUCGUUAAGCGGGGCCAGCGGAAGAGCCGCUACCUCUUCUCCUUUCCUGGCCUCCUGGCCCCUCUUUCCGGCGGCCGCGUCGGCGAGCUCGCCGACCUCGGCACCAAGAACCCCAUCCUCUACCUCGAGUUCCCUCAGGUCAGUCGAUCGGUGUAAUUUCUUCUCUAUCCUGUUCUCGAUUCCUAGGGUUUGUUCGAAGUUUUGAGUUCCUCAUUUUUCUUGUAUGUGAGUGGGCUUUUUAGGGUCGGAUGAAGUUGUUCGGCACGCAUAUGUACCCCAAGAACAAGUAUUUGACUCUCCAGCUCACGAAAUCGUCCAAGGGUGUGGUCUGCGAGGACACAUUCGACAGUUUGGUUAGUGUCUGAUGCAAUUCCUUUUCCUUUUCUUGGGUUUUCUUCUUUUUCUUUACUUGAAAAAAAGAUGCAUGUAUUUUAUUCUUGGAGCAUUGUAGACGGAAAUUAAAUGCAGAAUUUAGAUCGGUAGUAGAUUAUUUUUCACAAGAACGAAAUAAUAUAGUAGAAUAGCCAGUUAACUCAAGAAGGGUAUUUCUAGGGUCACCUUAUGAAACUAGAUCUAACAGCCGCCUUUAAAAUUUGUUCAAACUAUUUAGGGACAAAUCCGGUGACCUUAUUGCUACAUUCUCCUGUCACAAUAUUUGGUAUGCUUAAUAAAGAUGCUGAAUUUAUCUCAUUUUCGUAGUCUUUCCUGGUUUUCCUUCUGUUCUUUACUUGAAAAAGAUGCUUUCAUUUAAUUCAUGCAGCAUCGUAAAUGGGAAUUAGAUGCUUAAAUGCUGAAUAUAGAUCUGGAAGUGAUUAAUCAUAGAAACUGAAAAGAAAGAAAAGAGAUAACCUAGUGGAGUUGGCAGAUUAGUAGUGUUGGGUGGAUGUCUGGCCAGGACACUACCUUUCAAGAUUUUUUCAGUACCACACGAUGCAGCAGGAAGAAAAAAGAAACAAAACAAAACAAUCAAAAUAUGUGGAUCAGCCACAAAAGAGCUCGUCUCCAUGGGGCAUGCAAACUUCACUAUGAAAAAAAAAAUUUACAAGAGGAGAUCUCACCCUCAACCCUUGUACACCCAAUUUUCUUUCUCUAGAAGUUCUCCUUUCAAAAGCUCUCUCUCUCUUGGAAGAUUCCCUGAACUCCUGAAGUGCCUGGCGUCCGCUGUCUAGGAGCCUUCUGCCCCUCUCUCAGCAAUGCGCGCUUCUUUCUCUUCCUGGGAUCCGUACGGCGUCCACAUCAGAAAAAACCAAACCACUAUUUUCCUCUGCGUCACAGCCCUUUUAAAAGGGUUAAACAUGACUUAGAUUAGGUUUCGGAGUCCUUAAUCAACCCAAAUCAAGUCCCAGACCGUCGGAUCAAGAUCGGAACGUUCUUGGGCCCUCCGAUCGCGCUCCGGUCCACGAAAUAGUGCCGUGGACCGUGAGAAACGCGUAGAAAACGCCUACGCGGUCCGCCAUGGACCGCUCGGUCCAUGGUGGACCGGGGUACAGGCCUAGGUAGGGCGCCNNNNNNNNNNNNNNNNNNNNNNNNNNNNNNNNNNNNNNNNNNNNNNNNNNNNNNNNNNNNNNNNNNNNNNNNNNNNNNNNNNNNNNNNNNNNNNNNNNNNNNNNNNNNNNNNNNNNNNNNNNNNNNNNNNNNNNNNNNNNNNNNNNNNNNNNNNNNNNNNNNNNNNNNNNNNNNNNNNNNNNNNNNNNNNNNNNNNNNNNNNNNNNNNNNNNNNNNNNNNNNNNNNNNNNNNNNNNNNNNNNNNNNNNNNNNNNNNNNNNNNNNNNNNNNNNNNNNNNNNNNNNNNNNNNNNNNNNNNNNNNNNNNNNNNNNNNNNNNNNNNNNNNNNNNNNNNNNNNNNNNNNNNNNNNNNNNNNNNNNNNNNNNNNNNNNNNNNNNNNNNNNNNNNNNNNNNNNNNNNNNNNNNNNNNNNNNNNNNNNNNNNNNNNNNNNNNNNNNNNNNNNNNNNNNNNNNNNNNNNNNNNNNNNNNNNNNNNNNNNNNNNNNNNNNNNNNNNNNNNNNNNNNNNNNNNNNNNNNNNNNNNNNNNNNNNNNNNNNNNNNNNNNNNNNNNNNNNNNNNNNNNNNNNNNNNNNNNNNNNNNNNNNNNNNNNNNNNNNNNNNNNNNNNNNNNNNNNNNNNNNNNNNNNNNNNNNNNNNNNNNNNNNNNNNNNNNNNNNNNNNNNNNNNNNNNNNNNNNNNNNNNNNNNNNNNNNNNNNNNNNNNNNNNNNNNNNNNNNNNNNNNNNNNNNNNNNNNNNNNNNNNNNNNNNNNNNNNNNNNNNNNNNNNNNNNNNNNNNNNNNNNNNNNNNNNNNNNNNNNNNNNNNNNNNNNNNNNNNNNNNNNNNNNNNNNNNNNNNNNNNNNNNNNNNNNNNNNNNNNNNNNNNNNNNNNNNNNNNNNNNNNNNNNNNNNNNNNNNNNNNNNNNNNNNNNNNNNNNNNNNNNNNNNNNNNNNNNNNNNNNNNNNNNNNNNNNNNNNNNNNNNNNNNNNNNNNNNNNNNNNNNNNNNNNNNNNNNNNNNNNNNNNNNNNNNNNNNNNNNNNNNNNNNNNNNNNNNNNNNNNNNNNNNNNNNNNNNNNNNNNNNNNNNNNNNNNNNNNNNNNNNNNNNNNNNNNNNNNNNNNNNNNNNNNNNNNNNNNNNNNNNNNNNNNNNNNNNNNNNNNNNNNNNNNNNNNNNNNNNNNNNNNNNNNNNNNNNNNNNNNNNNNNNNNNNNNNNNNNNNNNNNNNNNNNNNNNNNNNNNNNNNNNNNNNNNNNNNNNNNNNNNNNNNNNNNNNNNNNNNNNNNNNNNNNNNNNNNNNNNNNNNNNNNNNNNNNNNNNNNNNNNNNNNNNNNNNNNNNNNNNNNNNNNNNNNNNNNNNNNNNNNNNNNNNNNNNNNNNNNNNNNNNNNNNNNNNNNNNNNNNNNNNNNNNNNNNNNNNNNNNNNNNNNNNNNNNNNNNNNNNNNNNNNNNNNNNNNNNNNNNNNNNNNNNNNNNNNNNNNNNNNNNNNNNNNNNNNNNNNNNUCUGUCAGCCUGCCGCCGGUGGUCCUCUACCGCCUCGGGUCUCGUGCCGAUUUCAAAAGCUCGUAUCUUCUCCGUCCGAGCUCCGUUUGGAGCGAUCUUGGUCUCGUUGGAUUCCGUUUUUCGCCGCGAACCUCGCUGUAGGCUUAAUGUGGGCUGAAUCUCGAGACGUCAAAUCCUAACAAGUAGCUUGUAGGUUUUGUGCUGUAAUGUUGUUGGGUUUUUACUGAAAAGGAAAGUUCUAUGGUUACCAUCUUACCGAGCUAUCUAAAGAGUUGUCACAUUUUUCUCAUGAACUCUUUAGGGACAGUUUUCAUGCCAUGUCGAUAAUCAUAGCUUGACCCCCUUAUUGCUUGAGUUUAUCAAUUGUUCCUUAAGCAAAUGAAUAAAUUGCCUAACAAAUCAAGCACGCAGCCAUGAAAAAUAGAAACCUGAAAAUGAAUUGAAAAAUAAAGGAGAAAUCUUAUUAUCUCUGCUUUUCCAUAUAUAUGGAGAUAAUAAUAUGCAUCUUUAUCAACUUUUGAGUUAUUGGAGUUCCACACUAAGUGCUUUACGAAAGCAACCAUGUUGGAGGAUCAUGAUACUCAGUUCACCAGACUAAGCAUGAAAUUACAUUACUCUGAAGAUGACCCCUUUUCAUUUCUUUCGUCCAUCCUAUAUUGUCACCACCAUCUAUAUUUGGCAGAUUGUGUUUUCUGAUGCUCGGUGGAUUGGGCGAAAGGAGGAAAAUCCAGAAGAACUCAAGCUUGAAUUCCCCAAAAACCUUAAUGAGGUUCAUCUUAUCUAAUUAUUUUACCUUUUUUAUUUAUAUUGAUGGUAUCAAGCUUUACAUUUACUUUGUGACCUUUGAGAUAUCAGGGAAACCAUGCUGCAGAUUGUGACUUUAAAGGGGGAGCUGGUGCAACAGUUGAAGAGUCAUUGAGAGGUAACAUACCUGGAAAGGAUUAUGUAGAACCAUUUUCCCCUGACACUGAUAUGGAGGGUGACAUGCCCGAGGAUUCCCAUUUCAAAACUGAAGAAAGCACAAAGAAUCUGGCAGAAGCAACUCCAGUUCGACAAUCAACAAGAACUGCAGGGAAACAAUUAAAGUAAUGAUUUCUUGAUUUGCAUUUUAUAUAUACUCUGCUGGUGUUUACUUGAUUAGGAGAACUUAAUUUAGUUGUGUCAGCAGCUUCGCACCUUAAGUUCUUGAUAUCAGCCCAAAAUGUUAUAGAUGAUCAAUAAGAUUCUUUUUCUUUUUUUAAACCAUUAUUAUCUUCAUUCAACAGAAGCACAUCGCUGUCAGCUGCAUUUGCAUGAUAUUAAUGUUGCUGCUUGUGCCAUUGGUAUAGUCAGAAUUUUUUCCUGUCAUGAAAGACUGCAUGUAUGGUCCAACGUUUAUACACUGCAAUUCUCUUUUCCAUGAGCAAAUAUUGCUUCUUGUAUCAUUCAUGAGAAGACCUCGGAUUAUUGGGGACAUAACUGGGUAAUGUACUUUUAUUUUUAUUUUUUACAAUUUGAAAGAUAUAAACUUCUGACCUGAUGUGAAUAUUUUUCAAUAGCUUUACCAAUAUGCUGGGCUAGGAAGCUCAAAUUUAUGCCCUCUCUUGGUAAAAACAGUAAGUCCUAAUUUUAGGGAGCCUGUUUAAGCACCUUAAACGUUGUUGAUACCAAAAUAUUGUUUAAAUUAAAAUGAAGAAGCUAAGUACUUCAAGCUGAUUCCAUCUUUAAGAACUCUUUUCUUGUUAUCAUUAUUAUGUUAAUAUAUCAUGAACUUAAUAGACACCUUUUUUUUCUGCCUUAUAGUUUUUGCUGAUUAAUAGCAAGAAGACAUGUUUCUUAUUUUAGUUUCUAUACAAGAAUUUGGCUGCUGUACAUGAGCUAUAAUAUUUUCUUUCUUUUUUUUUUAAAUUUAUUUAUAAACAAGAAGAUGAAGUCAACAGCAUAUCAUUCACUUCUGUCUGUGCAUACUAGAUAAUUUUCUCAGGUGUUUGGUACCUUUCUUCGGCAAUGAAAAACUAAGACCAUCUUUUCCCUUGUUCAGUUAUGCAGAAUCAUCUUCUGGAGAUGAUUCCAUCGCCAGUGAUGCUGAGGUACCAGAAAUGAUGAGUGAGAAGAUCAAAAUCGGUAUCAACAAUGCAACUAGAAGCUUCAUAGUUAGAAAUAUCCAUUUUGUAUUGUUGUUAUUAUUCUUUACCUUGUCUUUUCAGUAUUGCAUGGUUUUCUUAAAUUCCUUGUUUCCAUGUCUCAGUGCAUUAAAAAUAUCUGCUUUUCUAUGGUCUAGUUGAUAGCCUUAAGUUAGAGCACACACUGAAGAUUCUGUUCCAGUAACUUCUACAAUUCUUCCUCCAGAGGAUGACUUUUUGGAAAAAAAGAUCAAUCCGAUGCAAAAAACAGAGGAGUCUUCUUCAUCAAUGAAAAGGUUGAAGAAAAAUCUCUCAAAUAAAAAGGGUCCCCUGGUUCAAGCUACUUUGUCUACUUUGUUUGAAAGGGUAGAGGAUAAGGUAAGUAGCGCCAACUCCAUGAGAAUUACUGGAUUGGUUUUUCCUCAUUCCUUCAAGAUUUUCUAAUAAUUCUUUUGUUUCUAUUGCACCUGUGGACAUGUAUAAUUGGUCAUUCCUUUAGCAUUCCAGGAAUAUCUGCACUGCAAUUUGUACUAAAAUGGUUGCAAUGAUAUCUUUAGACACAAUAUGCAGCUGGCAUUUCUGAACAUUAGAAUAAUCAACCAUCCUGUAGCUUCCUUUGCUUGUUAUAUGUGUUAAAUUAGCAUUCAAUUGGCAACCUUGAGCUCAUGGUUGAGGCACUGUGUAUUGACUGAUGCAAAGGCAGUUGUCCCUUGUUCCAAAAGGUUCGCUUCUGCAUGUUCUAUUUUGUAGCGACUAAUGCAACAUGUUGACCCAUCAUCAGGAAGUUAGGUAAAACUUAUACAGGUGUAGUGUAUCUUCCACACAAGCAAAAGUUCAUGAGCAUAGGACUCAAGUUUCGUUUGUGCAGUGCAUGUGCUAGCUGAUAGAGUUCAUUGAUUCAAUAUUUGCACCAUAUGAUCCCAAAUUUAGGCAACUUUUAUCUUUUUUGUGUAUCCCUAUAUUGUGGCAAGGAGAUGUCUUGUUCAAGAUUUUUAGUUUGAUAAAAUUCAUAAAUUUGAAAAUGAUUUAAAUUGGACAUGUCCGAAAAUCUAGAUAUUGAACUCCUAGUCCUGUCAACCUAAAACUUGUUAUUUAGCAAUACCAUGUGGGUUAAUAUUAAGUUACAUGUAUCGUCUAAUGAUGACUAUAUGCAGAUUGCAGUAUUUGUUUAUACAUAUUAUUAGAGCAUCAUUUAUCAGGAACAUAUCCUGUAUUCAUGUUAUAUUUAUAUUAUAUAGUUAUUUCAAAAUAUUAUAUAAUUAUAUUCCCCUUGAUAUCGUACAUUCAUCCAAAACUUGCUUUUUUAUGUAGUAACUAGAGAAUGAGACUGUUUCUCCAUGUUGCCUUGAUUCUUUGUUCUAGAAACUAUGGAAUGCCAGAACUUUUGGGAACUUUGGUAGAACACAGCAUUACACUCCUUGGCUCCCAGAAAUUGUCUUGCUUGAGUGAGCCCAUGUCAAUGCUUAACUUCCUUUUCUCCCAUCAGACCGCAAUCCGAUACAGGCGAUCAAACUUAUUUUUUUUUAAACAAUUCAAGCGAUACAAGAUUACGCAAAAGCAUUUGCUUAUACAUUUGAAGUAUCAAGACUUUUUCCCUCUUCUUCUCUUUCUCCUUUUGAUAUAACAUGAUAUGGAAUGCAAGUUUAGACAACUACUGCUAGCCAGUCAACUAGUAUGAUAUUAAGCAAUGUUGAUCUAAAUUUUUGUUCAAAUGUGGGCGUGUACAUGGUCACAUGCGCUUGUAUGAAAGUAUGCCCUGCAGCUUCAACAGCUUAGGGACCCUUGGACAAAUGGGUAACCAUGUACAUAAUCUUUGUAAACUUGUUUGGCUUCCUAGUCUUCUACCCACAGUGAAUGUUACAUUUACUCUCUUACAACUAUAUUGCAACUGGUCCACCAUCUUGAGGACCAACAAUCUGGUUUGUCAUGCAUGGGCAAGUAUAUUGUGAUUGCUUGUCGCUUCAUUAGCUGCUUAUAUUAAAAUGCUUCGUGAGUGUUCUAUCUCCAGCAUAUGAAGCAGCUCAUAGGCUUCUUCACAAGGACUGACUCUACUGAGUUUCAGCAUCUACCAAGCAAAUUUGCCAUCUGUGGUUAAUUAUGAUUUUGAUGGACAUGAGAUAUUUUAAUUAUAGGUGAUAGUACUAACAGCAUUUGGUCAUUGUGCAUGUCCAUAUGCCAUACUCAUGUUUAUAUGACCUUGUCCUAUUCUGACAAGAUAUAUUGUGCUUGUUUUUGGGUUCAUUGGUUUGAAUUUUUAUUUCUUGAGUUAUCUGGUUAAUCUUUCUUUUUGAAGAUUUCUUCUGAAAUGAUACUGGAACAUAUAUUAUUUAGGAUACCUAGUUCUGUUAAUCAUUGUGUGUGUUUGUGUGUGUGUGUGUGUGUGUAUGCAUACAAACUCAGUUGUGUAUUUUAAAAUUCAUUCCUCUUUAGUUUUGCUUUCUUGAUCAAAAAUUACUUGGACCAUUCAAGUCAAUGUUCUGCCUUGUCAUUUUGGUAUCUUGUAUUGAAUAAUCCUGCAUUUUUGGAUCAAAAAUUUUCUUCCUUCUUUCAGGUUUAUCUAAAUCUGAUAUGAUGUGAAGCCUAUUGCUUUGUUUUUUAUUCUCUAAUUUUAUGCCUGAUCUUUUUAUGCGGCAUUGUAUUUUCCAGAAAUCUAAGCGCAGCGCAGAAGACUCUGCUGGACCAGAAGGUUUAUUUGCCUGAUUGAAUUCUGCUUUUUUCCUAUAACAUAGGCUUGAAUCUUCAUUUUUUUCUCAAUGCAAUGGAAGUGCACUUGUUUUCAAGUUAAUUUCAUGACUAUUUCUGCUAUCCAGGUCCUAUUGGUAAGAGGCAACGGAAACAAAUAACUGAAGAAGUGCAGGUAAGGAUCUCAAAAUCAGCAUGAUAAUGUUCAAUUGUUGGCCAAGGUUGAUACUUGAUACUGUGGCCCACAAACCAUCUUGAUGGUUAGGUACAACACAUGUAAAUGGAAUUUUGUUUGUAUUGUAGGUGAAGCAAUCUACCAAGAAACCGUCUCUAUCUGGCAGAAAAAAGAGUGGUUAGUGUUUGUUUUGAUAAUAUAACUGUCAUGUGUUCAUUAAUCAUACAUUUUAUAAGUUGCAAGCUAAAUCAUAAUUCAUUAGCUGGACAAGUCAUUUAGCAUAAGUUAUAUAUUUCAUUUUGUCGGAUGGUAAUGGCAUAAUAUAUGCUUUUUUCAACUUUUUCAGUUUUGAGAAAGUAAGUGCUGUAAGUCUUUGAAAAUGUUGAGUUGCAAAAUCACAUUAGAAUAGUUAUAAUUGUCUGGUGCUCUCCAUUCUAGGCGGUCCAGCAAGUUGAGCUUUUGUAACCGUCUGAUUGUCAAAAAUGCAGGGACUGGGACUGUGAGAGUGCCGAAGAAGUCCAAGGUACUAUUGAAUACAAUCAAAUUUUAAUGAACCAAUGUUCGUUGAUCCACCUUGGAUGAUGUUCAUCUUUUCUCAUAUGUGAAAUUGCUUGAUGAUGACUAUUGCUUGCCUUUUUUUUCCUUCGUUUUCAUUAACAGUUCGCUGUUAAGUUAUCACAGUUUUAUAUUUUCAUGUAUAUUGAAAAGAAAAAUCAAUAAAAACAUCUGUUCUUUCAGUUUCUUAUGUUCAAGUUUCCAAAUAAUGUUUUUUUUCUUUUUUCAUGAACAGCACAAUGCGAGAAUAAUUAUGGAAACGAAGUAACUUCAUAUGGAAUGCAAAUACUCAAGUUUCUUUUUACAUGCGGAGACAUAAAAAUUUUAAUAAGUUGAUUGUUUAGAAUUGUGUGAUUAUAUCAUUUGACAGAAACUUUGCUAUCAAACUUUCUACUGUGCAAUUUUUUGUUUGGUAGAAUUGCAGUUUUGCAGCCUUUUGAAUUAUCGAUAUGGAAAGCAUAUUGCAUGCACCAAGUAAUUUCCCGUGCAUAUUUUGUUUGAAAGGAAUUUUACCCAGGGAUUCAUGUUGAAGUAUCCAUCCAUUAUUAGUAAUAUUAGACAACAAGCAGCUAAGACUCCAUUUUCAGUAGAGGUAGGACCUUUUUGCUAAUUUCUUCCAAGCCAUUCUUCUUAUUCUGUGUAGUGAAUGCAAUGAUGAGUUUUGAACAAGUGUCAUGUUUACAAAUAUGUGGCAGAUUUCGGUUCUUUUUUCCCCUCGUCUAUUACACAUCUGCAGUAUUUGUAAGUGCCAAGUAGCAUGCCGAAUCUUUAGUGCAAUAUUCCUGAUUUUCUUUCGAUUGUUCAAAGUUACAAAAUGCACAUGCCUCCGUCUUAAGGUUCCCUGAAUACACCAAGGGGGUGUUUGGUUCGCAACUGGAAUUAGAAUGGGAAUGAGAAUUGGAAUGGCUUGGAAUCAGAAUCGGAAUGGCUAAAUCUCCCAAAGCGUUUGGUUCAUGACCGGAAUCGGAAUCGGAAUUAGAAUUUGGAAUGAAAAAUUGAAUCCAUAGAGAAGCGUAGGGAUUGAGUUCUAUAUAGAUUGAGCCAUUCCCAUUCCACCCUGGAACCGGAAUCGGAAUCGGAAUAGGACUCCUUCCAACCAAACGGUUGGAAUGGGAGUCACUCAUUCCGAUUCCGAUUCCAGACCCCACUCCCCUCAACCAAACACCCCCCAAGUCUACAUGGUGAAACAACAGACGCAGAAAUUUUAGUUUAUUCUAUAAGAUGAUGUUAAGGGUUUAUAACAAAUGAUUCUUCAUAUUCAUUGACUCUGCAUGAACACCACCACCCCAGCCCCCCGAAAAAAAUAAAAGUUCAAAGAAAUCUCAGACUAUUCUAUAACAUGAAGGUAGGAGUUUAUGACAAACACUUUGGAUGGGUGUGUUUCAGUCAGAAACUCAGAACCACACAAGAAGCAAGAUAAUUUGGUUGUUGCUGCUGUCUCAUUCUUCUUCUUUUUCUUUUAAAUUUUUUUUCCCAUUUGUUGAAUAAGACAUUUUAAAUCUUAUCUAUUCCUAACAUUGUUGAUUCUAUAAUAGGUACCAGAUGAUGAGAUAGAAGAAAUCUCCAGUGAAUCCCAGGUUUAACAUACUAAACAUCUUUUCCUUCUUUUAAUUCUUUUUAUUAUUUUCAGCAUGUACAUAUGCUAUCCUUCUCCUUCAUAUCUGCAUGCUGCAAUCAUCAUAACUGAUGUUAAGAACUAAAGUUCAUUGUGACUCUAAAAUUGAUUGCAAUUCCUUAAUUCUGUUGAAUUAGUAGAUGACACUGAUCUGUAAGACCAACGUCAUUGUUUCAAUUUCUCUCUACUUCUCAAGCAGUUGAACGUUUAUCUACAAAUAACAGUUGUCAGCACUGGUAUCCUUUGUCACCCUUCACCCUUUUGAGUUCACUGCAUGCCAUUAUAGUAAAUUUCUUUAACUGACCAUCCUGCUGAAUGGUCUCCUUUGCUCUUUAUCUGCAACAUACUCCUUUCUUCUCUGGAUUCCAUGAAACUGAUAUUCAGCAAAGCAAACAGAACCUAUUAUUACAAUUACAUCAUCAUUGGAUAAAACAGAACAAGGCAGAUCACAUUUAAAUUCUGAAAUCUGCACGCUUCUGCCUGAGUCUUCUACAUUAUAGUUUGUGAAACAGGAUUAUCUGGUUAUCCACUAUUACUGUAAGAGUUCUUUGAGGUUUUUUAACCUCUUCAUAAAAAUGUUACUAAAUGUUCCAAUGUCUUGUUCCCCUCUAAAUUUCCUAUGGCCUCACUGUGGGGAUUAAUCUAUAAAUCCAGAGGUAACUAUUAGUGUAAGAGUUCCUUGAGGUUUUUUAACCUCUUAAUAAAAAUGUUACUGAAUGUUCCAAUGUCUUGUUCCCCUCUAAAUUUCCCAUGGCCUCACUCUGGGGACUCAAUCUAUAAAUCCAGAGGCUGCUUACCUUAUUCAUGUACCUCUUAGCGACCUCAUUUAUAGUUUAAAAAAGAGAAAGUAAAUCUGCUGUUACUCAAAGAGUAACUACCUAGGAUAUGAUGUAAUGAUGCCUUUUUUUUGGUUCUGCAUAUGUGCAGGCUAAAAGACUUUUUUGUAGUUUUGCCUUUGUCUAUUUAAGGAUUUUAUGGGUUUGUGUGAGUGAUUGUGAGCGAGUGCACCUGCACAUCCUGUUGAAAUGCUCUUACUUGAUAUAUAUAUAUAUAUAUAUAUAUAUAUAUAUAUAUAUAUAUAUAUAUAUAUAUAUAUAUAUAUAUAUAUACUAUAUAUUUAUUUAUUUNNNNNNNNNNNNNNNNNNNNNNNNNNNNNNNNNNNNNNNNNNNNNNNNNNNNNNNNNNNNNNNNNNNNNNNNNNNNNNNNNNNNNNNNNNNNNNNNNNNNNNNNNNNNNNNNNNNNNNNNNNNNNNNNNNNNNNNNNNNNNNNNNNNNNNNNNNNNNNNNNNNNNNNNNNNNNNNNNNNNNNNNNNNNNNNNNNNNNNNNNNNNNNNNNNNNNNNNNNNNNNNNNNNNNNNNNNNNNNNNNNNNNNNNNNNNNNNNNNNNNNNNNNNNNNNNNNNNNNNNNNNNNNNNNNNNNNNNNNNNNNNNNNNNNNNNNNNNNNNNNNNNNNNNNNNNNNNNNNNNNNNNNNNNNNNNNNNNNNNNNNNNNNNNNNNNNNNNNNNNNNNNNNNNNNNNNNNNNNNNNNNNNNNNNNNNNNNNNNNNNNNNNNNNNNNNNNNNNNNNNNNNNNNNNNNNNNNNNNNNNNNNNNNNNNNNNNNNNNNNNNNNNNNNNNNNNNNNNNNNNNNNNNNNNNNNNNNNNNNNNNNNNNNNNNNNNNNNNNNNNNNNNNNNNNNNNNNNNNNNNNNNNNNNNNNNNNNNNNNNNNNNNNNNNNNNNNNNNNNNNNNNNNNNNNNNNNNNNNNNNNNNNNNNNNNNNNNNNNNNNNNNNNNNNNNNNNNNNNNNNNNNNNNNNNNNNNNNNNNNNNNNNNNNNNNNNNNNNNNNNNNNNNNNNNNNNNNNNNNNNNNNNNNNNNNNNNNNNNNNNNNNNNNNNNNNNNNNNNNNNNNNNNNNNNNNNNNNNNNNNNNNNNNNNNNNNNNNNNNNNNNNNNNNNNNNNNNNNNNNNNNNNNNNNNNNNNNNNNNNNNNNNNNNNNNNNNNNNNNNNNNNNNNNNNNNNNNNNNNNNNNNNNNNNNNNNNNNNNNNNNNNNNNNNNNNNNNNNNNNNNNNNNNNNNNNNNNNNNNNNNNNNNNNNNNNNNNNNNNNNNNNNNNNNNNNNNNNNNNNNNNNNNNNNNNNNNNNNNNNNNNNNNNNNNNNNNNNNNNNNNNNNNNUAUAUAUAUAUAUAUAUGUAUAGAUACAUGUAUAUGUAUAGAUACAUGUAUAUAAUUUUUAUUUUUUAUUUUAUUUUAUUUUUUUCUGAUGCUAACUUGAGAUUUUCUAUUGGUUGUGGAGCUGACAUCCGAGUAUCUCUCAGGCUUGGGAGAUUGUGGAUGAGUCCUGCAUGUAAGAAUUACAUAAAAUCAUCCUGAGGAUUGACUUGUAUUACCCUUGUUUGCUGACAGUAUCAUUCUUGGUAUGUUGUUUGAUAGAGGUGACCUCUAAGCAUGUUGAUUGUUCCUUUGGAUCUUUUUAAGAGUUAUGCUCCAUAACUAGCCCAAUAUUGAUAUGAAAGGGCUUGAACAUCCCUAACUGUUGAUAUUAAUCUAUCUUCAUCACUAGAGAAGGUGGACGAGUCCCAGUCACUUCCGGAAGUUAUGGAUUUGUGCUGGAUGCUUGGCAUCUAAAUACCAACAGCAUGCACAAUCAUUUGUUCAUGGAUACCUUACACUCCACCUUAAAUUAUCGGGCUUGCUUGUUCAAGGAUAUUUCAAACAAAUAGUCUAUAUGCCUGUCCGCUCUUUAUUGUCCAGGCCAUCUUCUGUUCCUUGGUUUUGUCUAGCUCGUUCUUAUGUUUUGUGCCAUGCUAUGUACUCAUACCUUAUUGUGCGUUGCCCUCUCCAACUCUGGCAAUUUGUUGUUUCAGGAUGACAGUGAUGAAGACUGGGCCCUGUAAUGCAAUGAAAUGGACAUGGAAGAAUACUGAUAACCUCUACUCCAGGUGCCACACUAUCUUUGGUUGUGUACUAAUAUGGUGUGUAGCUGAAGUUGUCAAUCAGGAGAUAGUAUUAUCAUUUACUGCUCAAUCUGUCCUUGCAUGACUUUAUGAUUCGGUUAAGAUUUUUUUCCCCUUCUGUUCAAUUCUCCAUUUUGGCAAUCGUUCAUGAAAUCUUUUUGCUGAAUGUUUAGGUGAGCCUUGAAGCCCAGAAACCUGGAGAAGGUCUAUGUUAUAGAGCAUUCAACACCAACAAAAAAGUCGAGCAGGAUCCCAUGCAUUAGGACAUAUCUUGACAGAGAUCCAGGAAACUGGAAUCAAGUGAUGAUACUUGCUCAACUGGCUUAGAGUUGGCCAUCUAUCUGAUAAAAGGUACUCUUGGAGUGUGGGCCCUCUAAAGUUGCUUAACAACCUAUGAGCGUUGUCUCAGAAAAGUCUAAGACUAGAAUAUCGAGUUUUCUUAGCUUCUUACUCACAUAUUAUGGAUAGAGUUUUGCAUUUCUUGGAUUCCCUAGUGAAGCAUUAUUGCAUUUCGUAUACCCCAAUGGAAGCUGCAUAUAUUAAGUUGUCAUCCCUGUGAGGAAUGAAAAGAUCAGGCAACAAAUCCAAGAUUAUUGGGGAAAUAAAUAAUAUAGUGGUGACUCCAAAAUUGUCUGCUGAAGGUGGGUCCUUGCAAAUAGUAUUGGCUGUGCUUGAAUGAAAAGAUCGGUCCUAUCCUUCUCUUCUAUGAUCAACAGUUUGAUUACUGAAUGCUUGAAUGCUGAAUGGGGUAAGUUUAUUUCGGCAAGGAUGUCGAUGAGCUGCUCUAGAUAAUGUGGUAGGCUGCCUUACGUUGUGAAAUUUUAUUUAGCAUCACAAUUCCAUGGCAUCUUCUGAGACAGGCAGUAUUAAUUGGAAAAUUUAUUGACAACAAGUGUGUAUUUAACUUGGCUUACAGUCCAGAUAUAGGUCACUUUGGAGGAAUAUUAACCAUCAUUAUUGGUUCUUCAGCUCAGAUAAUGGUAUGGACCAACAUUCAUUUGUCAGUCCCAUUGAUUCUGCUCUUGCCUUAAGUAGGUUCAUAAUAGUGAAUUCCAUGAACAGGAAAUUAAUCUGCUGGGAUGUAGCUUUGUGUUUAUACUUCUACUUCUUCAAGGGGAAAAACGCCUAUUUGCCCUUCUCAUUAGCCUAUAAUUCUCACGAGUAAAUGUCUAGUGAAAUGUACCAUCUCCAAAUAUUGAUAAGCACCUCAUUUAAUCCAUUUCCUGUCCCGAAGCAGGAUGAUGGUUGUGCCCAACUAUGAGAUAAGGCUGCCUAUAAUGUACUGCAGCGCUUUGGCAGCGAUAAUGGCAACGCCGUCCCUCGUGGACGGGAGCAGCAAUCGCACCAGUCACCAUACGAGGAGCCGUCACCGCAAGCACGACCGCCUCUUUCACUUUCUUCACCCUCUUUUGAUUCCUUCACAAAUAUCGACGCUAUCAGAAUCGAGAUGGGAGCCGUUUCACGAUCUGAGUAGUUAUUGAGAAACUAAUGGAAGCCGGUCCUGAAAAAAGUGCUGUAUUUGCAUAAUGUGCCCAACGAAAUCUACUAGCAAAUCCUACUUUCUGCGGCCCUCUGGCGUUGGAUAUCAUACUCUUCUUUUCCUUAUUGGUCUCAAAUGACAGAUUGUUUCACGAACAGCUUGUGAACAGCUUGAUAGAUAGCUAGUUUAAGCUUGGCUCGGUCAGAAAAUGAUUUCAACUCAAACAGUAUCUAGAAAUUCCGUUUAUAAACAAAUUUGACUUUAGCAAGAAACUGGCUUGGCUCCAUAAGAAGUUCAGUUCAAAGGCUAAACAGAUAACAUGGUCACGGAUAUGCACAGGCUUUACCUCCUACAGCAGAACACACGGGUUCUUGAAAAUGUUCUGGGGGCUUAGAGGACUGCUGCCAUGUGAGGCAAACGUGGGAUGGCAAACCUUGAUUUACCCAUGAAAAGCAUGCAGCAUUCCUGAAGAGGUCUAUGCAUAUGGUCUGUGGACAUGGUGCUGAGCCGGUCGACAACUUAACACUAGUAGAGGAACAGAAGAUGCAGCAUUCCACACAAGCUGAACAAACAUCAAAGACAUGGGAGGAAGACGGCAAGGCGAUUCCCAAGACCCUAAAUGAGUGAUCCAUCUAUACCUUUUUUCUUGAUAUAUUAAGAGCAAGUUUGGACACGAUUUCUCAUCACGAGAUUGUGCAGUUCUAUAUGCAUUUUGAAAAAGAUAGUGAUAAUUUUGUAGGGAUUUUUUUUUUGAAAUAAUGUAUUUUUAAUAAAAAAUUCUGAAAAUAUGGUGGUUGAAAAAGUAUUUAUGAAACUAUCGUUGGUGGGCAUCAGAUAAAUUCGUGGGUUCAACCCACGAAUUAUGUAUACACGUGGAUAAUUUGUGGGUUGAACCCACGAAUUCUCUGAUCCAGCUGGACUAAUUGUAUGAAUUUUGAAAUUUAAAUUAGUGGAUUGGAGUCACGAAUUAACCAAAUGAAUUCAUGGGUUGAACCCACGAAUUCAUUGUCAACGAAUUUUUUUUUAUAAUUUCAAUAAAAUUUGUGGGUUGAACCCACGAAUUUAAGUUUUCGUGGGUUCAACCUACGAAUUCAAGAUUUUAUGGGUUCAACCCAUGAAUUCAUUUGAAAUUUUCAAUCAAUUCGUGAACCCAUGAAGUCAUUAAAAAUUUCAUGAAUUCGUGGGUUGAACUAACAAAUUCAUUCAAAUUUUUCGCCCGUUGGAGAAGUACACCUGAAUUCAUGGGUUCAAAAUUCAUUCAAAAUUUUCAACCAUUCAUGAAUUCGUGGGUUGAACCCACAAUUUAUUCAAAUUUUACUUGAAUUCGUGGGUUCAAACCACAAAUUCAUUGUCUUUAAAUCCAUGCCUCCACCCUCCCUUCAAGUCCACUCCUCACCCUUCCUACUCCUUAUUGAGAUUUUUAGAAAUUUUCUUGCAUUAGUCCAUAUAUUCUGAUCCUCUUCUUAAAACUGAUUAUGGCUUUAAAAAAAAGUGAAGUUUUAUCGAAAGGAAAGAAGGCUCGAGUAGAGAAAGGAAAGCAAUCAUCUCGUAGGUACGAAGAGUUCUUAUUUCUAGACAGUGAGUAUAGUGAAAAAUUUCAAUCAAAUUUUUUCGAAAAAAAAAUUGUAGGAGGUAGAAUAGUCGAUUUAAAUAGUUUUAGUGAUUUUUGUAUUAAAUUUUUGUUUGAAAGGAUAGAUUGGCUAUCUAUGAUUAUGCUCAACAAGCCAACGUAUCCUACUCUGGUUCACUAUUUUUUUAAUAAUUUUAGUUUUAAUAGUAAGUCUUGUUCUAUUUCAUCGUAUGUUAAAGGAUAAUUGAUUGAAUUUGACUGUGAAGUUUUAGAUCAAAUUUUAGAUAUUCCAUCGAUAGAUUUUUCAAUAGUAGUACUGUUUGGAAUCAUCUAGUAUUAGACUAUGCUUCCUGUGUUAGAACUAUUUUUGAUGACCAUAUAAGUGCGAUCGCUAAACUUGAUGCAAAUCUAUUACCACUUGAAACUAUGUUAAUCCAUCAUAUUUUUACGUUUAAUUUUCUACCCAGAGGAGGUCACAGAGAACAUGUAUCAUAUUUAGAUGUUUAUCUCCUCAGAAUAGUUCUUUCAUGUGAUAGGGUUAAUUUGCCCUAUUUAAUGAUGUUUUAUAUGAAUGAAUAUUUUCAAAGUUCAAAAACCAUCUUAUCAUAUGGAGCUGUUCUGACUGCUAUAUUCGAAGCAUUUGAUGUCCACAUCACGACUGAUGAUGAAGUUGUCAAGAUUAAACGUAAUGAUAUUUACAAUCAUGUAUCUUUGAGGUGCAUGAGAUAUAUAUUUCAUGAUGGGGUAUGGAUGCGUACAUCUACAGUAGAUGAAGAAGAACAUGACGGUGAAGGAGGUGGGCAGCCUACCGACAGAGAGCAGCCCAUACAUGCUACACAGUCUGAUCAGCAGUCAUUCGAUCAGCAUGCAUUAUCUGCUCAUAUAGAUGCAUUGGAGAUAUCUGUUAGUGAGAGCUUUGCACAUAUGGAUUCUCAGUUGGAUGAGAGAUUUGCACAGAUGGAUGCUCGAUUGGAUGAGGAUUUUGGAUGAUUUGAUCAGUUCGUACAGUAUUUUUAUCGUCAAUUUUCUCCACCACAACAAGACCUUACUCCGGAUGAUUAAACUUCAGCGAUUAGUAGCAGUACAUGAGGUUUCACCCGAAAAUCUGCCAUCUUCUUCAUUUAUGUUUAGAUAAAUAUACUUUGGUUUGAUGUAUGCAUAUGUACCUUUCUUUUGUUGCUGUCAUUUUAGAUGUCAAAUGUUGUAACCUGAUCAAAAUUAUGUAAAAUUUAAGAUAUGAUUUUGUCAGCAAAGUAGUUAAUUAAAUAAUUAGUAUCUAAUGAAUAAUUAAAAAAAUUUAACAAAUAUAUUGAAAGUUGGUUAAAAAUUUAUAAUUUUAAUAAAAAAUCAAAAAAUUUAACUGUGGCACAUAAGUCGUCUGUGAAUUUUGGUCGACCGUUGCAAACCGAGCUAAUCGAUCGACCAUGUGGCCCUGCAAGCCAUGUCGAAUCAAUCGAUCACUGCAAAUCGAGCCGACGGUCGACUCUGGAUCUCAGGCCGGUCGACUGCAUGGCACGCAAGCCAUGCCGAACCGAUCGAUCGCCUAAGAAUUUCGAUCGAUCGUUGCAAAUCAAGCCGAUCGAUCGACUCUGGAUCCUCAGGCCGAUUGACCGCAUGGCACGCAAGCUGUACCAGACCGAUCGACCGCCAGAGAAUUUCGAUCGAUCGCGACCCACCGAGCUGAUCGGUCGACCUCAGAACAUGAGGUCGGUUGACCGCAAGCAAGGGGAAGUGGUCUUUUGGUCGAUCGACCUAACAUUCUGGGGUUGAUCAGUUGGCUCGGUGGGCAGCGAUCGAUCGAAAUUCUCAGGCGGUCAAUCGGUCCGGCAUAGCUUGCAUGCCACGCGAUCGACCGGCUUGAGGAUCCAAAGUCGAUCGAUCGGCUUGGUUUGUAGCGAUCAAUCUAAAUUCUCAGGUGGUCGAUCGGUUCGGCAAGGCUUGCGUGCCAUGCGAUCGACCAGCCUGAGAUCCAGAGUCGAUCGGUCGGCUCGAUUUGCAGCGAUCGAUCGAAAUUCUCAGGCAGUCGAUCGGUUUGGCACAACUUGCGUGCCACAUGGUCGAUCGGCCUAAGGUUUCGAGCUCGAUCGGUCGGCUCGAUUUGCAGCAGUCGAUUGGAAUUCUCAGGUAGUCAGUUCGGUUCAGUAUGACUUGCAUGCCACAUCAUCGACCGACCUGUGAUUUCGGACUCGAUCGGUCGACUCGAUUUGCAACGGUUGAUCGAAUUUCUCAGAUGGUCGAUCGAUUCGGCACGACUUGCGUGCCACAAUAUAAUUUUUAAUAAUUUUUUAAUAUUUUUAUUAAAUUAUUAAGAGCAUUUUAAUUUAAAAAUCUAAUGCACUCAUUGAUGUAAUAUAAUAAAAUAUUCCAUAACUUUUAUAUCCAUACGUCCUACAAAUAUGAAAAAAUAAAAAUAUAUACGUCAUAUUCCACAAGAUGGUUUUCGCAUCUUUCUUUCAGGUUGCACUCGAGACCCAUAGGUAGAGCCUCACUCGAUCCUUCAGUAUGAUGCUCGUUUGGAUCCUCGAUCGGACCAUCGUGCUCCUCGAUAUGAUGCUUGCCCGAACCCUGAGUCAGUCCCUCCUGUGCUCUGUAUGAUACUCCAUCGAAUCCUCACUCAGUCUGUCAUACUUGGUCGCUGCAUACUCAAAAUGUGUUGCAAUCUCCUCUGUGGACUGAAAUUGGAUCAUAUCGUCAUGCAUAUACACGGACAAGGGCAUAUAUGAACUGAACGAUGGAAGAUCCGAAAUCGAAAAUGAUGAUGAACAAUAUUAUCUGGUACCUCCUCUAUGUAAUGCAGGUGCUCCUGAUGAUGAGGGUUGCAUGAAAGGUGAAGGAGUGGACUCUACAGUGCCAUGGCCAUGAUCAUGGAUAUCGAUGGAGAUACGAGCAUGCUGUCGAACGGUGUGGAGGUCUGAAGCACAAAUAUCCUAGAUGAGCUAUCCAGAUGUAGCUAACGAGUCUGGACGAGCCAAAUGAUGAAUCCUCGCCAGACUAUCACUCUGACACAAACAACACACUUAGCAGUAGGCAAAUAAAUAUAUGUUAGUCAUAGAAAAUUACAGAUAAAAUAUGAAACCUUAUCAGAUAGUCAAUCAUCGCUCCACCAAUGCAAAUGAAUCGACGUAUAAUGCGACGAUACCACUCCAUAUAGUCAUCAUAAUAGUCCAUCAUACCGUUGGCCGCUGGACCGUCUACAAUAUAAUCCUGCCGACUCUGCCAGAUUGCAACCCACUGCUAAUGAAUUCUUCUCCAGUCAUGAUCGGUGCACCCUCAAAGGUCGAUAUGAUAAAGUCUGAAAUCUAUAUCACAAACCUCCAGAAUAGUCUGUCAUAAUCCGAACUGGUGUAUCACUCUAUCUGGAUAGUGCUACUCAACGAUAAAGAAAUAUAGAAGUGUCACCCGACACCGUCAUAUAUGCUGCCCACUAAAACAAUAAUCUGGUAGACCAGCUAGGACCAGAGGAGUAUAUGGCUGCCAUACGAUCUUUUCAUCCACAGAAUUAAGUAUAAGUAGUAUGAACAUAGUCGUUCCAAGAAAUUAUCUAAAUAAUGUAAAUCAGUUAUGUUUAUACCUGGUCAAAUCUGAGACGAUCAAAAUGAAGCCGAUAACUCAGUAAAACAUGGGUAGAAAUCUUCGUCACCUCAAAAAUAUCUCUCCACCUACAUAAUGAAAUUAUAAUGGUACAUACAAGUGUAUUUCAAAAACUUGAAGUUUGAGGAUUAUAAUGGCACAUACAAUUAUAUACCUCAUGGCUAAACGGCCAGCUGGUAAUACAUCUCCACCUGCCAAAUCCAUAAUAGGAUUUAUAGAAGGCUGAAGUGACCGACGAGGAGCUAUAGAUGGAAACCUAUCCCAAGCCCAUACCUGGAGUAAAAUAAAAGGUCCUGCAAUAUCAUGUGCAUCUAUCCUAUUUGCCCUACAAAGCUCUCUAUACAACCAUGCUAAGCCCACACUACCCGAGUUAUAGUGUCUUGCAGCCUCAAAAUUGACAAGUAGUGGCAAAAACAUUAUAUGCAUCAUAUUAUUUGAUUUAUUUGCAUGCAAAUACUCCCCCAUCAACUAUAGAAUAUAUGUCCUAGCAUAACGCUGUAUGGCUAUAAUGUCUGCAUUCAGUGGUAGCUCGAAAAACUGUUGUCCCAACCAUGCAAGAUUCAAUCGACAACCCUUUAGUUUAUCAGUAGGUGGGACAACACCUAGCAAAUCAAAGCAUACCUGACGUCAGUCCUGACAUGUGCUACCUAUCACUAGAAGACCAUCAACUGGUACAUCCAAUUGAAUAUUGACGUCCUCCAGUGUGAUAGUGCACUCACUAGGUGGUAGAUGAAAUAUAUGAAUUUCUGGAUGCCACCGCUCUACGAAUGCGGUGAUCAAAUGCCAAUCUAGCGAGAUGAAUCCCACCCGGUUAAGCCGGUAAAAAUCUGUCUGCUGCAAAAGCGAAACUAUCCGUAUGUCCAGUGGGGUCGAUCGAGUAAAGGCUAGCUCUCACCUUCGACAUCGAAGAAAAGAAUGCUCUGUAAACAUGAAAAAAAGUUAAUUCAGAUCUUUGAAUCUUUAAAUAUAUUUAAUAUAAAUACAUACUUGUCCAUCCCAAAUGGUGGAAGACCGAUGAGAAGUUUGAGCAUAUAAGACCGUCUGAUCUACCGGCCUUGGCUCUAUGUGUACAAUACUAUAGAACAUAUUUGUAAAAAGAAAUAUUUGUUACUGAAUCAAAUAAACACAUAUUUGAUAUUCCAUCAAAGAAACACAUAUUUGAAACAAGUUAGAACAAAAGUAGUACCACAUUACAAUAGAUAAUAACACAAAAUUUUUGUCUGGUAAUAAUACAAGUCAGAAUACCAAAGUUCAUUGUCUGGUUGUCGGACAUGUCCGUCUGCUAUGUCCAACUUCGCCACAAUUUCGGCACCUAGUUCUGUUCCCGAUUUCCAUCCAAUCCAUUUCAUUCCUUAAUCUAGAAGAUCGUGGUCUUUCCUUUUGUCGCAAUCAUUCUUUCUGUGGUAUAAUGGUGAUGUUAGUUGUUUGUUGCGCUCAAUAAUCUGCUUGCGGGAUGGGUUGAAAUUGAUGGCUGUAAAUACGAUGAUACUCCUCUAGUGUGUAACACCGAUCAACAUAUCACCAAAAAUUAAUUGACACAUGUGCACAGGCAGCCAUCACAUGAGAAUACGGUAAAUGAUAACAUUGUCAUUUCUGACAUAUAUAUGUACGCUCAGAUAACCAUACUAUCUGCAAACAUAUUAACUUAUUAGAUCAAAAAACUAAUUUUUAUUUGGAAUACGUAAUAACUUAAACAUAUUUAUUCUACUAAAAUCUACCAUCACCUGAGUAUUGUUGUCUUUAUUGUUAUACGGUCCACGGAAUGCUGUUUGGACUUGAAAUACUCCACUUGCACUAUCGAACUUUGUGACAUUAUGAGAUGUUGCUUUUGAUUGGUUGGCAAUCACACAAGUUGUAGCAAAUGAAAUAAAUCUUUCACCUCUAGUUAAUGCUUCAUCUGUCUGGACACGUCGACCAUCAAAAUAUGAUACAAGUCAAAAAAAUAUCAGCUAGACCAAUGAACUUAUCGGUAGAAAGCAUGCAUUUUUCAGUACACCAUUAAAAUAUUUAGAUAAAUUAGUGGUCAUCAUUCCAAAUCUUCGACCAUCAUUAUGUGCACGAGAUCAUUUCUCCACAAGAAUGUCAUUCAACCAUUGAAUAGCUUCCGAAUUCACCUUUUCAAUCUUCAUAAAAAAUUUAUUGAACUUUCUAAGUUGUGUUUGCAUUCCGAUUAUUUUCACCAAAUCUCUGAGUCUGGAGUUCCGGAAUCGAGUAUUGAAGUUACUCGCUAUGUGGUGCAAACAAUAAACAUGAUGUGCAUCUAGAGGGUGCCAGCCAGGAUGUUUGUUCUGUAAAGCCGAUAAUAUACCUGAAUGCUGAUCUGAAAUAAGACAUAUACCAUGACAUGAUGUAAUACAAUAUCUAUGACAAGCCAAGAACCAGCCCCAUGUAUUAGUAGACUCCUCGUCCACUAUAGCAAAGGCAACUAGAAAAAUUUGAUUAUUCCCAUCAACAGCUAUUGCAAUCAUUAGCUUCUCUCGAUAUUUUUCAUACAUAAAUGUAGUAUCGAUACUGAUAACCGAUCUACAGUGUUUGAAGCCUUCAAUUGAUGGUGCAAAUGCCCAAAAAGCAUGAUCAAAUGCAGCCAAUGGAGGAUAACUGGUGGAAGUGCUGAUGAACUUCACCCAAGAGCCAGGAUUAAAUUUUUGUACAGCACACAACCAUUUUGGCAAUACAUUAUAAGAUUUAUCCCAGUCUCUAUAUAUCAAUGCCAUUGCCUUUUGCUUUGCCUCCUAUAAUUUUCUAUAACUGCACGUAUAGUUGAAUCUAUUUUUAAUAAUUGCAUCGAUACCGGCAAUAGAAAUUGUGAGCAUUUCUUUUACAAUAUCCCAAAUUUUAUUGGCUAUAAAAUUCAAAUCAAGAUCAGAAUGAUCCUGAGAAAGCAUAGCCGAAACACAUGUAUGUGGACCGAUAUACCUUGUGAUUUCAAAGUAAUCGUAUCGCUUAACAGCUCGGAGUAUCCAAUUAUAUCCUGACUCUCUAUUUUUAUAUUUUUCCACCCAAAGCUUUGGCUCUGACUCGACAACUCUAAAUUCAUAAUGUCUCUUAAUAUGAUACUGUUUUACUGCAGUUUGGAGUUCCGUCUUAUUUGUAAAAUAAAGUCCUUUUGACAAUUCGGCACCUUUUUUCCAGCUGGUGCACCGUGCCUCCAAUCCAGAAGAUAUUGAUACAUUAGCUGCCGUCCAAUCAAUUGAUCUAAAUAUUCUAAAAGGAGCUUCAAAUAUCCCUAAACUUGGGUGCUCUUCUACAGGUCCGCACUCUAUAUUAGUAAAAGUGCCAGCUUCCUGAGGAUGGAAGUCCAUCUCAUCUCCACUCUGUAUGUCAUCUUCCUUAAAUAAUCAAUUAUCUAUGUGCACCAUAUCAUCGACAGGUGUAUAAAUUGAUGAUUCUCUGAUAGUGACACUUACCACUUCAGGAUCUACUACAGGGAAUUGAUCCUCUGCAUGUUUGAAACUUUGAGUCUCUGGUACAUGGUCAGUGCCCUGAGCUAUUCUAGAUAGAUCGAUCUGCUCAGUAUCCUGAGUUGUUCUAGAUGGACUGAUCUGUUGAAUGUUCUGAGUUAUUCUUAUAUCUCUAUCAGUUACUUCAUAAUCAUACUGUUCAGCUUCAAUAGGCUGCACUUCUAAAUACAACUCUGCACUCGAUAAACAUGGGCGCGAACUAACCGUUGAAAAAAUUACUUCGAUAUCCUCAUCUCCAGUAAUCGGAAUAGGUUCAUAUUUUAAUAAUAUCGACUGUACAACAUGUGGAUUUCUAUAUAUUAUUGUGAAUCUAUUCUUGCUUUUGUCUACAUGAAAGAGUAUGCAUAAUUUAUUCUCUAACUCCUCAAAUCUAAUUUCAGAUGUUAUUCUAACUGCCCUUUGAGGACGACCAAUGUAUUCAAUGCCAUUUGGUCCAUAAAUUAUAGAAUUAUUUAUGUAGCAUAAGACCAUGAUAUUUCUUUCCAUCACUACAUGCAUAACAAAUAUAACAAUUUUAGCAUGCUCUACAUAAAAUCACCAAUUAAAUGCAAAAUAAAGCAAACCAUAGCUCAAAGUCAGCAAUUAAAAUGAAAUUUUUAAUAAUAAUUCACUUAAAUAAUAUUAUAAAAUUUUACAUACUUACAAAAUUUUUUAAUUAUCAAUUUUAAUUUUUUCACUUAUAACAAUUCAAAAAAUUAUAAUAUUAUAAAAUUUUACAUACUUUUAAAAUAUUUAUAAUUAAUAAUUUUAUUUUUCACUUAUGACAAUUCAAAAAAUUAUAAUACUAUACAAUUUUAUGUACUUAAAAAAUAUUUUAUAACUAUUAAUUUUACUUUUUUCACUUAUAAAAUUUUAAAAAAUUAUAAUAUUAUAUAAUUUUACAUACUUACAAAAUUUUUUAAUUAUAAAUUUUAGUUUUCUCACUUAUAAUAAUUCAAAAAAUUAUAAUAUUAUAAAAUUUUACAUACUUAAAAAAAUUAAAAUUAUUAAUUUUAUUUUUUUACUUAUAACAAUUCAAAAAAUUAUAAUAUUAUAAAAUUUUAUAUGCUUAAAAAAUAUUUAUAAUUACUAUUUUUUUUCACUUAUAACAAUUCAAAAAAUUAAACAAUGACAUCAAAAAANNNNNNNNNNNNNNNNNNNNACCGUAGAGGGGGGCAGCGACCGAGGGGAACGAUGGAGUGAGGUGGCGGGCAGGGGGGACCGUGGAAAGGGACGGCGGUCGGGGGGAAUGGUGGAGUGAGGUGGCAGGCAGAGGGACUGUGGAAUGGGGGAGGGGCCCAGAGAAGUCCUGGGUUGUCGGAGGGGAGGGAAGCAUCAGGGGGUAGGAGAGGGAGGGUCCGACGGUCAUGAUCCGAGCUGACAGCUCUAUUGGAGAGAGGGGACCACGAUCGGAGGGCAGGGAGGUGGGGACCGACGUUGGGGCCAGGGAAAAAAAAAUUUAGGGACGAGAACAUAGGGCAAGGAGGUGGGAAUAGGAACAUGACCCCAUGUCAUGAUUUUAAAAAAAAAAUUGAAUUCAUGCAUUGAAGACACGAAAUCAAACUUCAAUUUUCAUGUCUCAACGCCACAUGGAGCAUCAAAAUAUAUAUAUGUAGACCGCGUAGCCAAUAAAUUCAUGAGUUCAACCCACGAAUUAUCCAUAUGUAUGCAUAUUUCGUGGGUUGAACCCAAGAAUUUAUUUGACGCGGCCCACCAACGGUCGUUUUGUAAAAUCUUUUUCAACCGCCAUAUUUUUAAAAUUUUUUAUUAAACAUAUAUUAUUUCAAAAAAAAUCCAAUUUUGCAGUAUCAGGUGGUUCGUUAUGCAACAAAACUUUUUAAUUCCAUGAUAACAUGCUCCACUUAAUGCCCGACGGUCAUGGGGAUGCGUCUCCUUAAUCAACUUUAAAGGAUGAAACCAUAUCAAAUAACCUUCACAUUAAUCAUGGUUUCAUGACUGGGACGUAAACUGGUCUCACCCCGACUUUGACAGGCACAUGAGAAACAUAACUGUAGAGCAAAGCAAAUCUAGUUGUUUGGUAGUAGGUUUUACUGAACUGGCUUCCAACAGAAUCCAAAAUGAGCAAGUUCGGUUAAAAUACCUGCUUGAUUGUUUGAAUGAAACCUACCGGAGAAAAUACGAGCAAAUACAUGAGUUCUAUGAAAACCUUGCCUUUGUUUUUUUUUACCAAAAAACCCUUCAUUUUUUAUGAAAAAUAUGCUUUACAGAGUAAGAUUUUAUAGUUAUCAUUUUUCAAACAGGUAAAUGUUUUGACGGUGGCAUCCAACUUGAGAGAGCAAAUUAAAUGAGCGAAACCUCGGCAAGCCAUUACAAGUACCUUCUCAACAAAAGAUAAUCUUGCAAUAAAACGAACACCUUUGUAGGCCAAAUUUCAAACAGUACUUAUAUGGAUUGUAGGAACUAUAGACAUAAUAGCCAGGAAACCACAAAAUUAGAGAUAACAUGGAGACAGAGAAGUGCAGGACAGUGCAGUCAAGGCAUACCAGGGUUCUCGAGCUUGGGUGCAAAGCACAGGUUUACCAGCUCGGCCUUGCUCGAUAUUUUCUGCACCAAGUAAUAAAUGGAUCUCCACAAAGUAACUGCCGAUACAAAAAUAGCAAUAAUCUUUGAACAUAAGUUACAAAAUAAUAAAUAUAUACCAUUCUUAACACACCAUUUAAUUAAAAGGUUGCCUCUAUAUACAGGCAGAAGCAAAAUUCAGUGGUCACUUCCAAUCAAGCAUGUCAAGAAGCCACAAUACUUCAUGCUCUUUGCUUGCAGCAUCACAGAAGUCUAUCUCAAUGCCAAACACAUCAAUGGCAUUCUCAUUACCAUUGGCCACAAACAGCAAGGAUACCCAAGCUCUAAUUCCAGAUAUGAAUGGAUGUCCGGGUGAAAAAUUGAGAUAGGCAUAGGCAAGUGCUCUGAAAGCACUGCCAUCAACAUAAUCAAAGACAGAAUCUCUUAUGAUGCAUGCAAUCUGAUUGGUAUCCUUGCGACCCACAAGAACCGACACAGUGAUGGUACUCCCCAAAGUAAUAGUGAACCUUGGCUCCGCUUGCACUACCAUCUUGUAAUCAGGGCCGUUGAGGUGCACCUUGAGGAUAUCAGAUAUGCCAGGAGGUGGGUUCCUUAUUCCUGUCCGGAGCAUAGAGCCUGAGAUGGCUUCAGAGAAGAUCAGCUUCUGUUCAGACCAAAGGUCGAUGUAGAAUUCUAAAUCAUUGAAGGAUAACCUUGGUGGGAGAAGAGGCUGGGGGCGCUGGGGUCUGGAGAAGGUUUUGAAAAGCUUGUAGUAGCCAAGGGCAGGAAGAGGUCUUCUGCAGAUAGAAGGCCAUCUCUUGGCACAAGCGCACUUCCAAAAGUAGUCCUCCUUAGCAAUAUCUCUCCACCGACAGCAUACCAGCAUGCACGAGGCCAGGUCUUUACCAUCAAGUAGAGGAAAGACAGCCUUUAAAACUUCACCAUGCAACCAAUCUGUGGCCAUUCUGGACUGCUUAAAGACAAUUGAGCAGAAAAGAAUCCAAAAGUCACAAUAAAUCCAGAGGGACGUCAAAGGUUUCCUAACUUUAUGAUUGUGGAACUGAAUAGGCAAUGCAGGAUUAAAAAUUUCCCUGCAAAGUAAACAUGCUCUAUUUAUAAAUACUACAAUGCAAGCAAUUUUUCCCUUGAGUAUCAAUGGUAUGAAUUCGAUUUCAAGUGGCUUACAGAUUCAGAUCAACAUAGUCAUUCAACCAGGAUGAAAAAAAGGCACUCGUUCAUUCAAGCAGGACGAAAAAGAAGGAAGAAAUUUCUGUGUAUGUAUUAUGGCAAGGCAAUUAAUUGAAACUGAUAUUGUAAAUGCAGAAUUAAUAUAUGCUUGGAAUGGUUCAGACAAAUUAAUCAUGUGCAGUGAAGUUUGGAGAUGAUCUAACUAGGAGAAUAGGCGCCAGUGGAAUCAAGGGUAUGUUAAUCAGAUUGGUAGAAUCGAGGAAACCAAGUGAAAGAUAUGUUACAUAGAAUCAGUAUAGAUCAGUGCCAUUGAGACCAUAUUGGAAUGAAAUAGCAUACAGCAAAUGGAAGGAUGAUUUUUUAUCAUAGUCAUGGUCUGGACAAGAUACCCACAUAGGAGUACUAACUGAAAACAAUAAAGCAGGCAAGACACAUGAAACCCGCAGAUGUACCUAGAUAUUCUGAACAUAAUGCAUAUGUCCAAAAGGUCAACAACUAACGAAUAUUUCAAACAAAGUCUUCUAGCUCAGCAUCUUCGUUCAUGUCUAAAGCUACCUCAAUUCAUUGGUUGCAACAAUCAAAUCACCCAUAUAGUUGACAGCUUGAUUGAGAAAAGACAGUACAGUUUUGCUGUCUAAUCAUUUCAGUCGUAAGAUGCAGCACCAAAAAAAAACAAGACCGACCUAUCACCCAUUAUUCACUAAUUAGAUCACCACGAUAGAACCAAAUGUACAAAUAGUAGAAAUUAGACAUAGAGUCUGAUGUGGAGGUAUGAUGCAUUACUCAAAGUAAUAUUCCAGAUGUUGGUGCAAAAUGUUAAUUCUUGUUUGUACAGAAGAAAAUGAAGGAUAUAAGAAGAAUUUCAACUUGGAGAAAAUGAAGCUAGGCCACUUACACUCAACUGAAUCAAUUUAUAUUAAAUUCCAAGAUCGUAAGUCCAUAUAAUACUUGGCUGCAUCAUUGAAACUACACUGGAAAAUAAAAUAUGAGAAUUGGUCAGCAACUUAGCUAUAGCAAUGACUCGAUAAUAAGUACAUAAUAGAAAAUGAAGUAUUCACACUUGGAAGUGAAAAAAAAAUCUCAAACAGCACUAAAUUUAUAUCUCACUAAAACAGAUGAGAGUACUAGAAAUGAGUUAUAAGUUAAGGCAUGCUUUUCAGCAUCAAAUCCCAAAAACUGAAAUACUUUGGGGUCAUGAUUUUCUGAAAAAAGGGCGGCCCAUUAUGGGGGUCUAAGGAGGGUUGGAUGUACGUAGCCUUACCCUCAUAUGCAGAGAUGCUAUUACUGUUAAAAGACCUUCGACCUCUAGGUCAUAUUGGAGGUCAGAUGUCUGAAGGGUCAUGACUUUCUACUAUUUUAAAUUAUAACAGUAUAUUAGGCAACAAAGGUUUGGGAUCUGGACGGUUACUAAAAGCUGCAAUAUCCACUUCAGUUGUGACAUAUAUUUUAGCUGGGAUUUCUUAAUAAUAAGUGGAAGUCAUGGUACAAAAUGACUGCAGAAAUGGCAGUAAUUAAGUUGCCACAUUCUGUAAAGCAUAAAAACAUAAUCCCCCAGCUGGUUCACCUCAUGACAGCCUUAUCUAUGAGCAAACUUUCAAGGAUGUGCAAGAUCUAAAAACAAAUACAUAAUGAUUAAUAUUCUAAGCACCAAGGAUUAAUAGGCAACAAUAUUGUCAAAGUUCUCAGAUGCAGCUAUCUCAAAUAGCUACAACAUUGCUAAGAACUUCAUUCUCAAGGCUGCCUUACCCAGCUUCGAAUGUAACAAGAAAUAUUUGCCCCAAAAGGCACUAGAGUUGACACCAGAUGGCACAGAAACUUUACCAAUCAGUAGUCCAGCUAGCACUAGUUUUGUUGUCUGUGACCAACACCAGUAAAUUGGUUUUACAUUUGCAUCUCAUCCCAUUCUUUCAAUUAUUUCCUACCAUCAUUAUACUUUAUCCUUAGUUUGCUAUGGUGUCCCAGACAAGAAAAUUUUUAAUCAAUUAAAAGAAUGGAAAUUGAUUUGGAUUAAGAAAAAGUCAAAAAGACAAGCAAAGGUUUCUUCAUGCAUUUGACAAAGUUGACUCACAAUGUCCAUAUUAGAAUUUUAUAACAGUAAAAUCCUUCAUAUUGAAGGAAUUGGUGUCUACAGAGGUGGCAAGAGCAUAUGCCUACGCAUGUCUCAACACUAGCAUGCCUAUAAUACAUCAAGAGUGCUGAUAAAGUCAUAUGAAAUUAAUGGCUGAUGCAUUCAUCAGUGCAUUGACAAUACUGAAUCAACAUGAAUCAACUAUUUCCAGCUAACAGUCUAUCUGGAUUGAAUGGAAUUGUAUCCAAUAACUAUGUUCAUGACAUUGUGUCCUACUGUACAGACUACAGAGGAACAUCACCGUGUGCUCCUUGACCCCAGCAUUCAGCAUCCCUAGAGGACACCUCAGAUGUAAUAUGAAAUGUAGCUUAAAGAAGAGUGCCUUCCUCAUCCACCUCAUUUUGAUGCAUCCAGCACCCAUACUAGUGUAGCCUAGUCAUGUUGCUUUGCCUCCAUCUCCCUAACGACCACUAGUUCCUGGGUAAUCCGAGAGCAACUCCUAUACCACACAAGUGCAGUAUACACAGCAAUCAUAACAAAUAUUGCUAUUGUUUCUGCUUCCCAGUCCAAAAAGUCGUAAUCAUAGACCCCAUUCUUACAUGGAACCAAGCAUGAAUAACUUGCAGUAAACAGACUGAAAAAGAAAUACGUAAAUUGGAAUGCUGGAGGUUGUUGAAGAGAGUUGAAGGACUACUAGAAAUGACUGGAGUGCUAAAAACUCAUUGAGUGGAUGAACCAAGGGCUGAAAUAGAAGAACAGAAUGUCAGAGCAUAUAUUUAUAACCAAGAGAUACAAAUGUGAAAACCUUGAAUUGUCUGAUAUCUAAGAGACCAUAUAUGUCCACCCACAGAUUUUUUUUUUUUUUUAAUAACUGAAAGUUAUAACUGAAGAUCAGUUUAUGUGACUAUGGAUUUCCAUUUUCCAGUGUUCUAAACUGAUCACCAAUAAUGAUUAGAAAUGAUGCAAAUAAGGAAAUUAAGUAACAAUAAAUAUACAUGUUUCUUGGGAAAGCUCACUUUUCUUCCCACAGACUACCCUAGAAUACGACGUGGCACAUUAAAAUUCGAGAGGCACCAAACCAUUCAAACACAUCAAAGACAUUAAAUCUUAGCAUUAACACCUCACAUAUAUUGAAACCUUUCGUUCCCUUGACUCCAUUGGUGCUAAGGGGAUACGGAUACGCGCAUAAAAACAGAUCACAACUUUUAACUACCGACAAAAGCUUAAAAAUCAUUCAUCCAAGUUAGCAUCAGAAUUCAGAACAAACCUUCUCGAUGCCGUAGUUUAAUAUUGGAAAACAUUGCCAUAAAAUUCAAAAGCACAAAAUCCAAGUCCCUAAAUCCUUAAGCUUCAUAAACUUACAAAGGAUGAUAAGCAACUAAGCACACGUAAAAAACUUCCUCUUCUAAUUUCAGCCAUCGAGCAAGAGAGACGCAUUAACCUCAAAGAUGUCAAAAAAAACGCCAUAUCCGAUAACCAAUGUCUAGUCAUAACCUACACCUCAAAACCUCACCCAGAUCACAACUUUAGCUAUCAAAAAGCAUUUUAUAGCGAACCAUGCAGAAACGCCAAUAACUCAAAUGCAUAAAUAUAUUUAGGUAUUCACAUAAAAGAGCACACUGCCUGAAAAUCCCCCCCCCCCCCCCCGAAACCUGAGAGCAUUGAGGAAUAUCAAUCAAUCACAACAAUUCAGUAACAAUUCAGCAAACAAUAGCCAUAUUAAUUUCGAAAUUAACAAAACAACUACCAUUUGCUGGAUUUUCAGCAGUCAGAGAUCAUACAAUGAUCGUUAUCGGUUAGGGUUAGGGUUAGAGAUGAAGGGUUCGGGAGAAGACCGAGAAGAGGAGGUGGAAGGGCCCUCGUCGGAGAAACAAAGCCAGAAAAAGAAGGGGCGGGGGAGGGGGUAGACGCAUACGAUCGGAGCACGGAGAUGAGAUCGGAGGCGCCGGCUAGCCGACUGAGAUCGCAUGGGCGAGUGAGAGAACGGUUCGCCAGAGGGAUGAUCGGAGCUCCUUCGCCGGCAACCUGACCGCCGGAGCACAGUACACGUUCUUGAGGAAGGAGAAGAAUGGGAGAGCGACUUGAGGAAGGAGAAGAAUGGGAGAGCGAAGGGAAGGAGCGGCGGGGCGGUGGAUGAGGCCGAGAGGUCAGAGAAGCCGGGGUGAAAUUUCCUAAGGAUGACUUGACCGAAUGUGGCACCUGAAAGGGGCACCGACGCGGUUAAAAACUGGCUCCGGAUCAAACAUGGCACGAGGCAUAUGUAAAUCUGCGGGUUUACCCUAUUUGUUUGUUUUUAACUGAAGCCAGCUAAUAAAAUUCCAAGCUGUCCCAAGUUUCCAAUAUGACAAUAGCACAAUGUUAAGAUGUCGCUGGAUAUCUCAUCCGAUCCUAGGAAACCUUCGGUACAAAGGUGGAGCCAUCAGUACUAGGCUUCACAUAAUCAUGGUGUGGAGAAUGACAAAUAACCCGCGGAGAAGGAUUCCUCUGUGUGGGACAAACUCGUGACACACUAGCACAGAAUGUUGAAACACUAGCAUUGCGAUUUUUCCACGGCUGCCAUAAGAUUGAAGCAAAAAGAGACUCCCCCUCCACCCCAGAGGAAGAAAAAGGAUACCGUUCCAGCCAAGUUCCAUUCAAUAUUUGAAUUGUUCUCUAACAAGCCUUGCAUGCUUACAGGUGAAAAAUAGAUGUUCUAUAAUCUGAAAAUCUUCCUGCGGGUAGAUGUUCUUUCCUUUGAAAAUCUUCCCACAUAUCCGGACUAAAGCAUUACGGUGCCAGGUAUAUUGAAUAACAAAGUCAUUUGCUUUCAGAUCAGGCGUGUAAGCUUCAAACAAUCCACAUUCUGCGAUUAUUUGGUGUUCGUUGAUGCUGACUUACGAAAAUGUAGUCUUCGUUACAAAGUAGCAUAUAUCCUUUUUUUUCUUUUCCUUUCUUUUAGUAGAAAGUAGCAUGUCUUUGAACAUGUCAUCGAACCGUGGCCAGAAGGGCCCUAACAUAAUCACCGCAUCGUUGCUAAACCUUACCCAUUAACUCACUAACCUACGCAUCAUAUUUACAUGCGACCAUCCGGUGGUACCAACAAAGCAUUGUGAUAAGCAUGGUCUCCCCCAAGAAUAGAAUUCCCAGACCGGCAGGGAAAACCCCCUCAAGAAUCACUCUGUAAGUAGAGGUAUUUGUUUGCACUGCAGCUUGUAAUAACUACACCAACACCUUCCAAUGUUUCUCCAUCAUUUUGUUUCAUGUUCAUUUCUUUCCCGUAUCUAUUAUGCUUCCCGGCCUGCAGGUCAGUAUUACUCAGGUUUCACUUGCAUAUAAAUCAAAAGAAAAAUCUAACACACAAGAAAAUUUCACCUGUUACUUAGGUUGCAGUUACCAAACAAUAACAGCAAUCUGUAACUGCUUGUCUUCCCAACGUAAAUAAUCUUCCACCAUCUGGAAACAAUUCUGGAACAGAAACUGAAUUUGAACAAACAUUACUCACACAUGGUGCAACAAUGCCUUCAUGGCAGUGCACCAUGUUAAUAUGGCAGGCUAAACUCUAUAAAAGAUACGCAUCAAGGAUGAUUGAACAUCCAGAACAGCUUUAGAAGAAAAUAGUUAUAUUUAUACAAUGAUCCAUUGAGAAUAAAGCGCACUAUUGAUUAGCUUACAAAAAAUGGAAACAACACAGGCAUGCUUUCACGAUGAACUGAUUAAAUAUCAAAGCUAGCCUCAAUCAGAUAUACUUCCUAUCCCAGACAUGUGUCUGUUGAAUUCAGAUUUCGUGACUCCCCACUUCUGGUUCAUGGCUACAGGUAUAAAAUCAAUCCCCAUUCUCUCUCACCACCACCACCACAAAAAAAAUAAUAACAAUAAUAACUGCAUGAACAAAGAAAGUAUUCUGAACAUGCCUUGACUUAAUUUUCAAACAUGUAUAUCUCUGAUGCAGUAAAUGUUGAGCUCUGUACCAAGGAGAAUGCACUCCCAAGAGUUCAUCCUACACGAAAAGAAUGAAAUCAAUUAGAAACAAAAGCAUGAAAACAUUUUACAAGCAUCGAUAUCAAGUGCAGGUUGCCAGUGCACUUGACCUUCCAUGUUGGUUCAUUCAUUUAUCGCUGAGAAUUAGACCAAAAGGUUUCUACUCAUCCUCCAGUGCACAGUGCAAAAACUCCAAUUGGUGCAUCAUUCAGCAAAUCACAAAUAAAGCAGUUCAAAAGAGAAGCCAACAAAAAACAUUGCAAGCCCCACAUAUAUGAAUUUUAUGAGAUUUAGAAACUUAAGCAGGGUUGCUUGGGCAUGCGGCAUGCCCCUUCCUACUGUAUUUGUACAGGUAAGGACGACUGUGAAGAUAUGGGCAAUAAGGCCAUUCAAAGAAAAACAAAAACUGCAGCCACAAUAUAAAGAUGAGCAGAAUCAAAAAAAGGAACUUCAACACAAAAGUUGGAAACAAAAAAAGCUACACUUGCAAGGAAACCACUGCACAGUGAAGGAAAGACUAGAGAGAUGACAGCGGCCAAUCAUCAAAAUGUAACUCAGCUUGUCAUAUAUUCUUAGAUAAAAUGCCUCAGACUAUCAUGUUUGCUCAAAAACAAUAAGACUAUCAGACCACUCAAAGCUUAAAUUUAUAUAUUUUACCGAAGGAGGGACUUGAGCCUUCUCCACCCUAAUUCUUUUUUUUAAAAAAAAAAAAAUUUGUUCGAAGAGAAAUAUUCCCAAUGCAUGUUAGCAUAAAUACUAGAAGGAGCAAGGUUUUAAGUUUCAGUCUAAAUGGUUCAGUUUCAGCUGAAACCUACCCAAAAUUGACUGAAAUAUUUGGUUUUGCUCAGUUUCAGCUGGUUUUGGUUGGUUUCUCUCGUUUCACCUAGAUUUGCUGAUUUCGACCAAAAUUGAUCAAAACUGCUUUUCCUUGAAAAAAGAUGUUAAAUGUCUUUUAAAAAAAAAAAAACAGCAAUAAAGGUUUCUUGAAAGCUUAACACCAUUAAAUAGACUGGCUUAUUAUAUAAAUUAUGUGCGCCUGUUUCUAAGUGGGAAAAAGAGAACUUUUAGGAUCAAACAUGUUGGCAUUAGAGCAUCAAUGGUAAUGAUCUAGCCAUGUUUAGUUUGUUGGUAAUGCACAUUGAACAAAUAUGAUCUAGUAAAUUUGCAUACACAAAAGGUAUAAAGCCAUUAAAAAAUGGAAAGAGAACAUAUUUACAUGAUGAUCAACUAGAUUAAACUUUAAGCAAUAAUCCCCUGUGCAUGAGCCCAGUUAAGUUUUCACAUGUGGAAGCUACCAUUGCAAAACAAUUAUGUCCAGUCCAAGAGACAAUAGUAAGAGAGGUUCUCUAGAUAUUGAAGAUGCUAGAGCAAAAUGGAUGCAAAGUGAUGACUAAAAUAUACCAAGGCUUACUCAAUAUAUCAAGUGUCUUAUACAUCAAAGGACAGUUGACAAUAUAUAAAAGACUGAAAGGAAAAGAUUGGAUUUUGAUAAUAAAGUAAUUAUAUCAAAUAAAAAAAAUGAUGUAGAUAACCUAUUUUCUCUUUUGUUCUAUUUAUUGAUUUUAUUUUGAUUCUUUUGACCGAAACCAAGACCCCAUGCUAGGGACCAAACUGGAAGUGAAAUGGGGUUCAAAACUUGGAAAAUAACCAUGUCAAUAGCUUAAUUAUAUCUUUCUUCCUUUAAGUAAUCUUACCUUUUUUCCAAUCUCUACUUACUAAAAUUGCUCAAUUUCAAUAAUUUUCUACAAUCCUUCAUUUCUAAAUAUUCAUUUACAUCCUGAUAUACUACGUUUUCUAAAUUCACUGGGUACAUUCUUUGACCGACAAACAAACAGCAACCUUAUAUUCGAAAAGCCACGAUCAUAUCAAUGCCUUUAUCGCUAGGUUUUUGAUGAUGUCCUAUUGCAUAUUUACUUCAUACAUCAAUGGAUCUUUAUGUGCCCCUGCUAUGCUCAUUUUAGUACAUGUAAAAAUACUAUUUAUGAGCUAUCCUCCAAUUCUUUGUUUUGCUAAAAUCCAAAAUGCCCAUGCACUAAACCCAUUGUUGAUUGCAGCCAGACAAGCGACAAUGAUCUCUGUUGGACAUAUGUUCCCCAAAAAAAACUCUAAUGAAAAAAAAAAAUAAACUAGUAAAAUUCCUAUUCCACCAAAGGCAAUGAUGCACAAAAAGUAAUAUUUUUAGAACAUCAAUGAAACUAUCCCAACCACCCGGUUCAGGACGUACCGAGCCACACCGACGGUAAACUGAUAUGGUUCUGGUCCUCACAUCAAGAAACUGAUGAUGGAGGGGGAGAGAGAUAAGGAAAGAGAGAUAGAGAUGAGGAAAGGGAGGGAGAGGUAGAGUGGUGGACGGCCUGCAAAGGUCGAUAGAGGGCCACAGAGGGCUUUUGUACUUUGGAAAAAUUAAGUGAGAUCGGCAAGCGAGUUGCCCAGUUCACUUAAAUUCUUCCAAAUAAAAAAGGGGCCCCUAUGGGGUUCCUGUUUCAAAUGAAAUAGGGGUACUAAAGGUUGGAGCCCUUCCUUUGCCCCUCCAUGCCCCUCUUCAGCCCUUUGCAGUCUCUGCAGGCUAUCCUUCACCCUCCCUCCCUCCCUCUCUAUCUCUCUCUCUCUCCCGUUCUCCCUCUCCCUCUCCCUCAUGCUUUUUGUAGUGUUGGUAUGCACUCGACACGAAACGGCACGAAAGCAUAUCGAACCAUGCCAUUGGGCAACCAAUAUAGGCCCCAAUACCGGCACACCGAUCCUUGAUUUUUUACGACCAUGGUUUGUCGUCUAUUGAGAGAGAAAUAUGCCCGGCUCCCCUACCUUAUUGUCAAUAUAUGAAUUGCAUCAACCCCUUUUGCAAAAAAUGAAACAAUUCAAGAGUGAACAUAUUAUUUACUAUUUAUUUCAUCACUAUUUGUCAUAUCAAAAUAGGCUGAGGCACUUAUAGCAAGGAAUUAGAUGAGGUGAGGAUUUUAGGCCAUAGAAAUUAAAAUGUGAAAUCCUCCAAUUCCAGCUACUCAAGGCUAGAAUACAAGAUUUCUGCAUUAGUUUGGGCUCGAGACUUAUUAUACUAAAAAAGGAAAACUAGCAUGGGCUCAAUCUUCUCUCAUGGGGGUAAUCUCUUCCCUUAAUUUUAGUUUAUUUAAUACGAAAUUAAUUGGAUGGAUGUUGUCUCUUGUUUGAAUUUAAUAGAAAACAAAGUGAGAGAGGCGAAGCAUCUCAAGGUUUUGCUCAUACAUGCCCAAGAUAUCGACUACAAAUGGCAAUUUCUAACUUAGACAUGCCAACUUGCGUGAACCUCCUCAAUAUAAACAAUUGUGGGCUUUUACAGUCAGGUAGUUAGAACAAGCCAAAACAAAUCCAAUUUUAAAUAGGUAUCGAUCAGUUUAACCUUACAUAUGAUAGGUCAUAUGGAUUGGACAAGCCCUAAAACCUUAGACCCAAGCCCCAAAAAAUGUGGUGAUAAUUCAAUGGAUCAAUGAUCAACAAGUCCCCCACUCAACACCCCCGCCGCCCCCCACCANNNNNNNNNNNNNNNNNNNNCCCCCCCCACACACACAACAAAAAAAAAAACGAAGAAGAAGAAACAAUAAAAGCUUGGUUUGGGUGAUAGGAAGGCCAUGCAGCUAGCAGACAAGGAAAGAAUACAAGAUCUAAAAAGGAAAAUAGAGUGGAUAUCCAUGAUUUAUUGGACUUGCUUUUUCACCUUAACUUCCUCUCUCCCACUUUGUUUGGAGAGCUGACCCUAAAUUCCCUCUUUUAGCCCUAUCUUAUUUUUUAAUUUAAAGUGAAUGAUUAGCAAGCAAAGCCUUUACUGGGUUUGUAGCUUGAAUAUAGGUUUAUAUAAAAUACAUAAAAUGAAUAUCCUAGUAACAAGAUUCACCAUUUUUUUUUUUUUGAAAAUUCAUGAAUUAUUCAUGUUCAGCAUCGCUGACAAAUUAUUAUGUGAAGAACUUGUCCAUUCAUGAACAUUUCAUAUAUACAUUGUUAAAUUCAUCAAAUGCAUGUGUAGUUCAUGUAGUAUUAAAUAGUUCAUGCAUUCUGGAGUGGAAAAAUGGUCCACAGCCAUGCUUCAAACUUCGAAAUGCUAAGGCAGGCCAUGGGCAUAAAGGACCAAAAUGGUAGCAUUGCAGUGUCAGGACUUGGGAUUCGAGGAUUCAUUUGAUAUUAGAAUUUUGUUUUUAUCAAAAAGUAAAUACAAAAUCAAACCUUUCGCAUUGUCCCUUAUCUUCGAGCCCUCUUCUGCUUCAAACUUCUUCUAGUUGUUUGCUUCUUCUCAUCCUUUCAUUUCCCUCCUACUAUUCUCUCACUCUCUAAAACAUACUUCCCCCCUCAAUUUUUCUUCCUCUUUAGUUCCCCUCUCUCUUCCAAACUUCUUGCAUUUUUUUUUUCAAAUUUAACAGAUUUUUUCCAAACACAAUUUAUUAACCUUGUCAAGUUAUUCCUGAAUGCAAAACUUGUGACUAUGCUAGAGAUGGUUUAAUUCUUUUCAAUGUGAUUACAAAUGGAGCAGGUAUGGGUUGAGGGUCUUUUGACCUACCUCAAUUUGACCGUUCUAUCGCAUCAUAGAAUUCACUCACCACCUACCCCUACCCCCUUGUAUCCUUUCUUCAUAUUCCUCCCUCUAUUUGUGGGCACUCUCAUCUUUAAUACAUACAACCCUUCAAGCAGAGAAAUAAAGAAGUGCUAGGAGUGAAAGGGUGGACAUGUUUACAUACAUAGUAGGAAAUGAUUUGUGAACAACCAGGAGAUCACAACCAUCCCUUUGGGGAAGCUACUAGGUCGGGUCUGGAUACCUCUGAACCAACUUGAGCCCCCUUGGGAGAAUGCAGACAGUGUCUCUACAUUUUAACUCAAAUCCUACCCAUCCAAGAAUUGGUCAAAUAUUGAGUUCAAGUGUAGCCGUCUCAGAAAGAUAGGGAUCAGUUCAACUAAGGAUUGAGUCCAGGUUCAGUUGCAUUGGGCACAUAUUGGAACCGGGGCUAAGUCUAGAUUGAAUUUGGUAAAGAUUGGGUUGAAGUUCAGAUUGCAAGCAGACAGCAUCAUCUUGAAGGCUUAAUUCCCUUCAUGCUCUCAAAAUUACACCACUGCAAGUGGAUCCUUGUCAUCCAUCCAGAAUAAUGGGAUACGCUAGUUCUUUAAAUCAUAAAUCCUAGGAACUGUCUCUCCUUUAAUAAUUUGCACCAUGAUACAUAUUGACCAAAGACUUUUAUCUUCAUGACAGGUCAUUCAGAAAGCCCCCUCAUGUAUAGAAGUUGAAUCUAGAAUAACAAAGUAAUAAUCAUAACUAUAUCAAAUAAGUAAGCAUUUUCUAUUGAUGAUGCUGAUUCCCCCUCUAUUAAAGAUGUUAAUAGUUUGGAUCCUGCCACAUAUGAUUAUCCAAAGAAGCCCUAUAUCCAAUAUGGAACAAUUGGGUUCCAAUUGCUAUGUUGCCAGCGGCAUAAGGUCCCUCUUUAUGUUAGACUCCAUAGAAAGAAAAAUAAUCAUAGCUUCAAAAUAGACAUCAAAAGAAAAUGUUCCACUCUUGACUAAUUUGAUUUUGAAUUCUGAAACUAUAACAAGACACCAAAAUGAUCAUGUACUUUUUUGGCAACACCCAGCCAGCUCCCAUAGAGCCAGUGUCGUCUAAAUUCAAGGCUUCAACAAAGUCAUUCGAGUUCUAUCUGAAGCAUCGAUAGCAUGACUAAAGUUCAAUAAGAUAUGUGGUGAUAAUAAUGUCUUGAAGAGUGCUCUUAUGUUAUCAAACACAACUUCUUGUCAUUUACCUAUGGGCUUAACUUAAACCAAAACAAAAGGCCUUCAUCCAUCAAUCUUUUCUGCUCUCAAGAGAAGCAUGCAACUAACUUAUGUUAGCUUUAAGCAGUAACUAAAAGGUCAAAGAUUAAUUAUUUUUAGUCAUAGUCAAUAAAAUCAUAAUUUACACCACUGACCCUAGAUACAUCUCAUCGGGAGGGCUUUGGGGUAUUUAUGAUGGGGUUCAAGAUGCUCUAAAAUGAAAUCAGGUGAACAAAUUUCAGUCCUUUCUCUUAUGGAAUUUUAUAAACCAAAAGUGAUUGGUUGCGCUCAACAUGACUCUCCCAUCAGUUUCUGCCUUUUCCUUCAACAUUUUGAAUACUAGUUCCUCUAUAUCAUUCAUUUUCUUCUUCCUAGGUCAAAGAAGUCCUGCAUCAAAUCUGAGAACUAAAUCUUAUGAUUAACAUUUCAUUUUGCACAGAAACAAAUACAGAUUAAUCUGAAUCUUAUGAUUUAGAUCAAGAAUCAAAUGAGCUCCUUUAAUCUUCAUAUUAAAUUAAAACUUACCUUAUCCUUACAAACCCUCAGUUUGUUUCCUAGUACCAGACCUUAACCUUUAUAAUCAACUAUGCUCUAAACAUAAACUGGAACAUGCAAUUGGAGAUUAUUCCAAACAUUUAUAGAUCCUAAAAUUGUAUACCUGUAACCGAUCUUACCAUCUGAUGUAAUCAUACCAACCGAGAGACAAUUAAAUAGGUGACAAAUAAAAAAAAAAAUAGCUGCAAGGAAAGAAGAGGAAAAAGGAGAAAAGAAUAGAGCAAGAGGGAAAGAAGGUGAACACCAAGAUUAAACAAACCAAUAUAAGCCUUUUAGUCAAAUUUUACACAUGAUCGGUUGUUGACAUGUAUAAACAAUAGAUAGAUCAAAAAAACUAAUUGAAAAUAAAAAGAAAAGAGGACAGUUAUGCUCGCAAAUAUAGCAUAAAUUCAGACAUGGAAUGCAGAAUUUCUUUAAGAGAAAAAAAACAUGAUGAUUGACGAGUAAGAGAGGCAGGACAAGCAAAAGAAAAAAAAAAGGAGCGAAGCAUGUCAAGUGCAGCAAAAGACAUUUAACUUCUUAAAACCAUCAAAAGACAAUUCCAGCUAUAAUAUAAAUUCAGACAUGGAUGCAGAAUUUCUUUUAAGAAAAAAGUAUGAUGAUUGACGAGUAGGAGGAGAAGAAAAGAGAAAAGGAGUACAUGGGAAAAAACACAUAAAAUGCAGCUAAAAACAUUCAACUUCUUACAUCCAUCAAAAAAAAUAAAAAGUCCAACUGGUCCAGCCCCAUUUCCUUUCCUUUUGAACAACUUAAAUCUUAUUCUGAAAACCCAAAAAAUCUCAUAACAGGUCACUUAACCUAGCAACAUCCAAUCAUUCCAAAGUCUAAAAACAAAGCAAAUCUAACAUCACAAAAAAAUAAAUGAAAUCACAUCCCUCAAACCACAACAUAUGCAUCUGAUCUCAAUUGAAAGAUCCAAAUUCUGAUUUCACUUUAAUGUGCUAUUGCAUCCAACCAGCUUCUCUAUGCACCUUUCACAUAUGGGACAUCCUUCGUUGAGCACUAUCUCAGCUCAACCAGCAGGUGCUGCACCUCAAUUAUGUUUCAAUACUACUAUUACAUUUCGGCUAUGUUCCUCUCUCCCUAAUUAAUCAAUCUAUUAUAUGCUGUGUAGGUGAUCCACAUUCAAAUUCCACAUUCUUGGUGCAUUAUCUAACCUUCAAAGUUUGCAUGCAAGUGUUCAUGAGGGUGGAUGGUGGCAUUCAUGGGAUCAGCAACAUUGUAGCGACAAAAUGCAGCACCACAGACUAUCUAAUGAUACUCAUUCAUAACGUGUUCAUAGAAAGAAACAUAGUAUAAAGUGGACCUGAGGUGGCCUAAAACAACCACCCACCAUUUUUAUAAAGACAUCCUCAAAGACCACAUCACCUUUCCUCAAAAGAAAAAUAUAUCUCUUCUUUCUGUCUCCUUAAACCAAUUUUCUUUCUUUAUUUCCAAACUGGAUCGCGAGUAGCAGGAAUAGAAAAGGCAAAAUAUUGCAAAAUAUUCUAGGUCACUAAGGAUAUCAAUGUGGCUAGUUUAAGUCAUACAACUGCAUAUCAGAAGCAUUCUAAACCAGCAUGAACAAUUACCUCUAAAAGGCAUCUAAUCUAAUCCAAGCAAAUGCCACAAGCAUGUCAAAAGUACCUGGACAAAAGAAACAUUUAUUGAAAAUUUUACUUAAUUAAUCUAAAAUUAAACUGAUUAGGAAGAAAAGAACAAACACUGCUACCAAACACAGUCGCUAAUAGCAUAGUGCACAAAAGACAAGGGCUGACUAAUGAAUCAUAAGACACUUAGCUAACCAGCAUUUAGCCAGGUUCAAAAUAUUGCAACCAGCAACAAGGCAAUGUACUAUCCAAAAAACCAUUUAAAUCCGAACCGAGUUUGACAUCUUACAUUAAAGUUUGCUAACCUGAAGUAGCAAUGCAAUUUGGAACCGACUUCUUACCUCACCCUUGGACCUUCAAAUUGGGCAGGGGAUCUACUAGAGAACCUUAAUCGUGUAUAUUAAAAUAGCUGGAUAACAUUUCCUUUAACAAGCAGAUAUGGUCACAUAUAGCAUCAAGAAGUUGCAAUUAUAGUUCAAUAAAUCGUUUACGUGAUUUUGCUAUCAUCCUGGUACUUGACAUUGAUCUCACCAAAAAAAAAAAACACAGAGAAAGAAAAUAGAAAUAAACGGCAACAAGAUAAAACACCGAUAUCCAGAAGCUGUACCUCCAACUAUUCUCAAUCCAAAUCCUCUUGUCGGGUCGACCCAGUGUUCCCAUGGCUACCAGAAUUUGCACCAGUUCCACCAGAGCUGCCACCAACAUCAUUCCCACCACCUCCAGCAUUGCUAGCCUCAGCUUGCGACCCAAAACCCCUCAAUGGCCAAGGCAGCGAGAUCCUAAACCUCCUCUCUACCGUCCUUGGACUCUGAGUGCUCCCAUCCCCCGAUGCCCUAGCCGCUGACCCACCGGCGCCACCAGGAUCAUCAGCUCCCACAGGGAGCCCACCCUGAACCGGCGCCCCCCUCCGGUUCUCAUAGUCCGGAUCGUCUGUCGGCAGCUCGUACCUGCACACAGGGCAAGAGUUGUGCAGCUCAAGCCAUGGCAGGAUGCAGUCCUUAUGGUAGAUGUGCUUGCACGGCAUCUGCUUCGCCUCCUCCCCGAUCUCAAAGGUAUCCUUGCACACCGCGCACUGAGCCUCGUCAGAGGCUAGGAGUUCCACAGUGAUCUUGAUGUCCGACAGGGAGGCAACGGCGGACUUGGACGCCGGCGGGGUGCCGUAGCGGUUGGGGUCGUUCUCGGCGAGCUGCUGUAUCAGCUGCUCGAGGCCGGGGCCGAUGAAGUAGUCGCCGAGGUUGCCACCUAAGCCGGGGCCGCCCUCGAGGACGAUCUGGAUGUUCGCGCCGCCGGAAACGAGCUGCUGGAUGUGGUUCUGGAGGAAAGCCAGCGGAUUGAAGGGCUCCGGGCCGCCUCCACCUCCGGGGGCAGAGGAGCGGAAGGAGUCGGGGUCGAAGAGGCCAGCGAGGUCGCUAGGGUUGCGAAGGUCGAAGCUGGCCGGGGGCGAGGAGGAGGAGGACAAAAGGAAAGAGAAGGGGGAGGGGGAGAGGAAGAACGGGUCGGAGGAUCGGAAGGAGAAGAAGGAAUGAGGGCUAGGGUUAGGGUCGGGGAGGUCGAACUCCUCAAGGAAGCCGCCAUGGCAGAUGGGGCAGGCGAUCUCGGCGUCGGGGGAUGGGGUGAGGGUGACGGUGCGGUCGCACUGGUGGCAGAAGUAACGCUGAGGGACGGCGGCGCCGCCCGGGGCUCCGGCGGACGACAUGGCCAAAGAUGGAGAGGG
RNAcentral lists this long non-coding RNA (98637 nucleotides) under Elaeis guineensis (African oil palm). RNAcentral describes it as "long non-coding RNA (EGUI_LNC025231)". Lineage: Eukaryota; Viridiplantae; Streptophyta; Magnoliopsida; Arecales; Arecaceae. The record is from RNAcentral.